GCACUUAAAUCUUCCAUUGAAAUGGAGAACACCAACUACGAGGAGGAGCUGAAGAAUGAUCGCAGGCUUGUUUGCAGUCUCAUAUACGAGAUUAAUUGCAGAAAAGAACAGUUGUCCCAAAUGGAACGUGAAUAUAACGAGAUGACCUCAACUCUUCGAGGACUCAUCAAUGGCCUCAUAGCAAAAAUUAACUCCAAGGACAGUAAUCUGUGGGGUUGGGAGCUUCAAUAUAAUGUAACCGUGAGACAGUUGAAGGGCAAGAAUGCUGCGUUGCGCCUUGCAUUUGCUGAAGGUACUUUAGAUUAUAUGUGUAUGUAAUGAGCAGAAUACUAUGUGUUAAUUGAAUCGUCUGGUACCCAUUGAUUGAUCUAUAUAAAUGUCAGGAUUUGAACCCCAAACUUAGCUUUUAUUACGGGAACCGGAUCAAUUUAGGCUCGGAUAAGCUUAAUGUGUUCAUAAACAGAUAAGAACAUAAUAUAUGGGAACACUUUGGCCAUACGAGGCUAAUGCUUAUAUGAUUCGCAUUACAGACUACAUGCUCCUAGUGAUAACUCUUCUGUAAGUACUAUUAGUCGAAUAGCUUUAUGAUGUAUUAAUCUAUCAAAUCUGGGUGUCAUAUUAUGAGUUCCAUUGCUAUGUUAAUCUAUGUACUAACAAUAUUAUGAAGUAAGGCAAUUUUGUGUACAUUAUAUUGGGAUGCAAGCUGAAUUCCCAUUAAUCAGUUUCAACCAUACAUACAUAUACAUAGAUAUAUAUAUGAAGUUAAGAACGUAAGUGCUGUUAAAUGGUACAUUACUCAGAUUGGUAAUAUAUUGGUGCCGAAUGUUCUAAAAUUUAACCAGCAUUACUGGUAAUAUAUUAGUGCCAAAUUUGACUAUUAUUGUUGAUAUAUCUUCAAAAAUUUCAGAUUUGAUAAAUAUAAAAGGGCAAUAAUGAAUAAAAAUACUGACUUUUUGAGAUCUUAUUUAAUGAAGGGAAGUUGAAUGUGGAAACUAAAUCGACCUAAGGGAAAUAAAAGCAAAAUAUGGAAAAGUUUUCUCGGGAAAACAAGUGUUAUCCUUCAUUUAUCUUGAUGAUUCUCUAACGCCGCCAAUUUUCCCCCCUAAGUUUACAGCAAGAAGACAAACGGCAACGUUAAGCCAUAUUCAUCCCAGGUUAAUUUUUUUUGUAAAUUAAACAUUUUUUGUAUACAUUUUGUUACCUAUUUAUUUUAUGUUUUUGAAGUUUCCAUUGCCAUUUCUACCUUUCCAAAAUGGUGUCUUUUUACUUGUUUUUUACUGGGUUAUUGACAUUUGUUCCAUAGAAUAAAUUUCUUUGAUUUUAGGGUUCUAUAUGUAUUUUUUUUAUGAAUUUGAACUUCAGUUAUCCAUAAAAAUUCUACCUUUAAUCUCAAUAUAUUUAUAGUCUAUAAGUUUUGACUUUUCUUCCAAUAAUAUAUCUCCAAAAUUCUAACUUAACCUUUUUAAACUUUGUCAUGUCAUUAUUAUUAUAGUUAAUUGCACCAAAUAUCUCCAAACUAUGGCCCUUAUUCUAAAAUAGUCCUCAAACUCAAAAUACGAGUAAUAUUUGGCCAUAAAAUGUAUAUAUUCAUUCCCUCUAAGCCAGUCGGUUAAGCCUCACAAUCCAACGUAACUGUAAAUCUUUCUUGGCAGCCAUGAAAUCAGUUCUAAAAUCCCUUGCAAACUCAAUCUUCCUUGUUCUUUUCAUCAUCUUUUCAUCUUCUACUCCACUUGUAUUGGCUCAAUGUGAAGCAGAGACCAGGACUAAUGGAUGCCAUAACUACAGAGAAUCCAUGAAGCUAAAAAUCAUUGCCAUUGUCGCAAUUUUACUAUCCAGCAUGAUUGGCGUGUGUCUGCCAUUGUUUUCUGGUCAGGUUCCGUCACUUAAACCCGACAGGGACUUGUUCACCAUUGUCAAGGCAUUUUCCUCCGGUGUUAUUCUAGCGACUGGGUACAUGCACGUGCUACCGGAUUCUUUUAACGACCUUAUGUCCGGGUGUUUGCCUGAAAACCCAUGGAGAAAGUUCCCUUUCACAACCUUCGUCGCAAUGCUGUCGGCUGUGUUGACCCUUAUGGUGGAUUCAUUUGCAAUGAGUGUAUACAAGAAACGUUGCGGUAAAGCUUUAAUGGCGGAUGCUAACAAUGGUGGUGGAUUGGAAAAUACGAACGUUGUACAAAUCGAUAAUUUUGAACACGGCCAUAGCCAUUCACUUGAGAUGAAUGACGACGUAUCAUCACAAUUGUUAAGGCAUCGAGUUAUUGCUCAGGUAUAUAUACAUGUUUGAAUCCUCAAAAUCGAUGGUUUUGCUUUUCAAGUCUUUACAUUAUGUAUUUCCUAAAUGUAGGUAUUAGAGUUGGGAAUUGUAGUUCAUUCAGUGGUGAUUGGCCUUGCAAUGGGAGCCUCUGGCAACCAAUGCACCAUUCGAUCACUCAUUGCUGCCCUUUGCUUCCAUCAAAUGUUUGAGGGGAUGGGACUUGGUGGAUGCAUACUGCAGGUAACCCCCAACAUUGCACUAUAUAUUUUCUCAUUCAAAUAUCCAUUUAGUGUACAAUAUUGAUUAACAUUAUGUUUGAUAUGUGCAGGCUGAAUAUGAGAUAAAAAUGAAAGCAAUCAUGGUAUUCUUCUUUUCAGCCACAACGCCACUUGGAAUAGUUCUGGGAAUUGGUUUGUCCAAGGUUUACAGUGAGACGAGUCCAACUUCACUUAUGGUGGUGGGACUACUUAAUGCUUGCUCAGCAGGGUUGCUGAAUUACAUGGCACUGGUUGAUCUACUUGCAGCUGAUUUUCUGGGCCCUAAGCUUCAAACAAAUAUGAAGCUCCAGGCUUGGUCAUAUGUUGCAGUUUUACUUGGUGCUGGAUUUAUGUCUUUGAUGGCAAAAUGGGCUUAGUCAUUUCAACAUAUACAUGUCUUUUUGUAAUCUUCUUUUUUUUUUCUUUUUUCUUUUUGCUUCAACAGAUAAGUUUAUAGUGGAUCAACACUUAUUCAAUCAAUUAUAAAAUUUAGGCAAAGAAUUGAGGCAACAAGGCUUGAACAUUGAUCUUUAAGAUCGUUUACUCCAUAUUGCAGGGCUCAUCACAAAGUAUAUAUAUCAGAAAAGUAUGCAAACUUCAAUUUUGUGUCAAUAUCAUUAUAAUUUAAACUGUUUAAUGUUACAUCAGAUGUAGAUGUCUUUAAGCCAAUGCUUAUAGCCACAAAGUCUCUUUGGUGCAAGCUAUAAGGACAGAGUUAUGUUAUAAAUAAACAAAUUAAAUAAUUUGUAUUUAAAAUAUCAAAUACUAAAAACCAAUAAAUAAGAUUAGAAAACCAAAAAUCGGAUAAAGAAUCAAAUUUUACUAGAUGUUGGGACUUGUUUUGCACAGUUUCCUUAAGAUAAAUUUGUCCGCUCCUACUGUACUUGGUGAAAUGUUGGGAGACUGUCUAAUAGGAUACAACAACACAAUGACCGAAAUAGUAGCAUCUCUACAGAGACCAAUGAACAACCUUGCCUUUUUCUAUCAUCAGAACAUUGGAAAAUAUAGAGAGAAAAAGAGAAGAAUUUUCGAGAGCAAAAUAAACUUGGUUUUAGAGAGUUUUUUAGUGUAAAAAAUUUUGAAGAAUUCUUAAGCAUUCAAGAUGGAGGAAUUUUUGAAAUAUCCAUAAUUAAAUAUACAAAAUCUGUAUUAAAUGAGCAAUUAAAUCAUAAUAUAUGUCCUUUUUAAAUUAGAUUAUAUAUAUUUGUUGAGAAAAAUAAAUUUUGUGUUGGGCUUAAAAUAUCCAUAGGCCCAACUGACCGGUCUAGACAUUUCACAUCGCCCAUGUAGUGCGAGUGCGCUUCAACCCCAAUGGGUUCGGAUCUACACCCCCUGCGCGUGAGACAAAGUUUCAAACUUAGUCAUUCAAUCAUCUUUCAAGUGGGUUCUCAUAUAUAAACGCAUCUCACAUUUGGUAUUUAAUCAAUGUGAGAUCUAAGCUUUUCUUUUCCUCAACAAAUAUUCACAAGUAACUUACUUUGAGUAUUAAUUUCUCGCUCAUCACUCAACCAUUUUGAGCAUACGAUAUACUGUUUUAAAGGUAUCAUGGAGUAGAAUAUAAAAUCAUAAUUUUAUGAUUCAAUUCUCCACUUAUACCAAUUGAGAAUAUGCUUCAAAGUUUCUAAAAAUUACAAUUUUUUUCAACAUUUUAUACAUCUAGUUUAAAGGUAUAAUCGAGUCCAGUAGAGCCCGAAUAAUGGCAAGCUUGAACUUGACUCAAACAUCACUUUUUAAGCUCAAUCUUGAUUCAAAACAUGAUUGAGCUGAUUAAGCUCGUUUAUCAAUUUUUAUAAUCAAACUCAUUUAUAAUUAAGCUCUUUUUAUAUAUCAAAGAUAAAAAUGUAAUUUUAUAAGUAAAAAUAUAUUUAAAUGGAAUGCUUAAUUAGGUUUGUGGGCUACUUGAAUCAAGUAUUACAAUAUUUAAAUUCAGCUUAAUCAAUAGCUCGAGCUCUACUCAAUAAUUUUCGAUAAAAUAUUAAGAUUUUUUGAAUCCAAUUCGAAUAGCUUGCAAAUAUAAUGUAUCACUUGUACUCUUAAUUUUGAGUUUGCAUUUUUAAUUCUUAAAAUAAUAUUAAAAAGUUCUUUCUUUCUAAAAAGAAACACCCAAUCAAUUGAAGGCUUUUUAGAAAGUGGUGGCAAAGUGCAUCCUUUACUUUAAGUCUCACUAUAUCUAAAAAGAAAUUAAUGCGAACUGUAGAAAGUGGUAGGAAUGUGCAUCAUUAUUGCUUUAAAAGAAUUUCAAUCUUUAAACGGAUAGAAUUAAAUUUUCAUAAUUUGGAAGAGUUAAAGUGUAAUUUUUUUUAUUAAUUUAAAAUUUUAAAAUUUUUUAAAGAGUUCAAAUAAUAAUUUUUUAUUUUAAGAGAGCCGGGCUCCUGUCAACUCCUGGAUUUGCCUCCAUAAUUUUCAAAAUUUUAAAUUAUGUUAUUUUGAAUAAAAAGUUAAUUGAUAAAGAAAUUCCUUUAGUUUCAAAAAUUCAAUUUUUUUGUUUUAAAAAAUAUUAAAAUUUAAAAAUUAAAAGAUUAAAGUAAUAAAAUUUCUCCCAAUAUUAAUGUCUUUUUGAUACAUGCACGAAUGGAGUGAAAUUUAUUAGAUUCCAAUCAUCAAAACUGCCAAUUUUUAGGCUUGGGAAAUUAGCACACUUGCGAUGACUUUGUGGAUGGGAUUCUGGCAUUUUUUGGGUUGAGAUGUCUCAUGGCAUUUGAAGAUCAAUCUCUUAGCUUCGAAACACAUUUCGAAUCACUCGAUUUUGAGUUCGGAAGCUCAAGUUAUGACUGUUUUAGUGAAGACUGCGCGAGCAGAAUUUUUGAACGAGAUUAUGACGGGAGUUACAAAUUUUGGGCUUUUAAUUCAUGUUUAAAUUAUAUUGGGUUCAGGUUUUAGACUUACUUUUUUUAUUAUAUAUGAGCCUAAUAUUAUAGUUGUUAGAUCUUAUUAUUUUAUUAUUAUUUUAUUCUAAAUUUUUUAUAAUUAUUAAGUAUUUUAAGUUAUUUAGGAGUUUUAUAUUAACAAGAAAAUUCAAUUUAAAACUACUUCUUAUUUAGAUUAAAUUAGAAUUCUAGUAUACUUAAAAGUUUUAUUUAGAUUUAUUUAGCUAGCCUAUAUGUAGGCAUUAUUCAUUAUUAUUCUAUUUAUCUUUUGAGUUAAUAAAUUCUCUCUGGGGUUUUUUUUUUCAAGAAUUUUUCUUGAGUUUCUUUUAGAAGAGUUUUAACAAUCAUUUUAGAUUGUGGGGAUCAUUUUCAAACUUUUUAUUGCCAAGGUUUCUAUCUUGAAGGGGAAAUUAGAGCCGCUUGAAGGGGAUUGUGAAUUCUUCGUGUUUCCAAGGCUUAUUAGGACUUCUACACACCACAUUCUAUCUUUUCAUUUAUCUUCUUUAUUUGCUUCCUUAUCUUUAAUUUAUUAUUUUAUUUUAGUUAUUUAUUUUAAUUGUUUUAUCUGACUUGGAUUCAAUUUCGUUUCAGAUUGUGUCAAAAUCCAAUUUCUUUCCGAACGUUUAGAACCCUAAGUCAAAUCCAUAAUUUUGACAAACUUUAUGAUCCACUUUCGCGUUCAUCCUUCUCAUCCUUUUGUACUGGCUUGAGGAGUCGACUCUGUUGUAGAUUCUAGAUUAAUCUGAUGCUCCACCUGCUUUUGAUUUUCUUUAUUGGAAGAGUCUUUAAGAGAUAUGUUAAGUAGCAUAACAGUUUCAUCAAAAACAACAUUUCUGUUAAUCACAACUUUUCUAUUUUCAGGAUACCAUAACUUAUACACUUUUACACUAGCUUUAUAACCAAGAAAAACACAUUUAAUGGUACACAAUUUUAAUUUUCCAUUAUCAGCAUGAGUAUACGCAAAACACCCAAAAAUCUUUAAAUCAGAAUCGUCAGCAGGAUUACUAAACCAUACUUCUUAUGGAGUCUUUUUCUCAAUAGCAACGAAUAGAGACCGAUUGAUCAAAAACAUAUAGUUGACAUUGCUUUGGCCCAAAAUAACUUUGAUAAGUUGCCAUUUGACAACAUACAUCGAACAUUCUCCAUGAUCGUUCUAUUCAUUCGUUCUACAAUACCUUUUUUAAAAUGUUCAUGUUCUAAAAUGAAAAACAAUAUGAAUUGCAUGAAUUGCUUAUAUGUCCUAUGAAUUAUAAAGGAAUGCGGUUGAAAUAUUCCCAUCGAUACAUACAUACAUAUUCGUGAAGUAUGUUCCAAUAUAAUAUCAAUAUUGGGAUUUACGUUUUAUAAAGCAACAUUAUUGAUUGGUAAUAUACAUUAAUUCCAAGGCAAACCCAAAUAUUUUAAAAUUUAACCUACAACUGUGGUAAAUCAAACUUAAUAGUAACUCGAUUGUAAUGUGAAGUCAAAUAUGAAAGUAACAUUGGUUUAUAUAUAUAUUUUUCUCUAAAUUCUAAUAAUCAAGUUGGGAUAAGUGAUAAACACUGAGCUUGCCACGUGUGUUAACCACGUUUUCAUCAUGUGCCACUCCAAAGACAUCAGGCCUCUAUUCAAGCUGGCAUGGUCAGGACGUGGUAGCAUACUUCAGGGAUCUGGUUAGAAAAUAUCCCAUAUCGCUAAAGAACUAUAACACAGGAGCGUUUAUAUAAGCGAAAGAAGCAUCAGAUGGUUGUCCCUUCGGGGACAUCCGAUAAAAUUGGAACGAUACAGAGAAGAUUAGCAUGGCCCCUGCGCAAGGAUGACACGCACAAAUCGAGAAAUGGUCCAAAUUUUUUUCCCUUUUUUUUCCCACAUUUUUACAGCUCUGUUUCUUUUUUUUUUCCUGGGUUUGGUGUUCAUAUUCAUGGGUUUUUGUGCACUUAAGAUUGCAAUUAGAGUUUUCUUUCUUUCUUUUACUCUCUUGAACUGUGAAUUUGAUUUUUUUUUCCAUUUUUUCAGCUUUGUUUCUUUUUUCCCCCUGGGUUUAGUUUUCAUGUUCAUGGGUUCCGCGCACUUAAGAUUGCAUUAGAGUUUUUUUUUUUUCCUUUUUACUGGGUUUUGGCCAGUUGUACUCUGUUGAACCGUGAAUACCUCAAGUUUUCUGGGAAUAAAUUGUUGCUUAUAUAUUUGCUGGUUAACAGUGGUAAUUUUCUGAUAUAUUGGCCAGAAUUGAAGGAUGAAGGUCCAACUUUGCUUUUGGUCCUUCUACUACUAUCUUAAGAUUUAAAAGAAAUUCAAUUAAACAAUUUCUUCCAAUAAAAUUAAAUAAGAAGGCCCAGAAAUUGACCUGCACACUUAGACAUGUUUCUCUUUGAAAAAAAUUCAAACAGGAUUUUAAAAUUUGCAAUGUGUUUUAUGUAAAUCAAAUGAUAUCCUGAAUUUUGCUAAGGGUGCUUCAUAUCCUUGAAUCCUUUUUUUGCUUGGCAAGUGAUUCAUUGAGUUUUUGUGAUCAAAUUUCAUGUUUCCUUUUUUAGUACGGGAAUUUGUGGGAAAAUGCUUGGCAAUAUGGAAAUGAAACCAAUUUCCAUUUACGAAGGCACCAGCAAAGUGGUGAAGCUUAUUGUUGAAAAAUUCUUCAAUAAUGUCAAUAAUGAAAAAGUAGAAAAUGGAAAAACAGAGAAUAAUUUUGGUUCUUCAUCCUAUUUGUAGUUAUAGUGAACGGAUUUCUUUGAUUUUAGUAACUAAUAUUAUGAUUCCAACAUUUGGGGUUUUAAUCUCACUACAUGAACUUGGCUUUGCUUCUUAGUGUUAUUGUUGAACUUUUUAGGAUACCUCUAUCUUAAUCCAUUUAUGUGAUUUGAUAAUGAUAUUUGCAGGCACUUAAAUCUUCCAUUGAAAUGGAGAACACCAACUACGAGGAGGAGCUGAAGAAUGAUUGCAGGCUUGUUUGCAGUCUCAUAUACGAUAUUAAUUGCAGAAAAGAACAGUUGUCCCAAAUGGAACGUGAAUAUAACGAGAUGACCGCAACUCUUCAAGGACUCAUCAAUGGCCUCAUGGCAAAAAUUAACUCCCAAGGACUGUAAUCUGUGGGGUUGGGAGCUUCAAUAUAAUGUAACCGUGAGACAGUUGAAGGGCAAGAAUGCUGCGUUGCGCCUUGCGUUUGCUGAAGGUACUUUAGAUUAUAUAUGUGUAUGUAGUGAGCAGAAUACUAUGUGUUAAUUGAAUCGUUUGGUACCCAUUGAUUGAUCUAUAUAAAUGUCAGGAUUUGAACCCCAAACUUAGCUUUUAUUACGGGAACCGGAUCAAUUUAGGCUCGGAUAAGCUUAAUGUGUUCAGAACCAGAUAAGAACAUAAUAUAUGGGAACACUUUGGCCAUACGAGGCUAAUGCUUAUAUGAUUCGCAUUACAGACUACAUGCACUGUUAGUUGAAUAGCUUUAUGAUGUAUUAAUCUAUAAAAUCUGGGUGUCAUAUUAUGAGUUCCAUUGCUAUGUUAAUCUAUGUACUAACAAUAUUAUGAAGUAAGGCAAUUUUGUGUACAUUAUAUUGGGAUGCAAGCUGAAUUCCUAUUAAUCAGCUUCAACCAUACAUACAUACAUACAUACAUACAUACAUACAUAUAUAUAUGAAGUUAAGAACGUAAGUGCUGUUAAAUGGUACAUUACUCAGAUUGGUAAUAUAUUGGUGCCGAAUGUUCUAAAAUUUUACCAGCAUUACUGGUAAUAUAUUAAUGCCAAAUUUGACUAAUUAUUGUUUAUAUAUAUUCAAAAAUUUCAGAUUUGAUAAAGAUAAAAUGGCAAUAAUGAAUAAAAAUACUAACUUUUUGAGAUCUUAUUUAAUGAAGGGAAGUUGAAUAUGGAAACUAAAUCGACCUAAGGGAAAUAAAAGCAAAAUAUGGAAAAUAUUUCUCGGGAAAACAAGUGUUAUCCUUCAUAUAUCUUGAUGAUUCUCUAACGCCGCCAGUUUUCCCCCCUAAGUUUACAGCAAGAAGAAGAAGAAAAAGAAGACAAACGGCAACGUUAAGCCAUUUUCAUCCCAGGUUAAUUUUAUUGUAAAUUAAACAUUUUUUGUAUACAUUUUGUUACCUAUUUAUUUUAUGGUUAUGAUUUGCCGAGUGGACAUUUUCAACAAUGUGGAUUGUAUCUGAUACAGCCGAAAGAGAAUGUGCCUUGUCGAGAUCUUGUUGAACUCGUGAAAACUACGAGCGAUCAGAUUGCUGCUCUAAAGGAACAAUUGGAGGAAACAUCAGAGGCGUUGAAAGAUAUGGAAAGCCGAUACAGUUGUCUUACGGUGAAACAAAUCUUAAUUAAUCGAGAACUGCAAGAUGCUCGAAAAGAAUCAGUAAGUGUAUUUCCUCGUUUUCCUUUGUUUUCUUGGAUGUUUUAUUUCUUUAGGUGCAAGAAAUACCUCUUCGGAAUCAGGUAUGAAAGUGUUAAACCGAAGACUUCUCUGGUUCUUGAUAUGCAGGGUCUAAAUGAUGUAUUGACAAGCCGAACAACUCUUGUAGUAAAAAAAAUGGGAGAGAUUGAUCGAAAAGCUUUUGAAGUUGCUAGCUCUGGGAAGUUCCCGAACAAAGAUUGGCAAGAAACAUGUGCUAAAUUAUGUUCAUUAUGGCAACAAAACGUGCAGGAUCCGAAAUGGCACCCGUUUAAGAUGAUCAAUAUCCGAGGCAACUUGCAGGUAUGGUGCAUACACCAACUAUUCUGUUAUCCGGUUAUCGAAAAUCCGUUUUUUUACUAAAUGUGCUAAACAUAUAUGUCAGAAUCGAGCCAGUUUAUUACUCAAACUUAUAUAUAUUAAGGGGAUAGCUACUCGGUAGUGUAGGAAAUAGUAGACGAAGACGACGAGAAGCUGAAGGAGUUGAGAAAUGAAUACGGUGAUGUCGUGUACGAGGCUGUUAGCACCGCAUUGAUGGAAAUGAACGAAUAUAAUGGGAGCGGAAGGUAUGCAGUCAUUUAAGCUAGUUGAGUGACCCGCAAUCUAGUUUAUCAUUUUUAAAAUAUUUAUAGUCUAUGAAUUUUGACUUUUCUUCCAAUAAUAUAUCUCCAAAAUUCUAACUUAACCUUUUUAAACUUUGUCAUGUAAUUAUUAUUAGAGUUAAUUGCACCAAAUAUCUCCAAACUAUGGCCCUUAUUCUAAAAUAGUCCUCAAACACAAAAUAUUGUAAAUUAUAUUUCCAAAUUAUCAAUAUUAUAUCAAUAAUGUUCUUCUGUUGUUAAAAUCAUUAAAUGAGACGUCAAAUGAGACAUAAUUUAAAAUAAAAAACUUAAAGAAAAAUAAAUAUAUUGUAAAAUAUUGAUUUCAAGGUUUUCGAAGCUAUUACAAAAACUAUCAUUCAUUUUCUCUUUUACUUUAUUUUUAAUUUUUAUUUUUAAAAGUUGUAUCAACAACAUUUUACUUUUCUUUAAAAAUAUCAUUUUAAAUUAAUAGUGUCAAUAAUAAAAGGAUGAGAUAAAUAGUUUAAAAUAUUUUAAAGUUGGGAGAAUAAUUUAAAAUAAAGAUUCAAUAUUGUUAAUCUAGUACUAUUUCAUAAUAUCAUUUUAUCGUAUCAACUUUUAAAGAUGACUUUUUUUUUUGAAAUAUUUUAAAGACAACAUUUAAAGAUUGAUUAUAAUAAUAUUGUUGCAUGGAAAAAGAAUUUCCACGUUAGCAGAAAGGCUUACGCCUGACGUGUGCUUAGUAUUAUUAGUAAAGUCAAAGGUCGAGAAAGUCUAAGGCGGGUCACACAUAUCACACGCCAUGCACAGGUUUCCUUAUUUCGAGGCUAAAAUACCAAAAUACCAUCACAUUUCUUGUUAAAUUUAUCACUUAAUCAACGAUCCUCUAAAACGAAGUAAGGACAUAUUAGAAAUUUUAAUUGCAAUAAUAUCACCAAAUCUGAAAAAUUACAAAUGAGGCAAAAAAAAAUACGAGUAAUAUUUGGCCAUAAAGUGCAUAUAUUCAUUCCCUCUAAACCAGUCGGUUAAGCCUCACAAUCCAACGUAACCGUAAAUCUUUCUUGGCAGCCAUGAAAUCAGUUCUAAAAUCCCUUGCAAACUCAAUCUUCCUUGUUCUUUUCAUCGUCUUUUCAUCUUCUACUCCACUUGUAUUGGCUCAAUGUGAAGCAGAGACCAAGACUAAUGGAUGCCAUAACUACAGAGAAUCCAUGAAGCUAAAAAUCAUUGCCAUUGUCGCAAUUUUACUAUCCAGCAUGAUUGGCGUGUGUCUACCAUUGUUUUCUGGUCAGGUUCCGUCACUUAAACCCGACAGAAACUUGUUCACCAUUGUCAAGGCAUUUUCCUCCGGUGUUAUUCUAGCGACUGGGUACAUGCACGUGCUACCGGAUUCUUUCAACGACCUUAUGUCCGGGUGUUUGCCUGAAAACCCAUGGAGGAAGUUCCCUUUCACAACCUUCGUCGCAAUGCUGUCGGCUGUGUUGACCCUUAUGGUGGAUUCAUUUGCAAUGAGUGUAUACAAGAAACGUUGCGGUAAAGCUUUAAUGGCGGAUGCUAACAAUGGUGGUGGAUUGGAAAAUACGAACGUUGUACAAAUCGAUAAUUUUGAACACGGCCAUAGCCAUUCACUUGAGAUGAAUGACGACGUAUCAUCACAAUUGUUAAGGCAUCGAGUUAUUGCUCAGGUAUAUAUACAUGUUUGAAUCCUCAAAAUCGAUGGUUUUGCUUUUCAAGUCUUUACAUUAUGUAUUUCCUAAAUGUAGGUAUUAGAGUUGGGAAUUGUAGUUCAUUCAGUGGUGAUUGGUCUUGCAAUGGGAGCCUCUGGCAAUCAAUGCACCAUUCGAUCACUCAUUGCUGCCCUUUGCUUCCAUCAAAUGUUUGAGGGGAUGGGACUUGGUGGAUGCAUACUGCAGGUAACCCCCUACAUUGCACUAUUUUCUCAUUCAAACAUCCAUUUAGUGUACAAUAUUGAUUAACAUUAUGUUUGAUAUGUGCAGGCUGAAUAUGAGAUAAAAAUGAAAGCAAUCAUGGUAUUCUUCUUUUCAGCCACAACGCCACUUGGAAUAGUUCUGGGAAUUGGUUUGUCCAAGGUUUACAGUGAGACGAGUCCAACUUCACUUAUGGUGGUGGGACUACUUAAUGCUUGCUCAGCAGGGUUGCUGAAUUACAUGGCACUGGUUGAUCUCCUUGCAGCUGAUUUUCUGGGCCCUAAGCUUCAAACAAAUAUGAAGCUCCAGGCUUGGUCAUAUGUUGCAGUUUUACUUGGUGCUGGAUUUAUGUCUUUGAUGGCAAAAUGGGCUUAGUCAUUUCAACAUAUACAUGUCUUUUUGUAGUUUUUUAAUCUUUUUUUUUUUAUGCUUCAACUGAUGAGUUUAUAGUGAAUCAACACUUAUUCAAUCAAUUAUAAAAAUUAGGCAAAGAAUUUAGGCAACAAGGCUUGAAUAUUGAUCUUUAAGAUCGUUUACUCCAGAUUGCAGGGCUCAUCACAAAGUAUAUAUAUCAGAAAAGUAUGCAAACUUCAAUUUUGUGUCAAUAUCAUUAUAAUUUAAACUGUUUAAUAUUACAUCAGAUGUAGAUGUCUUUAAGCCAAUGCUUAUAGCCACAAAGUCUCUUUGGUGCAAGCUAUAAGGACAGAGUUAUGCUAUAAAUAAACAAAUAAAUGUUGUAUAAAACCCUUCUCAAAUAAAUGUUGUAUAUAUAUAUUAUUGAGAAGAUCACUAGUUAAACUAAAAGUUUAGUUCUUUAAUGCACCUAAAAAACUUUGUAGUAUCCACAUUGUUAGUGGAUUAAGACUUUAACCAAGUUAAGGUCAGCGCAGAAAAACAAGCAUGCGAGUCAGUAAUAUUCUAAUGCCACCAUCCACCAUUAUUAAACAAACAAAAUAUUUGUCAUUGACAACAAGGCAAUGUGUGUAGGUUUUGAAAAAUAUCAGUAAAGGGAAAAAAAUAAAAACUGAUGAAAUUGAAACUUGUUUUUUAAUAAGGAACGAUGGUGAUGAGCUUAUCUUGUUUGAACCAAUAAUUGCCAAAUGUGAGGACCACAAGAAAGAAAUCAAAAGGGAAAAAAAAAAAAAAAGGUAGGGCUGUUUAAGUGGGGGGAUGCACAUUUGGUACUGGUAAUGGUAGCAAAGUUUUGCAGUAUGGUACCCUUGUGUGGUCACAGAAUUUCCAAGAGACCCCCCUAACAUUACUAUAAGUAACCAAUUGUUGCGGCCAAUAAAAUUUUUACAGUCUGUACUAUAAAAACAAUGCAUACCUUAACUGUUUUUUAAUCCCCCCCAGCCCCCCGCAAUGCAUGAAUACCGAUGAUUGUUUACCAUUAUGAAAGUACAAAUGCAGACACUCCUGUUGUUGGAAAAAAUGCAUUUUAAUGGGAACUUUAAGACAUAUUCUAUAUAGGUAAAAGUGGAGAGUUGAGAUAUUGUUGAGUAAAAAUAAAGGCUUGGAUCCAUAUUGGUUAAAUACCCAAGUGUGAGAUGAGUUUAUAUAUGCGAACCCUCUUAAAAGAUAAUUGAAUGAUUAAGUUUGUAACUUUGUCUCAUGCGUAGAAAGUAUAGGUCUAAAACUGAAAGGGUUGGGGCGCACCCGCACGACGUGGGCAACGUGAAAUGUUUGGACCGGUCAGGCUUAAUUGGGCUUACGGAUAUUUUAAGCAAGCCCAAUACAAAUUUAUUUUUCCUCAGCAGACAUAAUCUGCUUAUAUAUAGACAAUAUUUAAUUUGAUUUAAUUUUUAAACCAAAUUGAUUUUUAUGUUUAUUUCCUUAAUUUUUAAAUCUAAUUUGACUUUUCCUUAAUCGCAGAUUUUAUGUUUAUUUCCAAAUUUUUUUAUUAUCCUAAAUGCCUAUAAAAUGUUGUGUAUUCUGGAGGAUUACACACACAUUCAAAUAAUUUCUUAUACCGAAAUUCUGUUCAUUUCAAAACUCUUCUUUUGCGUCUCUGUAUUUUUACAAUAUUCCAGUGAUAGAAAAAGAAAAAGUUCGUUUGUUCGAUCGUUGUAGAGGUGCUACUACUUUGAUCAUUGUUGUUGUUGUAUCCUGGGAAACAUUCGACCAACAUUUCUCCAAGUACCAUAGGAGCAACCGAAUUUGCCUCAAGGAAACUGUGUUUCACAGGCCUCGACUUUUCGUAAAAUCUCGAUUCUACUUUAUUUCAAAUUUUUAUUUGAUUUUUGUAUUUGAUAAAUUAAUUAUAAAUCAUUCUAUUUAUAUUUUAUUUCAUAUGUGUUUAUUUAUAAUUAAUUAUUUUGUUCGCUAACAUGUUUUGUCCAACACCUAUUACAAUUUUUAUGGUUCGAUUCCUUUUGAUGAAGAUUUCCCCAGGAUAAUACUUACUUCAUAAAACUUCCUAGCUGUGAAACAUGGUACUUAUCUUAUAACAAGACUUUGCUAGGAGAACCGCAAAAUAUGUUCUUAUUAACAUAUGUAACGUAUUAAUCCUUAGUUUCAUCAUGAAUUUGGAUACAAAUGUGUUAAUGGAUAUAGCCACAUAUCUGCAGAUACAGGCACAAGUGAGCAAUAAGAGAGAGCGGUAGAGAGAGAGAGUUGAUAUAUUGGGGUUGAAUUGACGGGUUGUGCAAUUGGAUGCAAGAAAGGUGCAGCAGGCACCUAAGGUCACUAGUAUAAAGGACCCACUUGAGCACAAGUUUGUGUUUCAAUUCAAAUGUUGCUCUCUCAGAUGAUGUUUGGCACCAAAUGGGUUAGGUGUUAAUCCAGUCCCCCUCCGUACAUAGCACUGCUUUCGCAUUUGUAGUGCCCCUUUCGGCCCUUUUCCUUCUGCAUACUAGCUAUGCCUAUAGCAACAUAACUAGGCUAGGCAUGUAUGGGGGUAAAGAACGGCCAUUAGUGAUCCCCUUUUAUUCUUCUUUUACUUUUCAGAUUUGGAACAGAAAGGAAGGAAGGAAAGCCACCAUGAAAGAAAUCAUUCAGUACGUAAUCGGGCAACUGAAGAUUCAUAAGCGUAAAUGAAAGCGAAUUCCGUGAUCUCGAUCUGACUAUUUUCAUGGUAAGCUUACCUAUCCUUUACUAUCAAUCACUAAUCAUUUUACGGUUUAUAGUCGUUUUUUACAUAUCAUGAAAACUAAUCAUUUCGAGAUUUGUGGUUGUCAUUCCCAAUAAUUUUGUUUUCAAUACUUUUUAAUAUUAUUUUAGAUUUUAAAAUUCUUUUCCAAUUUAAAUACUAAUAUAUAUAUAUAUAUAUUAUAGCCCAAUGUUAUUCAACCUUUAAAUUAAUAUAAACAACUUAUACUGUUAUGAGUUUUUUUCCCCAUUUUUAUCUUCAAAAAUUGUGAAUCAAAGGCAAUUAGAUCUGUGAUUUUUGGCUUUGAAAACCUUAUCAACUUGAGCACAAAUCUUUGAUCAAAUAAACUCGAUAUGAUCUUAUUAGAAAAUUUAAACUUCAAAUAAUUUCAAACUUAAAUUUGAAACUGAUUUGGAUGAAAUGAUCUGAAAAUUUCUAAUUUUGAAUUAUUCUAUUAUAGAUCUAGCUAUAGCCCAAGACCCAUCACAAAUCUAUGUAUUUGGAUAAUUACCUUCUUCCUAAAAGAUAUGUUGCAGUGCACUCGAUUAUUUAUUUAGGAUUUUUUUCCCGAUGUGGGAUUAAUGACUUUGAUUAUGUAUUGAUAAAUUUUAAUUUUUAAAGUAAAAAUAGAGAAAUUAAGUUUCAAAUGUACGAACUGUGUAAGAACUUCGAGAAUAUUUUAAUCUUCAAAUUUUUUACUUUAUAAUUUAAUACAAAUAAAUAAUCAAUACAAUGCAAAACAAUGAGAGGCUAAUCUUUUUAACAACAUGCCUACAUCCUCAUUUAAUAAAUGAUUUUAAUUUUUAUAUAAUUCUCAUUCGGCUUAAUGUUGUAUCUAAGUUGAUUAUUAGUAGUGAAGUCAAAAAAAUAUUUUGAGGGUUGAAAUUAAAUUGAAUAUUUUUACGAUAGUAAAAAUAUAAUUUUACCAUUUUAAUAGUCUAUAUAUAAUUUACAAUUAUUAAUUUAAAAUUUUAUAAUUUAUAAAGGAGCCUAAAUGAAAAUUUUUUUCAUUUUAAGGAAACUGGCAUUGGUGAUUAUAAUAAGAAUCAAAUUCUGACCUAUAAGGUUAUACAUUAUUUUUCAGUAAUUGCUUUUUUUUUUCGUUUUGGGUAACAUUUUCCCUAUGUAUUCAUUUAGUUGCCUUACAAAUAAUGUACAUUAUUGUAAAGAGAGUCGAUGUAUUAUUCUUCAAUACUUACCUCGUUUUUUCUAACCCUUUAUUUGCUAAUAAAACACAACGUUUACAUUGGGACCAUAAUUUCAUGCAGAAAGGGAAAAGACUUUGCCAUUCCCUAAUAUCCUUUUCUAAGCAAAGGAUCAUCUAUGUACUAGUGACAAAUGGGUUCAUAUCGGUCUCUCUUCGGAUUAAGAUUACCACCUAUUUGAACCGGUUUAAGUUUGACUAUUUAGAAUUUGAAUACUUUUGAGUUUAGAUUGUCUCAAUUUAAAAUAAGUAUUUAGACUAGUUGAUCCACGAACCGGUUGAACAAACGACCGAUUUGAUUUUUUAAAAUAUAUAUUUUUUAAUUUUUAAUAGUUUAUUCAAUUAAACCAAUUGGAUUGAUUAAAUUGAGUAGAGGUGGUUUCUAUUGCACACAAUCUAAUGAAAGACACAAAAAUGUACAGAAAUGUUUUAAAGUUUAGGUAAAUAAUUUAAUGAAAAAUAGACAUGAUUAGUGGCGAAGUCCUGGUUCUCUAAAAUAGAAUAUUUUCCAUUUAGUCUUUUAUAAUUUUUAAAUUUUUAAAUUAGUAAUGGUAAAAUUACACUUUCCUCGCCUAAAAUUGAUAAAAAAUUGAUUUACCCUUUUAAAAAUUAUAAAGAUAUAAACUAUUAAAAUGGUAAAAUUGUAUUUUUAUUAUCGUAAAAAUAUACAAUUUAAUUUUGUCCCAAAAAUUUUUUUGACUUCGCCCUACAUAUCAUUAUCUUAAUAAAAAAGGUAAAAAUAUUGAGUAUACAAUAAUUAGGUUGAACAAUUUUUGUUGGGAAUAUAUGUUAAAAAAAUAUAGAUUAGCUAUUAAAUGUAAAAUGGCAAAAGAAUAAAUUAUAAAGUGUACACAUAAGGUUGAUUUCGUAAAACUAAAAAUUACCAAUUUUUCACAACUUUGUCAACUAUUAUAUACUUGAGAUGGCAAGAGCCUUUUUUACUUUAAUCGGUGGUUAAUGGUUCGAUCAUUGUCCUGGAUAUGGAGUAACUUUAAAACUCGUGACCAACAUCUAUCCGUUAAUGGGCCUAUAGAAUGUGGAGGGUUAGUUACUAGGUUCGCUCUAAUAGAUACAUUGAUAAAUUAAAAAAAUGGAAUAAAAAAUGUUAGUAAAUUUGACAUUUGAAGUUGUUUAAAGUUAUAAAUUAAAUUGGUAAUAUAUAAGAGAUAUUUUUAUUUGUGUUUAUAUAGAAUUGAAGGAAUAAAAUUUUAAUAUUAACCAUAAAUUAGCAAAUAAUAUCUUCAAAUUUUAAAGUUAUAAAAGUGAAAUAAUAUCAAACAUGAAAUCAAUUACUUUAUUUUAUUUUUUAAUUUUUAUUAUAUAUAGUCAACAUUAUAUUUGAAAAUCAAUAUUACAUAUUGAGAAUUAAUUAUUAUGAACACUUUAUUGUGGGGUUCUUUUACAUUAAUAAUAUAAAAUAAAUAAAUAAAUGCUAGAAUAGGAUAAAGGGAAUAAUAUUUACAAGAAUAGGUAAUGAAAUAGUGAAAUAUCGGUGUUGUCUGACCAAUCGGCGACACCAGACUAAAAUGUGAUGAUCUAAAAGGAUAAAUUGUACCCUAAGUCCCCCUUAUUUAUUAUUUAUUAUUUUUCUUUAACACCAAAAAAUAGAUUGGCCUUUUAUAAAUUAGUCUAGUUUUUUUUUACCAAAAAAUAUUUUUGUAAGUAAACCGUUUCUAUUUAGAAAUAAAUUUUAUUUAUUUUAAAAUAAUAUUUAUAAUUUUAUUAUCCAUUUGAUUUACGUACACAGUAUAAAAUUAUAAUUAUAAAAGCUUUAGAAAAAAUCUUAUUAUGUAUAAAUUAUAAUUAUUAGUUAAAUUUAUAGUUUCCAAAUAUAAUGAGAGAAAAAGAAAACUACUAUAAAUACAGUUAAUUGUAAUGUCAAACAUAAUGUGAUUUUUUUUUAAAAUAAAUAAAAUUUAUUUCGAGUUGGAAUCGACUUACUUGAAAAAAAUACUUUUUAGUAAAAAAAAAUUAGACUAAUUGAUAAGAGGUCAAUUUAUUUUUGGUGUUAAAAGAUAAUAAAAUUUAAUAAUAAAUAGGGGUUUAGGGUGCAAUUUACCCUUUUAAAUUUGGUGCUGUCAUACUGUUAGGCGGCACCCAUGAAGAUUUUUUCGACUGUCAAUUAAAACGGAAAAUUUACAGAUAAGGUCCCUAGAAUUUUUAGAUCAUCACAUUUUAGCCUGGUGCGGCCGAGUGCUCAAGCUGCACCUGAAUUUUUUUAAACUAGAAUUUUUAGAUCAUCACAUUUUAGCCUGGUGCGGCCGAGUGCUCAAGCUGCACCUGAAUUUUUUUAAAUAAAGUGAUGCCGUUGAUUGGUUAGGCGGCACCGGUAUUUCACUAUUUCAUUUGACUAUUCUCAUAAAUAUUAAUCUCUUUAUCCUAUCCUGUAUUUAUUUAUUUAUUUAUUUUAUAUUAUUAACGUAAAAAAUCCUUUAUUGUGACCUGCGGAAACGUGGAAUGAAAACCAAAUAGGUUUUUUUUUUAGUUUUUCUUGAAUUAAAAUGCAACCAAUAAGAAUAAUUGAUAUUUUAAUUUAAUAAAAAUAAAAUUAAUUAAUGUUUGAGUAUUUAAUUUUAAAAAUGAUCAAGAUGUAAUUACAACAAUUAAUUUUAAAAGUUAUUAAAGAUAUUUAUAUAUGUCAAUUUUUUAUAAUUAUUAAUGACAUACAUAUAAAUUAAUUAAUAGCGUAUCUCUCAAAGAUGAUAUUGACAGUGGCGGAGUCAAAAAAUAUUUUUGAGAUAUCGGAAUUAAUGUAAAAAUGUACAAUUUAAUUAAUUUAAUAGUUUUUAUAAUAUUUAAAGAAUUAAAUCAAAAUUUUUAUCAUUUUAAAGAAGAACAAAGUAUAAUUUUACUUUUAUUAAUUUAAAAUGUUAUAAAUUAUAAAUAUUAUACAUGAAUUUUUUUUCAUUUUAGGGACCGGAUACUGUCAGCUCCUAUGACUAUGUAAGCCUUGAAAACAUCCUUUAUUAUUGCAUUUCUUUUUCUACGUUGGCAGUGGUGUGCUUUCGUAGAUUCUAGCCACUCCUUUUUAGAUAAAAUUUCCAAAAGGAAUAGAUAUUAUAUGAGGAAUACUUGGUUGAAGAAAGAAAAAGCAAAAAAACAAAAAAAAAAAUUGGAAAAUGACCUUACAUGAAACUACUCAUGCAAUUGGAUCAACUCAUUCACUCAACCUUUCAAGAGCUUUAUUUACUACUUGGAUACUUAAUAAUUCAUUUAUUUAAUAACUUAUUAUAGGGACCGAACAUGUCUUUUUCAUUUCACCGAAAAUCAAUUUUACAAUAUAAACUCCUAUGACCUUCCCUCUAUGUCUUGCAGUAAUGAUUCCUCUAACAAUUUCUCAAUUCAAUAAAAGAAAAAAAGAAAAGAGGUGAAUAAGAUCUUAAAUAAUAAGAGAUAUGUAAAAAGGAGGCCCGAUUAUGCCCAACCUAAACCUAAAUGGAAUGUAACGACGUAUGGAUCUAUAUGUAGUAUUCUAUAUUAAUAUAGUAAUAUAAUAUUACUAAUAGUAUCGACUCCUUUUUUAUUUUCUAGUUUAUUUUCUAUUUUAGUAUAUUUUACAUCUAAAUUAUAUAGAAUUUUUUAUAUAGAUAUAAAUUAUAUUUAAUCAAUCAAUUGAAUAGAUAUAAUUUAUUUUAUUUAGUUUAGAGUUGUAAAUAGAGAUAAUUAGAGUAAAAAAUCAUUUAUAUGUUUUAUGAUUGCCAACAUUUCUGUCAAAAACAAGUAUAUAUUUGCACCAAUUCAUCCGAGUUAGUGCAAACAUAUGAAAUAUUUAUAUGUCCAUAAAAUAUAUAUAAAUUGGGGUGUUAAGAAAACCAUGAAAUAUUUAUAUGUCCAACGAAAUAAAUCAUUCAGUACGUAAUCGGGCAACUGAAGAUUCAUAAGCGUAAACGAAAGCGAAUUCCGUGAUCUCGAUCCGACUAUUUUCAUGGUAAGCUUACCUAUCCUUUACUGUCAUUCACUAAUCAUUUUACUGUUUAUAUUCGCUUUUUACAUAUCAUGAAAACUAAUCAUUUCAAGAUUUGUAGUUGUCAUUUUCAAUAACUUUGUUUUCAAUACUUUUUAAUAUCAUUUUAAAUUUUAAAGUUCUUUUCCAAGUUAAAUACUAAUAUAUAUAUAUUAUAGCCCCAUGUUAUUCAACCUUUAAAUUAAUAUAAACAAGUACUUAUACUGUUAUGAGUUUUUUUUUCCCUUUUUUAUCUUCAAAAAUUGUGAAUCAAAGGCAAUUAGAUCUGUGAUUUUUGGAUUUGAAAACCUUAUCAACUUGAACAUAAAUCUUUGAUCAAAUAAACUCGAUAUGAUCUUAUUAGAAAAUUUAAACUUCAAAUAAUUUCAAAUUUAAAUUUUAAACUGAUUUGGAUGAAAUUAUCUGAAAAUUUCUAAUUUUGAAUUAUUCUAUUAUAGAUCUAGCUAUAACCCAAGACCCAUCACAAAUGUAUAUAUGUAUUUGGAUAAUUAGCUUCUUCCUAAAAGAUAUGUUGCAGUGCACUCGAUUAUUUAUUUAGGAUUCUUUUUCUUUCUGAUGUGGAAUUAACGACUUUGAUUAUGUAUUGAUAAAUUUUAAUUUUGAAAGUAAAAAUAGAGAAACUAAGUUUCAAAUGUACGAAGUGUGUAAAAACUUCGAGUAUAUUUUAAUCUUUAAAUCUUUUACUUUAUAAUUUAAUACAAAUAAAUAAUCAAUCCAAUGCAAAAUAAUGAGGGGCUAAUCUUUUUAACAACAUGCCUACAUCCUCAUUUAAUAAAUGAUUUUAAUUUUUAUAUAAUUCUCAUUCAGCUUAAUGUAGUAACUAAGUUGAUUAUUAGUAGUGAAGUCAAAAAAAUAUUAAUUUUGAGGGUUGAAAUUAAAUUGAAUAUUUUUACGAUAGUAAAAAUGUAAUUUUACCAUUUUCAUAGUCUAUAUAUAAUUUUACAAUUAUUAAUUUAAAAUUUUAUAAUUUAUAAGGGAGCCUAAAUGAAACUGGCAUUGGUGAUUAUAAUAAGAAUCAAAUUUUGACCUAUGAGGUUGUACAUUAUUUUUCAGUAAUUGAUUUUAUUUUUUUCGUUUUGGGUAACAUUUUCCCUAUGUAUUCAUUUAGUUGCCUUACAAAUAAUGUACAUUAUUGUAAAGAGAGUCGAUGUAUUAUUCUUCAAUACUUACCUUGUUUUUUCUAACCCUUUAUUUGCUAAUAAAACACAACGUACAUUGGGACCAUAAUUUCAUGCAGAAAGGGAAAAGACUUUGCCAUUCCCUAAUAUCCUUCUCUAAGCAAAGGAUCGUCUAUGUACUAGUGACAAAUGGGUUCAUAUCGGUCUCUCUUCGGAUUAGGAUUACCUCCUAUUUGAACCGGUUUAAGUUUGAGUAUUUAGAAUUUGGAUAAUUUUGAGUUUAGAUUGUCUCAAUUUAAAAUAAGUAUUUAGACUAGUUGAUUCACGAACCGGUUGAAUAAACGACCGAGUUGAUUUUUUAAAAUAUAUAAUUUUUAAUUUUUAAUAGUUUAUUCAAUUAAACCAAUUGGACUGAUUAAAUUGAGUAGAGGUGGUUUCUAUUGCACACAAUCUAAUGAAAGACACAAAAAUUUACAGAAAUGUUUUAAAGUUUAGGUAAAUAAUUUAAUGAAAAAUAGACAUGAUUAGUGGCGAAGCCCUAGUCCUCUAAAAUAGAAUAUUUUCCAUUUAAGUCUUUUAUAAUUUAUAAAAUUUUAAAUUAGUAAUGGUAAAAUUGCACUUUCCUCCCCUAAAAUUGAUAAAAAAUUGAUUUAUCCUUUUAAAAAUUAUAAAGAUAUAAACUAUUAAAAUGGUAAACUUGUAUAUACAAUUUAAUUUUGUCCCAAAAAUUUUUUUGACUUCGCCCUACAUAUCAUUAUCUUAAUAAAAAAGGUAAAAAUAUUGAGUAUACAAUAAUUAGGUUGAACAAUUUUUGUUGGGAAUAUAUGUUAAAUAAAAUAUAGGUUAGCUAUUAAAUGUAAAAUGGCAAAAGAAUAAAUUAUAAAGUGUACACAAGGUUGAUUUCGUAAAACUAAAAAUUACCAAUUUUUCACGUCUUUGUCAACUAUUAUACACUUGAGAUGGCAAGAGCCUUUUCUACUUUAAUCGGUGGUUAAUGGUUCGAUUAUUGUCCUGGAUAUGGAGUAACUUUAAAACUCGUUACCAACAUCUAUCCCGUUAAUGGGCCUAUAGAAUGUGGAGGGUUAGUUAUUAGGUUCGCUCUAAUAGAUACAUUGAUAAAUUAAAAAUAUGGAAUAAAAAAUGUUAGUAAAUUUGACAUUUGAAGUUGUUUAAAGUUAUAAAUUAAAUUGGUGAUAUAUAAGAGAUAUUUUUAUUUGUGUUUAUAGAGAAUUGAAGGAAUAAAAUUUUAAUAUUAACCAUAAAUUAGCAAAUAAUAUCUUCAAAAUUUAAAGUUAUAAAAGUGAAAUAAUAUCAAACAUGAAAUCAAUCACAUUAUUUUAUUUUUUAAUUUUUAUUAAAUAUAGUCAACAUUAUAUUUGAAAAUCAAUAUUACAUAUUGAGAAUUAAUUAUUAUGAACAUUUUAUUGUGGGGUUUUUUUACAUUAAUAAUAUAAAAUAAAUAAAUAAAUAAAUACUAGAAUAGGUUAAAGGGAAUAAUAUUUACAAGAAUAGGUAAAUGAAAUAGUGAAAUAUCGGUGUUGUCUGACCAAUCGGCGACACCAGACUAAAAUGUGAUGAUCUAAAAGGAUAAAUUGCACCCUAAAUCCCCCUUAUUUAUUAUUAUUUAGUAUUUUUCUUUAACACCAAAAAAUAGAUUGGCCUUUUAUAAAUUAGUCUAAAUUUUUUUUACCAAAAAAUAUUUUUGUAAGUAAACCGUUUCCAUUUAGAAAUAAAUUUUAUUUAUUUUAAAUAUAUAUUUUUAUUUUUAUUAUCCAUUUGAUUUACGUACACAGUAUAAAAUUAUAAUUAUAAAAGCUUUAGAAAAAAUCUUAUUAUGUAUAAAUUAUAAUUAUUAGUUAAAUUUAUAGUUUCCAAAUAUAAUGAGAGAAAAAGAAAACUACUAUAAAUACAGUUAAUUGUAAUGUCAAACAUAAUGUGAUUUUUUUAAAAAAAUAAAUAAAAUUUACUUCGAGUUGGAAUCAACUUACUUGAAAAAAAUACUUUUUAGUAAAAAAAAAAUUUAGACUAAUUGAUAAGAGGCCAAUUUCUUUUUGGUGUUAAAAGAGAAUAAAAUUUAAUAAUAAAUAGGGGGUUUAGGGUGGAAUUUACCCUUUUUAAUUUGGUGCUGUCAUACUGUCAGGAGGCACCCAUGAAGAUUUUUCGACUGUCAAUUAAAACGGAAAAUUUACAGAUAAAGUCCCUGGAAUUUUUAAAUCAUCACAUUUUAGCCUGGUGAGGCCGAGUGCUCAAGCUACACCCAAAUUUUUUUAAAUAAAGUGAUGCCGUUGAUUGGUUAGCCGGCACCGGUAUUUCACUAUUUCAUUUGACUAUUCUCAUAAAUAUUAAUCUUUUUAUCCUAUCCUGUAUUUAUUUAUUUAUUUAUUUUAUAUUAUUAAUGAAAAAAAUCCUUUAUUGUGACUUGCGGAAACGUGGAAUGAAAACCAAAUAGGUUUUUUUUUUUUUAGUUUUUCUUGAAUUAAAAUGCAACCAAUAAGAAUAAUUGAUAUUUUAAUUUAAUAAAAAUAAAAUUAAUUAAUAUUUGAGUAUUUAAUUUUAAAAAUGAUCAAGAUGUAAUUACAACAAUUAAUUUUAAAAGUUAUUAAAGAUAUUUAUAUAUGUCAAUUUUUUAUAAUUAUUAAUGACAUACAUAUAAAUUAAUUAAUAGCGUAUCUCUCAAAGAUGAUAUUGACAGUGGCGGAGUCAAAAAAUAUUUUUGAGAUAUCGGAAUUAAUGUAAAAAUGUACAAUUUAAUUAAUUUAAUAGUUUUUAUAAUAUUUAAAGAAUUAAAUCAAAAUUUUUAUCAUUUUAAAGAAGAACAAAGUAUAAUUUUACUUUUAUUAAUUUAAAAUGUUAUAAAUUAUAAAUAUUAUACAUGAAUUUUUUUUCAUUUUAGGGACCGGAUACUGUCAGCUCCUAUGACUAUGUAAGCCUUGAAAACAUCCUUUAUUAUUGCAUUUCUUUUUCUACGUUGGCAGUGGUGUGCUUUCGUAGAUUCUAGCCACUCCUUUUUAGAUAAAAUUUCCAAAAGGAAUAGAUAUUAUAUGAGGAAUACUUGGUUGAAGAAAGAAAAAGCAAAAAAACAAAAAAAAAUUGGAAAAUGACCUUACAUGAAACUACUCAUGCAAUUGGAUCAACUCAUUCACUCAACCUUUCAAGAGCUUUAUUUACUACUUGGAUACUUAAUAAUUCAUUUAUUUAAUAACUUAUUAUAGGGACCGAACAUGUCUUUUUCAUUUCACCGAAAAUCAAUUUUACAAUAUAAACUCCUAUGACCUUCCCUCUAUGUCUUGCAGUAAUGAUUCCUCUAACAAUUUCUCAAUUCAAUAAAAAAAAAAAAGAAAAGAGGUGAAUAAGAUCUUAAAUAAUAAGAGAUAUGUAAAAAGGAGGCCCGAUUAUGCCCAACCUAAACCUAAAUGGAAUGUAACGACGUAUGGAUCUAUAUGUAGUAUUCUAUAUUAAUAUAGUAAUAUAAUAUUACUAAUAGUAUCGACUCCUUUUUUAUUUUCUAGUUUAUUUUCUAUUUUAGUAUAUUUUACAUCUAAAUUAUAUAGAAUUUUUUUAUAUAGAUAUAAAUUAUAUUUAAUCAAUCAAUUGAAUAGAUAUAAUUUAUUUUAUUUAGUUUAGAGUUGUAAAUAGAGAUAAUUAGAGUAAAAAAUCAUUUAUAUGUUUUAUGAUUGCCAACAUUUCUGUCAAAAACAAGUAUAUAUUUGCACCAAUUCAUCCGAGUUAGUGCAAACAUAUGAAAUAUUUAUAUGUCCAUAAAAUAUAUAUAAAUUGGGGUGUUAAGAAAACCAUGAAAUUAAUAAUGAUGUAAUUGUCAUUUACUAAUCCUAUAAUUAAACUUAAUCUCAUUUUCUUUCCAUCUCAAAACUAAAAAUGGAAAAUACCACUUUGCUUAGUUGGUAGAAGCGAAUAUUUUCCCAUUAAAAUAUGUUUUGGUAUACGACAUUUUAUGGUGGUUGGCUAGUCAUUACUCAGCUGUUUCCACGAGACUUCCUUUCUUUUAAAGUAAGAUGAAGUCAUCUUUCUCAAAUCAUUACUUUCUGCCUUUGCUCUGUUAAGAAGGGGGAAAAUUAUCAGUUAUUGAUCAUAGCCAAAAGGUACGCCAUCUGCUUUGCUCUUACUCUUUUGAAAUACUUGUCCGUAUAAAUAAGCUUAGGCAGGCAGAUUUAACCCUGAAAAUGGACUUCUUUUAUGCUUUAAAUCUAUUUAGCUUUAAGAUUUUGAGUCCUGUACUUUUUGGAUUUAAAAUCUUCAUCUUUCCCUUCAAAUUUACACUUAGUGUUGUUGACCUGACAAAUAUAAAAAGAUCAAAUAAAUUUUUUAGCCUUAAUUUGAUCUUUACUUUUUAAAGUUACAUAAAAAUUCAGAAUUAAGAAGAAAACAUAUUUUCAGUAAAAAUCCAUUAAAAAGAUUGUGGAAAACACUCUUUAAAGUUCGUAGAAAAAAGGUUGUGAUCUAUCAACAACUUGUGCCUUCCACAUACUGGAAUAUGGUUAUUAAGAGGUUGAGUACUGCUUUAUCUCGUAGAAGAAGGAUUUGUACUAGAUGAUCAUAGGUUGGGUCAAUGUAAAAAUUUUAAAUUUGUUUUUCAGGUCCGGACUUGGCUCAACUAAACAAAUGCGCCUAAAAUUUUAUUUAAGUUCAACCUAGAUAAAAAAUACUAAAUCUGGACCCGUAUUAAAUUUUUUAGAUUUUUUUAUAUAAAAAUAAAUUUAAAAAAUAUAAUACAUUAAAUACUCUAAACACAUUAAAAUGAAUGUUUCUCAACAAAUUGAAAAUAUAUUAAAAAAAUUCUUUAUAUUUAAAUAACACUAACAUAGUUAUAACUUAGCAAACAAACAUUUCUAAAAUAAUAGCAAAAUUAAAAAUAAAAUAAGAGUUAUACAAUAUCUAAAUAAUAGUAGUAAAAUAGUAAUAAUAUAAUAGUGAAACAGUAGCAAAAUAACAACAUAAAAGCAGUAAACAGCAGCAAAAUAAUAAUUAAAUUCGAGUUAGGUUCAAACUAAAAAAAUCUUAUCAGAGGCUCAGCCCAUUUAAAACUCAAAUCUUAUUUUUUUCGAAGUUUAUUUUUUGGGUUUAUAUUAUUGCCUAAACUCUUUAUGUUUUGAAUGGACUUUUUAAAUUCGACUCAUAAUCAAGUCUACUUUAUAAUAAACGCUAUAUAUGGUUGGAAAGAUGGUUUGAUAGGGUACUAAAAUUAAAUGAAAAAUCAUUUAAAAAACAAAUUAAAUAUUCAAACAUUAAAUAUAUAUUUUAUAUAUAAUUGGUUUGAACUAAAUUAACAAAAUACUUUGAUAGUUUUCAGAAAAUUCCUGUAACGAGAGAAUUAGUCACUGUUGCUAGCGGCUAAUAUAUUUAAUUUCAAUAAAAAAUUACCAAAAUACUUUUUGAAUAUGAUUUAGUGCAAGUUGCACAGGUAGUUUAAAAUUUGAAGAUAUUAUUACUAUUUAAGGAGUAAAUAUAUUUUUUAAAUUGAAACAUUUAAUAUGAUUUAUUAUUUUCUAUUUUUUAAAAAAUUAACUAAAUUAAAAAAUGUGCAACAAAUUAAAUAGUUAGAAGUUUUAAAUUUAAAUCAAAAUUGAAAUUUAUGAUCUACAUGAAUAUAACAUAUAAUAUAAUGAUUGUAUCAUUAAAAUAUUAAUAAUAUAAAUAAUUACGGAAGUGUGUAAAAUUACUUUAAUUUUUUACAUUGCGUAAGUAGAUCAUUCCCCUUAAUAUUAAUAAAUUUUCAUAAAGUAAAAUUACUUUACUUUAAUUGUCAUAAAGUAAAACAUUAAUCUCAUAUUUAUAUUUUUAAGAUUAUGCAAAUGUGUUCUUUUUAAAAACUAUAUAAGAUAAUUCAAGUUUUGGUCUUUAUCGUCGCUGUGGUUAUUCAGUUUGCUCUCUUACUUGUUUGUUUACAGAAGCUCUACUUUUUACUCAUUUUUACUUGUAAUUUUUUCUUCUUGUUUUGUUUUGAUUUCUGUUGCGGCUGUGGUUUUUCAGUUUACUUGCUGUUUGCUCUCUCAAUGGAGUUCGUUAUUGGCAUCGUUAGCUCUAUUUUCACUAAAGCUGCAGAGUAUACGAUUUCUCCUAUCAUAAACCAUGUCAAAUACCUUUCCAAUCAUCAGCAAAAUGUUGAGACCCUCAAGGACCAAGCUGAGAAGCUGAAAGAUGCAAGGGACAGAGUGCAGCAUUCUGUUGAUGCAGCUCAACGAAACGGCAAAGAGAUCGAACGUGAUGUUAACAACUGGAUGUCGGCAGUGGACAGGAAGAUCCCUGAACAAGUAGAGAAAGUGAUGCAAGAUGAAGAAAAGGCAAAGAAAAAGUGUUUCAUUGGUUUGUGUCCUAAUUUUUGGACUCGUUACAAGCAUAGCCUGAAAGCUGCAGCGGAGGCGAAGGCUGUUGCCGAGCUACUUGAACAGGGCAAGUUUGGCGGUGUUUCUUAUCCUGUACCUUCACAGAGUAUCACUGUCCCACCGGGUAAAGGUUAUGAGGAAUUCGAGUCAAGAACGUUGAUUUUGAACGGAAUAAUGGAGGCACUAAAAGAUGAUAGCAUCAUCAUUGUUGGGGUGCAUGGUGCGGGUGGGAUUGGAAAAACAACGCUGGUCAAAGAAAUCGCUAGAAAGGUCAAGGGCAAGUUGUUUGAUUCAGUUGUCAUAGCAACUGUAACUCAAGCCAAGGAUAUUAAGAGGAUUCAGAACGAAAUUGCAGACUUCUUGGACUUGAAAUUUGAGAAACAGAGUAUGGUUGGAAAGGCAAUUCAACUAAGACAAAGAUUGAAGAAAGAGGAGAGGAUUCUGGUUAUCUUGGAUGACAUUUGGCAAGAGUUUGAUAUUGAGGAAGUAGGGAUUCCUUUGGGAGAUGAACACAAGGGCUGCAAAUUACUAUUAACUUCUAGAUACCUCAAUGUUUUAUCAAAUGGGAUGGAGUGUCCUCAGAUUAUAGCUAACCUUCCUAAGGAGAUGGAGUGUUCAGGACUUUCCUUUUUCCAUAUGGCCUAUGAUGGCACGGAUAAAAUUCCUCUCAAUUUCUUCAAACAAACCGAAGGCCUGAAAGCCUUAGAUUUGGUCGGAAUUCAGUUUCAAUCCCUCCGUGAAUCAAUUAUUCACCUUGCAGACCUUCGCAUGUUGUGUCUGAAAAAAUGUGCAGUUGAUGACAUAACCAUCCUUGGAGAGCUCAAGAGUUUACAAGUACUCAACCUUUCUCAGUCCGGUAUCAAAGAACUACCCAAGGAGAUGGCACAAUUGACUCAAUUAAGGUUGUUAGAUUUGCGUGGGUGUAGAGAACUCAAAAUCAUCCCACCGAAUGUCUUAUCAGGUUUGUCUAAAUUAGAAGAAUUAUAUAUGAGUGGGAGCUUUGUUGAAUGGGAAAAGGGAGGAGUAGUUGAAAAUGAGAGGAAAAAUGCAAGCCUUGAUGAAUUAAACAAUUUGCGUUAUCUAACUACUUUAUAUGUUCGUAUUCUUGAUGUCCAAAUGAUACCAAAACACCAGUUUGUUGAAAAAUUGGACAGAUUCAGGAUUUUUGUAGGUAAUUAUGGAAUAUAUGAUUGUUGCCAUAAUUAUGAAUCUCCGAAAGCAUUGAAGCUCAUGUUAUAUACAAACAUUGAUUUGGACAAUGGAAUGAAAAUGUUGUUGAAAAAGACAGAAGAUUUGUGCCUAGAGGGACUUGAAGGCGUCAAGAAUGUACUUGUGGAGUUAAAUAAUGGGAAAGAUCUUCCAAAUUUAAAGAGACUUCAUGUCAAAAAUGGUAGGCAUGUCCAACAUAUUAAAACGAACAAAAUUGGAUUUUCUGAAUUAUGUUUCAUCACACUUGAAAAUCUACCGCAACUCGUUAGCUUUUGCUCUCCAGACGAAAGGUGUUCCACUAAGCCCUUACUACUUUCCAAUAAACAGGUAUUUGUUUGGCUGUACUUAUAUUUUCUUAUACAACUUUUAUUUAUAUGCCCAUUAAUACUUCUAAUAAUAGAAAUAUAUAAUAUUGUGUAAUGGUUUUUCCGGAGCUCAAAAAUAAAUUUCAAAUCUAAAAUAAAUGAAAAUUUAAUUUUUAAUUCAAACCGAUUGAAAGUACAGAGUCAAUUCAAUAAUCUAAAUUUAAACCGAAAUUUUUUUUUAAUUCUGAAAAUAAAAUUUGAGCCCACAAAUCGAACUAAAAUUAUCUUUAAAAUUGAAAAUCAUAUUUUCAAAUUAUGUUACAUACUAUCUUUCCCUAUCGAAAAAGAAUUGUGUGUAAAUAUGUGCAAUUUAUUUUCCCUCACUUGGAAAGCUUGUAAUUGUGUUCCAUUAACACCAAAAUUAUAUGGCACAACCAGACAUGUCAUUGGGUUACGAAUUUGAGGAGCUUGAUCAUCAAAGGAUGCGGCAAGUUGGAGCAUCUGUUAUCACCCUCUCUCGCUAGAAGUCUGGUGCAGCUCCAAUGCUUUGAGAUAGAGGAUUGCAAUUGCUUAAGGGACAUAAUACUUACAGAGGAAAUUGAUGAAGAAAGGAAAGAUGUGAUUUGUUUCCCUCGAUUAAACUCCCUGUAUAUAGAUGGUCUUCCAAACCUCAUCUUCUUCAACUCAGGAAACCACAAUAUUGAGUUCCCAUUGUUGAAAGAGCUAAGGAUUAGGCGUUGCCCCAAGUUAAUAGAAUUCAUUAGUCAGAAUAGUAAUCAGUCCGGCAUGCACGCUCUCUUCAGUGAGAAGGUGAUUUAUUUCAUUAGUCUUACACUCUUGCAUAAAUCUGUUGAUUUGUCCUUGUUUUUUUUUUCUACCUUCAUUAUUUGAGCUAACCUUAUUAUGGGCAUGGAUUAUAUAUAUAUAUGAAUAGGUUGCAGUUCCUAGCUUGGAAGACAUGCAUAUCAGUGACUUGAGUAAUGUGAAGAUGAUAUUUUAUAAUUGUUGGAGCUAAGUGCAACAAAUAGCAAGGUUCAACAAAAAGCUUGCCGAGCAAGAAUCGAGACUUGCGGCAGAAACAAAGAAGAAAAAUGAAAUAAAUUUUAAGCAAAGCUAAAAUAGAGAGUAUAUGGAUGAAAUCUUGAUUGAAUUCAUUCAUUUUUUUUAAAAUGGCAUAAAGCCUAUUUAUACAAGCUUACAACUUGACAACUUAGUUGGAAUACAACUAAGUUUCAUUAUUACAUCCACUUAAAAUAAAUCACCACCUACUACCACUAACAAACUUAGUUGGAAUACAACUAAGUUUCAUCAUUAUAUCCACUUAAAAUAAAUCACCACCUACUACCACUAACAAACUUAGUUGGAAUACAACUAAGUUACAUCAUUACAUCCAAAUAAUAAUAAUAAUAAUAAUAAUAAUAAUAAUAAUAAAACAUGUGAUUGCUACAUGCUAACCAUUGCUUCAAUACUCCUCCUUGGUUUGCAUGGAGCAAACACCUAGCUUCCUUCUUAGACAUUCGAACCUUGUGACAUUAAGGGCUUUAGUCAAAAUGUCUGCAAGUUGAUCCUCAGAAUUACAAUGGAUCAGCUUCACUUCCUGAGCUUGCUCCAUUUCUCGAACAACAUGCAACUUGAUGCUGAAAUGCUUUGUUCUUUCAUGGAACACUGGAUUUUUAGCAAUUGCAACUGAAGAUUGGUUGUCACAGAAGAUCUCAGUAGCUUCCUUUUGAUGCACUUUCAAAUCAGCUAAGAUUUUCCUUAGCCAAAUGACUUGGUUGACAGCACUUGCAGCUGCCACAUAUUCUGCUUCAGUAGUAGAUUGAGCCACCAGACUUUGCUUCUUCGAGCUCCAGCAAAACAUGGCUGAACCAAGGUUGAAAGCAUACCCUGAGGUGCUUUUCAUGUCAUCUAUCGAGCCAGCCCAGUCACUAUCAGUGUAGCCAACCAGCUUCAGAUUUCCUUCCUUGCUGUACCUUAAACCAUAGCUCAAAGUGCCUUUGACAUAUCUAAGCACUCUCUUAGCAGCUUGUAAAUGCUUUUUAUUGCAACAAUGCAAGAACCUUGAGAGCAAUCUUACAGCAUACAUUAUGUCUGGUCUAGUGGCAGUUAAAUAUAACAGACAACCAACUAGACUUCUGUAGGUUGUUUCACAAACCUUCUCAAAAUCACCUUGGCUCGAUAGUUUUUCUCCAACAGCAACAGGUGUUUUAGUUGCUUUACUGUUUUGCAUGGAGAACUUGGUCAGAAUCUUUGUGGCAAAGUUUCUCUGACUUAGAAAUAUCCCAUUUUGUGCUUGAGUCACCUUCAUUCCAAGGAAAUAAGACAUUUCCCCUAGAUCAGACAUUUCAAAUACUUCUUGCAUCUUGGUCUUGAAAUCGACCAGCACUGCUCGAUCUCCUCCUGUCACCAACAGGUCAUCAACAUAUAGGGAUACGAUGAGCUGUGUUUGUGUCCCUUGCUUCUUGACAUACAGUGUUGGCUCACUCUUGCUUCGAUCGAAUCCCAAAUUAGUCAAGUAGCCAUCGAUUCUGCUGUACCAGGCCCUUGGAGCCUGUUUUAAGCCAUAUAGGGCCUUCUUCAGUUUGUAGACCAUAUGCUCUCUGCCAGCUAUCUCAAACCCUUGUGGUUGUUCAACAUAGAUCUCUUCAUCUAAGAAACCAUUCAGAAAGGCUGAUUUCACAUCGAGUUGAUGGAUCUUCCACUCGAGCUGUGCUGCUAAGGCAAUCAGUAAUCUGAUGGUGUCUAGCCUGGCCACUGGUGCAAAGGUCUCCAGGUAGUCCAGGCCAUACCUCUGACUGAACCCCUUGACAACUAGCCUUGCUUUCAGUUUGUUCAAGGUACCAUCAGCAUUUUGCUUGGCUUUGUACACCCAUUUCACCCCAAUUAUCUUCCUUUUGACUGGCCUUUCAACUAAUUCCCAGGUCUGGUUCUUCUCAAUCAUGCUAAUCUCCUCAGCCAUUGCCUGCUUCCACUCUUGCUGAGCUUCAGCCUUUUCAAAAUUGCUUGGUUCAACUAUGACUACAUGAGCUCUUUCAUAAAUCUCAGUCAAUGGUCUUGUUCCUCUAACUGGUUCAUCAUCAAUGUCCAUUUCAGGAACAUUUUGAUCUGGCUCAGCUUGAUCUGCUGCAAGUCCUUCUGAAACUUCCUCAGGUUCAUGUUUUUCCCAGUUCCAACAUGACUUUUCAUCAAAUACCACAUCCCUACUGACUGACACUUUCUUUGUUGAAGGAUCCAAGAUCCUAUAAUCCUUCUUAACAGUGCUGUAGCCCACCAAAAUACCAGGUCGAGCCCUUUCAGACAAUUUGUCCCUUUUGACAGCAGGUACAUGAGCAUAACAGAUGCAUCCAAAGACCUUCAGAUGAGCCAGUGAUGGCUUGAAUCCAAACCAGGCUUCGAAUGGAGUCUUCUGAUCCAAGACCUUGGUUGGAAGCCUAUUUUGAAUGUAGUUUGCAGUGUUAACUGCCUCUGCCCAUAGUGCUUUAGGCAGAUUCUUCUGAAUCAUCAAGCACCUGGCCAUAUCCAUCAAACUCCUAUUCUUCCUUUCACUUACACCAUUUUGCUGAGGUGUAUAUGUGUUGGUAAGUUGAUGUUUGAUGCCUGCCUUAUCACAGAAGGCUUGGAACUGAGCUGAGGUGUACUCAGUCCCAUUAUCAGACCUUAUAGACUUCAGCUUGCAACCUGUUUCAGUCUCAGCAGCAGUCUUGAACUUCCAAAAUACUGAGGCCGCCUCUGAUUUCUGUUUUAGGAAGUAAAGCCAACAAUAUCUUGAAAAAUCAUCAAUGAACAGUAUGAAGUACCUGUUUCCACUUAAUGACUCAGUCCUCAUAGGGCCACACACAUCAGUGUGCACCAGUUGGAGUUUUUCAGAGGCUCUCCAGGCUUGAUUCGAGGGAAAUGGGAGUCUGGCCUGCUUUCCUAGCUGACAUACUUCACACACAUCAUCAUGAUCCACUGAGUUGAUGAAGUUUUCAGCCAAGUCCUCUCUGACCAUUCGAGCCAUCGAUCUGAAGUUGGCAUGUCCCAGUCUUUGAUGCCAAAGCUUAGAUUCAUCUGAUGUGACUGUGUAGGCAAUGUCUGACUCCCUGGUCCAGUCAACUACAAAGCUCUUAUUAGCCAUAGGAACUGCCAUCAGCUUGGAUCCACUUGGAUCAUUGAUUUGGCAUUGGUUGUCUUUGAACACAACAGAAUAACCUUUCUCCAGCAACUGAGCUAUGCUGAGCAGGUUUCUGUCAAUUUUAGGCACCAAAAGCACAUUUGAAAUCACUUUGGCACCUGUGGGGGUGCAUAUCAGCACAUCACCCUUGCCUUCAGCUUGAAUAAAAUGUCCAUUUCCUAUCUUGACUUUAGUUCUGCAGCUUCUGUCUAAAGACUUGAAGAUUGCAGCAUCAGGUGUCAUGUGGUUGGUGCAUCCACUGUCUAGAAGCCAACCAGAUGAGAACCUUUCUUGAGCAGCUGAGCAUAACACAGCAAAGACUUGCUCCUCUUGGUCACCGUCCUCCUUAGCUACUCGAGCCUCAGCUUUCUUCUGUUGAAACUGACUCUGCCUUGAUUUGGCCUUGCUCUUGCAGACUUUCUCAACAUGACCCUUCUUUUUACAAUGCUGACAUACAUCAUCUGGAUUGAACCAGCAUUUUUCUUUUGGAUGACCAGCCCUUCUGCAGUGCUUGCAAGUCUGACCCUCUUUUCUUGCAACAUCAGUCCUUGGCUUGUCUCUCUAGGCCUUCUUGCCUUUGUAGGCAGUGUUUGUUCUUGCCUGAAAGGCACCUUCUUGAUGCUCCUCCAGUCUGCUUGCUCUUCUUUGCUCUUGAGCAUAUAAAGCAUUGAUAAACUCUGUCAGGGAGAUGGUGUACAGGUCCCUUGAGUCCUCGAGAGAUGAGAUUUUUGCCUCAUACCUCUCGGGCAGAGUUGCAAUAACCUUCUCCACUAUCCUAGCUUCCUUGAGCUGCUCUCCAAGGAGCCUUAUGCUGUUAACCACAGCCAUAAUCCUGUCAGAGUACUGCUUGAUAGUUUCUUCUUCCUUCAUCUUCAAAUUCUCAAAAUCUCUCCUUAAGUUCAGCAACUAUUGCUGCCUUGUCCUCUCUGUCCCUUGAAACUCCUCUUGCAACUUGUCCCAGGCUUGUUUUGGUGAUUCACAGGCCAUAAUCCUUGUGAAAAUCACAUCUAACACUGAGUUCUGGAUGCAAGACAUGGCUUUGUGCCUCUUAGUCCUCUCAUCAGCAUGCUGCCUGAUUUGAGCCACUAUUGGAUUGCCUCUAAGUGGCUCUGGUUCAACAUCUGAGUUGACUACCUCCCACAGAUCGAAAGCUUGUAGGUAGGUCUUCAUUUUAACCACCCAUAUGUGGUAGCCUUCUCCAUUGAAGACUUGAGGUGCAGUUGGUGAAAAGCUUGAUGAAGCCAUGAAUUUGUAUAACAGAUCCCUUAAGAAAUAGGCUCUUGAUACCAAUUGUUGGAGCUAAGUGCAACAAAUAGCAAGGUUCAACAAAAAGCUUGCCGAGCAAGAAUCGAGACUUGCGGCAGAAACAAAGAAGAAAAAUGAAAUAAAUUUUAAGCAAAGCUAAAAUAGAGAGUAUAUGGAUGAAAUCUUGAUUGAAUUCAUUCAUUUUUUUUUAAAAUGGCAUAAAGCCUAUUUAUACAAGCUUACAACUUGACAACUUAGUUGGAAUACAACUAAGUUUCAUCAUUACAUCCACUUAAAAUAAAUCACCACCUACUACCACUAACAAACUUAGUUGGAAUACAACUAAGUUUCAUCAUUACAUCCACUUAAAAUAAAUCACCACCUACUACCAUGUAAUAGCCCGAUUUUAGGCUUAGUCGGAACAGUGGUUUCGGGACCACAAAUCCGACGAAAAAAAAAAUGUAAUGGCUUGAAUUUUCAGAGGUGUCAGAACGGUGAUUCGAGAUCACUAAAUUCGACAAAUGGGUAGAAAAUAUUAUUAAUUUAGUAAGUAUAAGUUAAAUAUGAAGUUAGGAAAAUUUUUGAAAUAGUGAAUAGUGCACUAGAAAUAAAUAUUAAAAUAAUUAGAAUCGAAAUGAGGUAUCAAGACCUCGGGGAUUUUAAACUGAGCCAUAAAUAUUUUUAUAAAUAUUUAUGGAGUGUUAAAAAGUUAGUAUUAAAGUUUCGUUAAGAAAUUUUAAAGUUCCGAUAAUUAAUUGAACAAAAAGGACUAAAUUGUAACAAAUGCAAAAUUUUGGAAAAUGAUUAAAUAACUUAAAUGAUAAAAGGAAGAGGGCUUAAAAGGCAAAUAGACCCAAGGUCUAUUUGGGCUGGACGGCAGAGGCAUGAAAUCAGCAAAAAAGUAAGGAGAAUUAAGGGCAAAAUUGGAAAAUUGCAAAAUUUGCUUAAUAAAGUUAGGACCCAAGUGGAAUUAUCUAGAUUUCUCUUCAUUUUUCUGAAUUCUCAUCAGCUAAAACACCAUGGAAGGGCUUCUUCAAGCUGGUUCUUCAUAUUUUUAUUACAAGUAAGUUCAAUUCUUGACUAUUUCUUGAAAUUUUUGUAUUUUUAUGACUUUUACAACUAGGCCCACUUGUUAAAUCCAUUAGUUUUUGAUUUUAUGAAAGAAUUUGAAAGUUGAUAUGAAUAUGUGCUGGAAGUAUAUGAUGAUUUAGCAUGAAAUUAGAGAUUUAAAUUGUUCAUAUGCUGAUUUUAUUGAAAGAAUUGAAUAGAAAGUGAAUGUUUGGGACCUAAUAGUAAAAGAGUUUGAAGAUAGAGUUAUAUGUGGAAAUUCUGAAUUUCAAUAGUUGUGUAACAACUUAUAAUGUCUAGUAAAGUACUAAUUGAGAAAAUUAGAUUAAUUGAGGGGUUAAUUGAGAAAGGACCGAAUUGUAUAAACUGUGAAAUUUGGGGCAAAAUGGAAAUCAACAUUUUGCACUAAAGCAGUUUUGGACAGCAGCAGUAGUGUAACUUUGAAAAAUCACCAAAAAUUGUAGAGAUUGAAUUAGAGGAUGAAUAAAAUAUGAAACUAAAGCUUAUUGAGUCUAGUUUCUUAUAAAAGAAAUGAUGUGAGCAAUGGAAUUGUAAAUCAUGAGAUAUAAUAGAUUUUGUGAGACAAGGUCAGAAUGAAUUCGGGUUCCCCUGUUCUGACUUUGGAAAAAUCAUUAAAAAUUGUACAAAAAUGAUUAUGAGUUAUAGUUUAUAUGGUUAGAAUCCUUAAUGAGUCUAUUUUUAGAAGAAACAAGCUAAAACAUCAUCCGAAUUCUGUACAAUGAGAUAAUUAAUUUUUAGUGAAGAGUGGUCGGAACUGUCAGACAGCGAAACAGGGGAAACUUUAAAGAAUAAACUGUACUAUUUGGCUGAACCAAAAAUUAUGAAAAUUUUAUGGUAUGAAGAUAUGUGAGUCUAGUUUCAGGGAAAAUUAACGGAUCUUAAUUUGGAGCUCUGUAUCUCCGGAUAAAAAUAUUUUAGUGACUCUGACUCGGAUAAACAGCUUUGAAUAUACAUGUUAGUAAAUAUUGAAAUUAUGGUUAAUGUUGUUUAAGUGUGUUAUACACAUUAAGGAUGUGGAAUGGAGAGGAGGAGGAGGAAAAUUGGGAAAUAUAUGAAUGAUUCGUGUAUAAAUGGUCAUAUGUUUGAUUAUAACUCAUAAACGAUGAAAUAUGAAUGAUGCUUAUUUUUGUGCAUUAUUGGUCAUGGUUUAAGCUCAUGUGUGAAAAUAAAGUUUCAUAGUAUGUGUGUAUGGUAUAUUCAGUAUAUGAUUUGGCAUGAAAUAAUACCAUGAAUGGUUUAUGAAUUAACACAUGUUGGUAAGCCUGAUAUAUGAAUAAAUGAUCAAAUUGAGCGGAACGCCGGAUUUGAGUACUUCUGAUCAAGUGACAAAGUGAUAAGUGGUAGCUUUAGCUACACUUAUCUGAUCAAGUGACAAGUGGAAAGUGAUAAGUAAUAGCUUCGGCUAUACUUAUCUGAUCAAGUGACAAAGUGAUAAGUGAUAGCUUCGGCUACACUUAUCUGAUCAAGUGACAAGUGAAAAGUGAUAAGUGAUAGCUUCGGCUAUACUUAUCUGAUCAAGAGACAAAGUGAUAAGUGAUAGCUUUAGCUACACUUAUCUGAUCAAGAGACAAAGUGAUAAGUGGCUACACUUAUCUGAUCAAGAAACAAAGUGAUAAGUGGCUACACUUAUCUGAUCAAGAAACAAAGUGAUAGGUGGCUACACUUAUCUGAUCAGGGACAAGUGAUAAGUGAUCAUACGUAAGACCAUAGUUAUCCUAUGGCAAAGUGAAAGUGAAGUACUCAAUUUUCCGUGACCGUUCCCUAAUUUGAUUAAGGAUGGUAAGUGACAAAUGGGCCCAAAAGAAUUAAAGUAAAUGGAUAAGUGGUAGUGUAUUUAUAUCAGGACGAUGUUGUUAUUCAAACUAAAGUGAUAUUUUCAUUGCUAAAUUGAGAAUUUCAUAAAUGUGUUAUUGAAUGGUAUAAUCAAUAAACAUUGAGUUAAAUGGUAAAUACGUAUUAGUUUUGAAUUUGAUGUCAUUGAAUUGUACGUGAAUUAAAUGAAAAUUGCUAGUGAUAUGAUUUAAAUUAUGAGCAUGAGAAAUUGCGAAUUGAAUGAAAUGGAAAUGAAGCAUUAAAUUGCAUGAGUAUGUAUCGGGUCUCGCAGGCCCUAAUUAUUAUGAUUAUAAUAUUUUGAGGAUAUAUUGUGAAAAGUUAUAGAAACAUGUUAAUUAUUUUGAAAGUUUUAAUUUUGAUGAAAUUUUAUAACUCGGUUAAAUACGUUUACAAGUGUAUGUGUUUUGGUAAUGCCUCGUACCCUAUUCCGGUGUUGGAUACGGGUAAGGGGUGUUACAUACCACCAACUAAGUUUCAUCAUUACAUCCACUUAAAAUAAAUCACCACCUACUACCACUAACAAACUUUGUUGGAAUACAACUAAGUUACAUCAUUACAUCCAAAUAAUAAUAAUAAUAAUAAUAAUAAAACAUGUGAUUGCUACAUGCUAACCAUUGCUUCAAUAAUAAUGACCUACCACCAGGUUCCUUUAAAAAUAUACGAAAAGUAAGUGUUUGGGGAUGUGGGAGUUUGAAAAAUCUAUUUCCAGUAUCAAUAGCCAAAGAUCUUCCACAACUUGAACAUUUAAGCAUCACUGGUUGUGGAGUUGAGGAGAUUGUAUCGAAAGGGGAUGGAGUGGAGGAGCAGCCUGUGAGGUUUGAGUUUCCGCAAGUGUCUUACCUUGACGUUUCAUUGGUAGAAAACCUCAAAUGUUUCUAUGAAGGGCAACAUACAAUAGUCUGGCCGAUGUUGAAGAAAUUGACAACAGAUAGGUCUGCUUUGCCAAAGAUAGUGGCAUCGGAACAUCUUAGAUUAAUCCAAGGAAAUGAGGAGCCAGUUUUGUUGGGUGAAGAGGUAUGUAUAUCAUUACAACUAUAUUUCUUUUUAUGAUUUAAACCACUGCCACAAGCAUCUCAAGUUGAAAUAUGCCACGAUCAUGCAUUUCUAAUUAUUAUAUUUUGUUUGGUUUGGAUUUUUUUUUUCGUAUUUUUGAAUUUUCACUAUAUAUAUAUUUUAAAUUUUUUGUUACAUUUAUAAUUAUUUUUUCAAUUUUUUUAAAAACAAGACUGAAUAAACAUAAUAGGUAAAUAUUGAGUGAAUACAGUUCAAUUUGAUAAAAUGUAUAAAUAUUGAGGGUUAAAUUUAUUAUUAUGUUAAAAAGAUGCUAAAAAAAAUAAAAAUAUUUUAUUUGUUUUUAAGUAACCAAAAUAAAAAUAUUUUAACACUAAGUGACUAUAUAUGUAAUUUACCCUGCAUUUAAGUAGUGGAUCGAAACUAAAUAGGAUCUUUAAUUUGCUUUAAAAAAUUGCCACUCAAUAAAAAAUCAAAACUUUAAAAGUUAAUUACACUAGACAUCUCAAACUAGGACCUUCAUUUUAAAUUAGUCCUAAAAUUUAAAACUAUUGAGGUUAUAUCAAUUACGUCUUUCUGUUAUUAAAUUCGUUAAUUUAACCAUCAAAUUAAAUCAGUGUAAUAUUUUAAAACAUUGGUGUUUUAUCUCCACUGUUCUGCUUAUACUUUUUAUCAUAGAAAAAUAUAUAUAACAAUGGUUGUUUAUCUAUUUUAAUUUAGAUUUGCUACUCUUCUUUCGGCUUUCAUGUUCUGUAAUUUUUAUCAGUUUUAAUUCUCAAGGUAUUGUGUUUUCUUAAAACAAAAAAUUCAUCUAUUCUGGAUUCGUUUGAUUUAAUAUUGAUUUUGUUGGGAUUUAAUCAUCAAAAUCAAACACUAAAAUUGUAAAUCUUCUUUCUUUCUUUUUUAAAGCAUAUACAUCAACAUUGAGCCUAACUUGCUUAUAUUUGAUUGGUUUCCAAGGUCAUUCCCAAAUUAGAGGAACUUGAGUUACAAAAUUUUGGUGAUAUGGACCAAUUUCCACCAGACUUGUUUCAACAUAUUAAAGUUUUUGCACUGAGUGGUGGCUCUCCAUUUUCUUUAUUUCCUUUCGUCCGAAGAUUCUACAAUAUGGAAAGACUUAAGUUCUCUUUUUUAGAUUUCAAACAUGUAGUCCCUUGUAAAGGAGACGCCGGGACUCUCCCACCAAUUAGAAAUCUGGAAUUGUUUUCUGCCAGAAAUCUUAAUCAUAUUUGGAGGAAAGGUUCGGAGCUUUACCAUAUUCUUUCUAAUCUUCAAACACUCACAGUUCUGCGUUGUGAUGAUUGGAUAAAUAUUAGAGCCUUCUCAUCAUCUUUACAAAAUCUUACAAUUUUGAAUGUGUCAUUAUGUAAAAUGACGACAAACUUAGUCACACCCUCAGUACUUAAGAAUCUUGUGCAAUUAACGACAAUAAAGGUAGAAGACUGCACUAAAAUGACAGAAAUAGUGGGCAACGAGGGAGACUGUCAUCAGACAAUAGUUGUUAGUAAAUUGAAAUGUUUACAACUAUGCAAUUUGAAGAGCCACCGGGUAAAGAUCUUUUGUUCACAAGCUUUUGUCCACGGUAUUACAACUUCGAGUUUCCUUGUUUGGAAGAAUUAGUUGUGGAACGUUGUCCUUGGUUAAAGAUCUUUUCUGAGGGAGUUUUAAGCACCCCACAAUUACAGAGAAUAAAACAGUCGCGUUACUUUGAGGAAUGGAGUUGGACAAGUGACCUUAAUACCACCAUACAACAGCUCUACACAGAAAAGGUACAAAGUUAAUAAGUUCAUAAUGCUAGUUAGAUUCCUCGUGUCCUAAUACAAUUAAUUUUAUUACUACUUCAAUAACCAUUGAAGAGUGUUAAUCGUUAUUUUGUUAUUGUCUGCAUUUUCUAUUUAUGAUUGCUAUCUAGUGGAAUAAUAUCAGAUUAAUUUUUAGGGUGGACUCUAUGGCCAAUGUGAUUUCAACAUCUCUGACACAUUUCCGGAGUCGAUAGAAAUAUGGACUAGAAACACUCAAGAAAAUUUGGGCAUCAAAAACCUUAGGAGCCUGCACUUUUAUAAAUGUAGCAGCUUGAAGUACAUAUUUACUCCGUCUAUGCUUUUGGGCCUCAAUCUACUACAAAGGAUAAAAGUGAGAGAAUGCAGUUCAAUGGAACAAGUAGUUAGGGAGGAGGAGGAAGCAAUGACACAUAAAUUUACAUUUCUUUCGCUACGCUCCGUAACAAUUGAGUCGUGUUCCAACUUGACAAAUUUCCAUUUGGGAAGUCAAGCUCUUGAAUUUCCACAGCUGAGUGAUAUCAGGAUAGCUGAGUGUCCAAAAAUGACUGCAUUUUCUUCCUCAGUUUCAAGAGAGAGUGGUGAUGCAAGUGAAAACGUGGUUGGCAAAGGGGGCAUCUAUGAUAACACUGCAACUUUUUUCAGCAAUAAGGUAAGUUUGGUAUUCAAUAUAUAUCUGCACAACUUAUUUCACAUUUUCUUUUGAUUUGAUCAACAUGAGUGUGUCUGGUCUACAUAUCCAUACUAGUGCUACACCUUGUCAAAAUUUAAUAUAAUAAAAUCCAUAAAAAUAUUAAUAAAUAAGAUGAUGUUAAAAAAAAAUUGGAGUUUAAAGUAUAAAUAAAUAUAUAAAAUAAGAUUUGAAGGAAAAACUUAAAGUGAAAUACUAAAAAACAAAAAGAAUUUAAGAGAAGUUUAAAAUUAAAUAGUAAUAGACAAUAAAUAAUAAAAUAAUAAUAGAAAAAAGAAAACAAAUCUUCCUUCAUUUUAAUUUGUUGAUGACCUUCACAAAGGUCAUUUGAGAUCAAAGGAGAAGAAGCCUGAAAACAAAAGGUGAGGAGUUUGAAGAAGAAAGAACCAAAUAUAUAGAGGAGAAUUGAAGUGAGAGAGUGGAUGGGUUUUAUUUAAAGAUUUAAUGCUUUUUUUUUUAAUUUCAUAUAUAGAAAAAAUCAUUGAAAGAAAAAAAAGUUUAAUAUAAUUAUUUAAAUUUACUUGUCGGGUUUUUAUAAAAGUAACUCAAAUUUUUUAUUAAUUAUGAAAAUGACUCAAUUUAAAAAUUAUGUACAUAAAUUAUUCGAUUUCUAUAGUGUUUGUCGGUGCCGCUAGACACAAUGGUGGCAUCGACCUACCAUCAUUGACUAAUGAUUGUAUUUUAUUUAAAAAAUAAUAGUUUUCUAGUAGUAUCGUUGGAAAAAUUAGUGAUAUCAAACUAAAGUGUGAUUAUAUAAAAUGUUUGUGGACUUGACAAAGUAAUUAUCCUUUUGAAAUUAAAUUUAAAUAACCCUUAAGAAAUAUAAGAAUAACAAAAAUAAACCAUUCUCAUUUUUUUUUAAAAAUAAACUUAAAAAAUUAUAUAAAAUUCUUAUUUAAAUUACCCAAAUAUAUCCCUCGCACAGCUUCCUCAAGUUUAUCUAAAUUCAAGCAUUUUCAAUUCAUUCCCUAGCAUAUUUAAAUUUAGAUAAACUUAAGGAAAUUUUUUGAGGAAUAUGUUUGGGUUAUUUGAAUAAGAAUUUUAAAUAAUUUUUUAAGUAUUUUUUCAAAAAAUGAAAAUGGUCUAAUUUCAAAAGAAGACAAACAUAACAUGCAAACAGGUCAAAUGUUGAAAAACAUUUAAUUUGGUUCAGAUACCAACGACACCCCUUUUUCAAACAAUCUAAAAACGUUAACCGCUUCAAAAGAUCCCUGCAUGUUUUAUAUAAUCACAUUCAGUCUGGUGCCGUCAAUUUAUUAGACAAAACCACUACAAAUUUUUUUAAAAAGCAAUCAUUGGCUGAUGAUGGAGGCUAAUGCAGUAAGCACUAUAGAAAUCAAGUCAUUUACGUACAUUAUUUUUAAGUUGGAUCAUUUUCGUAAUUAACCAAAAAAUUUUGGUUACUUUUAACUGUCUAGUUGAUGUGUGAAUAUUAACCUUUAGAUCAGUUUAUAAAUCUUCAUACUCAUCUACUCAUUUUGAUUGUCUUUCAAAGUAAAGAAGGAAGAGUGAUACUAUCUUAUAAUAAUAUUUAUGUCAACAGGUUGUCAUUCCUCGUUUGGAGCGUCUGGAUUUGUCCUCCAUCAACAUUCAUAAGAUAUGGCACCACUCAUCCUCCCCAUCUAUCGGAUACCUAAAUUUCUUGCGGGUGAAGAGGUGUCACAAUUUGAAAUACCUGUUCCCGUUUUUCUUAGCAAAAGAUCUUGAGCAACUCCGAUUCCUUGGAAUUUUGGACUGUAAUAUGAUGGAACAAGUAAUAUUCACGGAUGGAUUGGUUGAGGAACAUCAAGGGAGGAAUCAGAUGUUUUUCUUUAAUCAACGUUCGCUGUGGCUAAACGACCUUCCCAAACUCACAAGUUCGUGCUUUGAAAAUUACUUUGAAUUUCACUGUUUAGCAGAUUUAACACUAAGAAAUUGUCCAUUGCUAAAAACAUUCAUCUCUAAAUGUGUACCCGGAGAUGAACCUCAAAUUGGCCAACAUGUACAGGCAAGUAACUUGGAGGUUCAUAACUCAUCUCUCCUCAAUGAAAAGGUCAUUUCUUCACGGAUUCUCCUUUUAAUUUAUUUUACUUCGAUUUAUCUUAUUCAUUUGAAGUUCUUUCUUUUUCAUACAUAUUUCAGUAUUAACCUAAUGAUAUGAUUUAUUAGGUUGUUUUCCCUAGUUUGAAGAGGCUGCAAAUUCAAAAUUGUGAUUUGUUAGAAGAAAUUAUCGAGCUGCAAGGAGUCAUUGCUGAUGAGUCACAGUCAACAUCAGCUGCUCAAUCUAUUGUGGCUGAAACAGUGACGACCAAGUUUGUAUUUCCCAAACUAAUAAACCUGGGAUUGGAUAAGGUGCCAAGAUUGAAAAGUUUCUACUCUAGGAUGCAUACCACCCACUGGCCUUCAUUGAAAAAAAUGGACAUUAUUGAAUGCCCCAAAGUACAGAUAUUUACUCCACAAUGUCCCGGGAGUCAGGUUGGAAUCUCAAACCAACAACCCUUGUUUUGCGUCAAUGAGGUAAGCUCGCGAACAGUUUCAUAUUCCAUGAUCAUUACUUGAGAUUACCUAUAAAAUGCUUUUUGAAAAAACUAAUAUUCUCUCCUCUUUUAAUUUUAUGAGAGUCUAGUUCUUACUAAUUUAAAACUCUUUCAUCGAUGUCUAAUAUAUUCUUUGCCAUCCAGGACACUUUCCCUGUAUUAGAAGAACUAACUCUGAAGACGAAUGAUAUGGGGAAGGGGAUAUGUGAUGGACAACUCUCAUUGCAGUGUUUCCAAAACCUUAAGCAUCUUAACCUCCAAUUCUUUCCCGAGACAUCCACUACUCUUCCGUAUUCCUUCAUUCGGUCACUACCAGUGCUUCAUAAGCUUGUUAUAGACAAUGCUUCCAUUUGUCAAAUAGUACAAUCUGAAGGACUCAGCGACUAGGAAUGGCAUACAUCAGCAUUCUAUCAGCUAAAGGAAUUAAGUUUGUCUCAACUUCCAGAGUUGACGUUAAAGACUUUUGAACCAUCUUUGCUGUCUUUCAAAAAUCUAACAACACUGAAAGUUUCAAGAUGCCAUGGGUUCAUCAAUUUAAUCGCAUGCUCAACAGCUAAGUGCCUGACGCUACUGGAAAGAUUGAUCAUAGAUGAUUGUGAGAUGAUAGAGGAAAUCAUAGCGUGUGAGGCUGAAGAAAUACAAGGCGGCAUUGUAUUUCCCAAACUGAAGUAUUUGCAACUAAGUUGUCUGCCAUGUCUAGCAAUCUUUUCCUUGGCCCAUCACUUGUUGGAAUUCCCAGUCUUGCUAAUGUUGAUGGUGACAAAGUGCCCCCAAAUGAGGAAUUUCUGCCAAGGAGAUUUAAGCACGCCAAGGCUGGAACAAAUGCACUUAACAAGAGAUGAGGAAGGUGAACUGAAGUGGGAAGGCGACCUUAACACUACCAUAAAACAUAUGUUCGAUGAAAUGGUACAAAUCAUUUAAAGGAUUUAAAUUCAUGUGUUUUUACAUACAUACAUACAUAGUUAAUUGAACAAUUCCUGGUUUGUUAUGAUCAUGCACAGAAUGUGCAAAAUUCUGAGGUGACGGAGGUUACUGAUCAGUUGCCCAAUCUGGAAUAAGGAAAUAUGUUUGGGUGCUUAUGCGAAAAGCUCAAUUUCGUUUGAAUUCAAAACAAACGGUAAUUGACUCCUCUAUUUUCAUCAUGGCUUAACUAAUGCUUUAUAAAGUGACCAUAGAGACGCCCUUUUCAUUGUAGGUUGAGUUGCUCUACUGAAGUACGAGGCUGCAACUUUUGGUAAAAUGUGAAAGGUUAUUUCAGUUUUUGUAAAACUACCAUUUGAACUGUUCCAUUUCACAUUAUACCCUCAAAAUUGAACUUCAAGUGCAUCAUGCUUGGCAUUGGGCUACAAACAUGUAAACUUUUACUAGUAAGGUUGACCCCUGUUUUAAGGAUUUGCCAACUUUUGAUGGUUACCAUAUCAAUGUCAGCUUAAAGCUAUCAAGUAUCUUUACAAAUAUAAUAUAUAUAUAUUAUUCCUUAAUGAAGGAUAAAAGUAGGCAGCUAUCUAUUAAUGGUACGGCUGAUUCUGAAAAGACGGCUGAAAUUGAAUCAAUGGGUUGUUGGUAAUUGCCUGAUGGAAGAACAGGGCCUAAUGUUACGUGGAUCCUGAUCAAGUUUUAAAUUUUCAGUUGUAGGCAUUACUGAUUAUUGCCAUUUGGUUGUUGAUCCUCUGAUUUUACGGUUGACUGUCUUGCUUAUACGUUGCAAGGUUGGCGGGUCUCAAGUAUGAAUUUCCAAGCCGGCUGUCAUCCAUAAUUAACUAAGUGUUCCAAUCUGUUGAAAGGUGGUUAGCAUGCAGCAUUGAAGACCACCAUGCAGAAGCAGCAGUUUGCACGAGAAAGCAAGGAUGUUUAGUUUCAUUUGAAUUUUUUUUUUUGUUUAUGUAAUGUAAUCUAGUUCAUUUUGAACUAUGAUAAGAUGAUAUUUGAUGUAAACUUGAUGGUGAUUGAGCUGUUUACCAGCUUUAUUCAUUUGCACAAGUUAUCAUUCCAAUUUACUAGGAAACUUAGUGGUAGUAGGUAUAGUUUUGGUUAACCUACUGUCUUGACAAGCUAGAAGCUUGAUUUAUGUAUUGGCAUUAAGCCUUUUUUUGAUGAAUGAAUUUAAUCAAGUUUUCAUUCAAAAACUCUCACCAUUCUCCUUGCUUUAUUCUUUUUAGUUUUCUGCUUGUUUCUGCUGCAAGUCACGACACUUGCUGCUCAAGCAAUAGGCUGAAACUUGUUGUUAGUUGCUCUCAGCUCCAACAGAAUCCAUGGAGUUUAUGGUUUAUUAGUGUAACUGUCCAUUUGGUUGUGGAUUGGUUCUUAAGGUGUUUUGAUGCUUGUAUGUUACAGUGCCUGCUCCAAGCAACACCCUUUAAUUUCUAAUGAAUUUUAUUUGUUGAGGAAAAAAAUAUGAGGAUUAAUCUGAUAUUUUAUGUUUGGGUUUAUGAAGAUUUUUGUACCUUUAAUGAAAAAAGCAAAUAAAAUAGAGAGGUACAAGAUCACAUCCAUAGAUCAACAAAGGGGUUUAAUAUUUCUAUAAAAAAAGUUGUCCCAAAAAGGCCUUCUAAUGGGAAUUGAAAAAAAAGCUUGUAAAAAUUUACAAAAGGAAUUGAUGAGAAUCUGAUACAGCCAUCACAUGCGACAGCUUUCCCUUAAAAGCAUUCGUGGCUGAGUCUAGUCUUAAUUUUUAUUUGUAUCUUUUAUAUCCGUUUUAUAAUUCAUAUUUAAGAUUUGUAUUAUGCGCUUAAUAUUUCAUUAUUUGUUGUCUAUGAUGCUCAUUCUUGAAAAAAAAAACAAACAAACAAAUGCAAUGCAUGCAUAAACCAUAAAAAAAAUAAAGAACAUAAGCAACUAAUAAUGAAAUAUAUUAAAAUGAAGACCGGUAAUUGAUUUAAGAAUUACCCUAAUUUCGGUAAAUAUAUUAAAACAUGUGUCCCUAAUCUUUUUCAAUUUUGAUAUUGAAAAAAUUGGUAUUCUUAAAAUUAUGAGAGUUAUUCAAUUAUUUUCAUUUUUGAAAUUGAUAAAUUAAGGACAAUUAAUCACAACGUUAAUGUUUUUAUCAAUUAUAUAUGAUUUUCUUGAUAUAAUGAUAAAUUUAGUCCUCAAAGUUUACACAUUCUAUCAAUUUGUUAUUGAUUUAACAAAUUUAACCCACAAUAUUUACACAUUUCGUCAAUUUGAUCAUGAUUUAACAUAUUUAACCCGUAAUAAUUAUACAUUCUAUCAACAUUUACGCAAAAUAUAUAAUCAUCAAGGAUUAAAUUUGUUUUUAUACUAAUCAAAAUUAUGUAUAAUUAACAGAAACUAUUAGCGCUUGAUUAAUUGUUCGUGGUUACUUUCAAAAAAGAUAAGGAUUAAUUUGUUCAAUAUCAAAAAGAUGUUUUUUAUUUUUAUUUUUUAAUUUCAUAGGUAAGAAAAUCUCAAAAAAAAGAAAAUCUUUGAAAUAAAAAAUAGAAUGUUUUAUAUAAUUAUUUGAAGUUACUCUCACGUUAUUUUUACCCAUUCAAAGCUAGCAAGUCUUUAUGUACAAAAUGGUAUAGCUCUGCAAUUUGGAUUAACAUUUUGGUGACCUCCAUGUGAAGUGAAAGAAAAUUGAGAAUGUCACACAAUUAUUAUUUUUGCCUCCAUACCCCUAUGCCACCAAAGAAAGUUGAAUUAUUAAGGCACAAAAGUACUAAGGAGUAGGAGCUAGAAAAAGAGGGGCAUGAAAAUAAAGAGACUUACAUUUAUUAUUUGCAUAAUACAAAAUCAGUCUUUAAUAUUUACAUAUUUUAUUAAUUUGAAUUUUAUUUUUAUUUAGUUAAAUUUAACUUUAAACCCUUUAAAAAAAGUUAAAUUUGAUCAUCAACAUUUUAAAAAGAGUCAAAUUAUUAUUUAACGGAAAUGUUAAAUUUUGAAAUACAUAUAACAAUUCGCGUGUAUUUCAUAUUAUUUUUUUAAAUUUUUUAUAUUUUUUUGAAAUUUUUAUUUUUGAAUAUUGUUAGAAAAAUAUUUGGAACAUUGUUAGUGGAGUUUUUAACCUCCACCAACAAAAUUAAUGGGUUAAUAAGUGUCUUACAGGGAUAUAAUAAAAUAUUAAUAUAUAUAUAUUAAAAUAUAUAUAUAUAUGUUAAUUUUUUUAAAGUUGUGGAAUAAAAAUAAUAUAUUAUUGGCAUACCAAAUACUCACCUUUUUAAUUAAGAUUUAAAAAUAAAAAAUAGUUAGUAAAAUGAAUGGAUUGCAAAUUGAGAAAUUUGAUAUUGAAUAUUAAAAUUUUCUUAAAAAGAAGACAUAUAGCAAGAUAAGAAAGUUAGUGAUUUAUUUGAUUUAAUUUUAAUUUUUAAAUUGAUGCAUUUUAUUAUGAAUUUUUAUUCUUUGUGUAUUUUGUAUAAUUUGUUUGAAAUUUUCAAUUUUCAAUUUCUCACAUGAGUUUGAGAUAUAAAAAAAAUUACUCUUAGGAUUGGUGAAACAGUGGAUACAAGAGUUCAGCUUAUCAUAUAUUGAUGAUUUUGUUCUUCGAAAUAUUGUCUACAGAUAGGAUAUCAGAGUUCUAUUAAUUAGAGUUCCGUUAAAAAGUCGAAAUUUCUAUUUUAGCCUAGGACUCUAGGAGUUCUGUUAUCGAUAUUCUAAUUAUGAUCAUGAUCUAUAAAAAAUAUGAGUAACAUGUGAUACGUAAAUGAAAAUUUUUAUGAUAUGAUAAGUCAUAAAUUAAGUGAAAAUGUAUGAAAGUGUAUGAUUAUAUGAAAGACAAAAAUAAUUAAUUUAAUUUAAUGAUCUGUAAAAUUGAAAAAUGAAAUACAUGAAUUAUAUAAGAGAAUGUUGACGAUCAAUAUGUGGUAUGUAAAUGAGAAGGAAAAAAUUAUAUGACCAAAUACUAAAAUAAAUGAAUAAUGAAAUUAACUAAAUACUUUGUAAGUUCAAUAAUUUAAAAAAUUGUUAUUUUUCCCAUUCAAAGUUGAAAAGUCUUUUAUGUGAAAAAUAGUGUAGCUCUUCAAUUUGGGUAUAACAUUUUGGUCUUCUCCAUGUGAUGUGGAGGAAAAUUGACAACAUCACACAAUCAAAUCCAUUUUUUCUGCCAUACCCUUGUGCCUCCGAAGAAAGUUAAAUUAUUAAGGCACAAAAGUACCAAGGAGUAGAAGCUACCAAAAGAGGAGCAUGAAAAUAAAGAGAGAUACAUAUAUUACUGGCAUGAAAUAUUUACAUUUUUUAUUAAUUUGGAACUUCUUGCCUUUUACUACUAGCUUGAUUUGUAUCAUCGCUCUCACCUUUUUGAGCUUGUAUCUGAUAGUGAAACCAAAGAUUAGUGAAAGCCUUCGCACCAAAACUGAGUUCUAGGAACUGCAAUAGGAUCAAUUUCAACAACUCUAAUGGGAUAUUAAACAUUCCCAACUCUUAAGAUCACCAUCUCAUCAAUUUUACACAAUUAAAAUGAAUGUUUCCCUUCACAAAAGGUUUAGGAUGAGCAGCACCAUCGUCCACACUAAUAAAACUUCCCCAGUGAUUGGCGAUGUUUUUAAAUGUAGAGAUCGGACAAGCAUGGAUCGGAACCCCUAAAGUUGUUCUAUAAUUAACCAAAAUGUUUUCAGACCAUGACUCAACUUUUGUGAACCACCUCAUCGAAAUUUCAAUAAACUCUUUUAUAACCUUCUCCACCGUUAAACUCCAUUAGCAACUUGGAGGCCACCCUCUUCUAACCGCAGAGCAAGGUUCUCAAGAGUACAUAAAUCUCUACACCAUCCCAUAAUACAAAUUGUAGCUUAGAAAGUUUUUCUUCCUCGAUAAUCCCAUCUAUAGGAAUUGACUCUAUCUCUUUCUUACCUGUAGCCACCUCCUCCAUGAAACAAUUCUUGUUUAUAGCUUUUUCACCUCCGAGGGUUCCACUCGUAUCUAGAGAAUCCUUUGAUACCUCCAGAGCCUUUGAAGCGUGCAAAGUUGACCCAUAUUCUAUGUCCAAAUAAAUGGAACCGUUCAGACGAAGCGUCGCCCUUCUUGCAUCAGUAAAGUUUGCGAAUCUCACAAAACCAAAUCUUUCUCCUUUUUAUGAAGACAUCCAUAACCCUGCCGUGAUACUCGAAUAUCUUCCAAAGACCUGUCCAUUGCAUUCGUGGAGGACGAUUCACUACAAAAACAGUAACACAACUCUGUCCAGUGUCCACCACCCAACCCAUUACUCAUUAAUAAAACUCCUACUUCAUCACUUAACUAAAGCUUUCUUUUUGAUAUUUUUAUAUAUUUUAAUUUUGUUUUGUAUUCAAAUAAUUUGAUAAUUAACUUUUAACAAUUAUCCCAUAGUUUUUACUAUAAAUUUAAGGAAGACAAUCUUGAUAAAAUUAGUUUGAGGUAGGAACAGUUUAUUGGAACAGCGUAGUCUUUUAUAGGAUUAAAAAUAUUAAUGCAAGAAAUAAAAAACAAGUGAUUAAAGGUUUAGAACAAGCAAUCAAACUUAUUUUAUGUUAAAAUUUUCGAACAAUAUGAAAAUAUAUAAUUUUAAUUGUUCUUUUACCAAUUAAAUUGAUUUUUGACAGGUUUAACUAUUGACUUAAAAAAGAGUGUUAAUUUGAAUGGUUAAAUGUAAUGAUGCAUGGUUUGUCUGACAUCGUCACAUGGAAAAUGGGAUUAAAAAUGGAAAUUAAGCAAAGGCAAAAUGAAUAUAUUUAUUGUUUUCUAAUUUGGUGUAGGGUGCCAUAUUUGUUGAUAGCCACUCACUAAUACAUUAUAAAUGGAAUAAUUGCCUAUUUUACCUUUUUCAUGAAAUUUAUUGACAUCACCAGCUCAUUUUUCAACCACAUUACUCAAAUGAUUGACAGAGAGAGGUAAAAGUAAUUUAUAAAUGUAUUUCUUUUUUUUCGAGUAUAAUUUGUAUUUAUUUCUAGCCAUUUUUAUAAAGUUAUUGUUUAAAAAAGGGGUAAUUAUCAAAUUCAUAUAUGAUUUGGAUCCAAUGUACAAUUUGAUACAAACUACAAUUUGGUGUAAUUAUACACAUAAACUUGAAUUGUGAUUCAUAUGAGCACAUGAAACUUUGAUUUUGAUUCAAUUGUAUGCAUUUAAUGAAUGUAUACGUUUAAAAAAAAUGAAUAUUUACAUUUAUUUUCAUAUUUGAUUAUAUACAGGGGCGAAACCAGAAAAUUCUUUUAGGGGGCUGAAAUUAAAUUGUAAUUUUUACGAUAGCAAAAAUGUAAUUUCACCAUUUUAAUGGCCUAUAUCUUUAUAAUUUUUAAAUGAUUAAAUCAAAUUUUAUAUUUUUAGCGGAGCAAAGUACAAUUUUACCUUUACUAAUUUAAAAUUUUAAAAGGCCUAAAUAGAAAAUUCACCAUUUCAAGGGGACUGAGACUAGAGGUGAUCAUGGGUUGGGCCCACCCGAAAAAUAGGAGGGUCCAAGUAAAAAUAUAGACCCAAAAUAUGGGUUUCGGCAAAAAAAGAAGCCCGUUUAAAAAACGGGCCGGGCUCGGGUAAAAAUUUUUUGGCCUAGGCCCAACCCGACCCGGCCCGAAUUAUAUAUUAAAUAUAUAUAGUUUUUAUUUUUAAUCAAAUAUGUAUUAAAUAUAUACUUUUUUGGUGUUGUACAAUUUGAUAUGGGUUGGGCUCGGGCUUAGCAAUUUUCUUUUGGGCCGAGCUUGGAUAAAUUUUUAGGCCCAUAUUUUGGGCCCAGCCAAGCCCGAGCCUAAAAAAUGGGCCUAAAAUUUUGUCUGGGCCCUGCUCAGCCCAUGAUCACCUCUAACUGGAACCCCUGUCAGCCCCUUAGUUUCGCCCCAAAUUAUAUAAUAGUUUGUAUAUGCAAUAUAUCAACGUAAAAUUGUGCUAAUUCAAUAAUAUUGUUAGUGAUUUCUGAAAAUUGAAUCAAAUCAAUAUUUCAUAUAUAAAAUUGUACAAAAUCAAAGUUCAUAUACAACAUAAAUAAAUAAAUAAAAAGUUCAUAUAGAACAAUAUACAUUAAAUCAAAAUUUAUAUAUAAUUUUGAUAUUUAUCUCAUUCUUUAUUAAUUAUAACGUGUGAACGAGGUGAAUCCAAAUUUUGUCAUUUAUUUUCCUACCAUCUUUGCGAAAUAAAUUUCAACUUAAGAAGGAAAAAAUAAUUAACAUUUUCAAAUUCUAUCAAGAUAGACAUGUUCAUAGGUCAGACUCUCGGCUUAGGUUCAAAAGUUCACUAAAAUUUUGGGAGGGUUUGGAUAAAAAUAUCAUACCCAAAGAAUGGACUCGAGCAAAAAAAAAAGACCUGUUUAAAAUAUGGGUCGGGCUCGGGCUUGAAUAUUUAAGGCUAGACCCGUUUUAAGUUUAUAAUUUUUUAUAUUAUGUUAUUUUUUAUAUAUUAUGUAAUUUAGAACACAAUAAAAAAUAAACAUAUAGUAAAUAUAUAAUAUAACUCUAAUGUAAACAUUAAAAUAAUAUUAAAAUGACUAUAUAAAAAAUUUCAAUAAAUAAAAAUGUAUAAAUAUUAAAAUAAUAUAAUAUAAAUACUUUUUAAAAAAAUUAAAAAAUAAUAUAAGCGAACCUAAAAUGGGUUUAGAUUAGUUUUUUGUAAAUAUGGGAGUGUUUUGACAAAAUUUUAGGCCUAAAUUUCAAACCGGACCGAACUUAAACAAAUAUAAAAUAUCUUAAUAUCAUGCUUAAACCAACCUAUGAACACUUCUACAUAAAAAUAAUAUAGACGAAUUGAUGUCGUUUAGUUCCACAAGGUCAAACUUCAAAUUAAUACGAGUGUAUUAUUAAAAGUUUUCGUCCUCGCAUUACUUGUAAUUAGUUUAUGUCUUUUAAUUCAUUGAGAAGUAACAAGCAUGUAUGGAUGUCCAUUGUACAGGCCCAUUUUGACCUAAUCCAUUACAACCCAUAACCCAAGCAAAAACAAAACCUACCCAGGCCCAACUAAGCCUAACCCACCAAAACCAAAGCCCAAAUCAGCAACCCAAUUCAGCCCAAUCUACCUAACCCUAGCCAAUUUGUAGAAAAAAGAAACAGCAGCCACCCUAGGUGCGCCGCACCUAGGGCCUUCGUCCACCUACCCCCUGCCACCGCCUCUGACCAGCGCCGCACCUGCUCUCUGCCAUCGCCCAACUGCACCUGCAAGAAGAGAAACCAACACGCAACAACAAAUAGUAGACAUAGAUAAAAAAAAUGUUAAAAUCGGCUAUAAAAGCCGAAACCAGAGGAAUGUAAAGGGUUCGGCCCCUCUUUGACGAUUAAAAGAAAUAAAAGUUUUUUGAAAAUCUUAAAGGUGACUACUACCUUUUUAGAUCUGUUUUUUUUUGUUCUUUUAAAUAUUAUUUUUGUUUUUAAAUACAAACAAAUUAAAAAUAAGAAUAAAGGAGAAGGCUUUUUACCUUACCUGCGCCGCGACGGAGGUGGAGGAAGGCGAACGGUUUCGCCCCAUUUUUUGGGUCUUCGGCUUUCUAUUCAGGAGAUUCAGCCCCGGAUCUGUGGCCUGGAGGCCAUGGACUUCAAAAAAGGACGAAAAAGGUCCGAUUUUGAACCUCCGGCGGCCACACACGGUGGCUCUGCGGCGGAGACUCGUCGGAAAUCUCGAGCCGGACCAUGGCCGGACCUGAGAGAAAAAGAGAGAGUUUUCUCUCUGUUUUUUUAAAAAGAAGAUGAAACUGUUUCUUUUAGCUUUUUUUAGUAUUUAUAUUAAACGUGAAACGACGCCGUUUUAGCAAAAGGAUCCGCGCGUCGACCCGACCCGACCCGGAGGAUCCGCGUGUUUUCAGUUUUUGGGAUAUUUCGCGUGCAGUCCCCCUGAUUUUGCAGCGUAUUACAAUUUUAUCCUUUUGUUAUUUUCUCUUAUUUUUAAUUUAGCCCCUGCAAUUUUAUUUUUAUUUCGACUUGGUCCAUUUCAACGCUGCGUUUUGGGGCUGUGGUUUAUUUGCAGUUUUGGCCCUUUCCUUUUCAGCGCGCGUUGCAAUUCGGUCCUUCUUGUUUUUUUAUUUCAAAUUUGCCUAGUAUAUUUGUUUUUAUUUUGAUUUAGUCCCUUUUUAGCAAUCUUAUUUAUUUUGAUUAAUUAUUUUAAUGUAUUAUCAUUUAUUAUUAUUAUUGUUGCAUUUAUUAUUCUGAUUAUCAUUUACCCAUUCGCAUCGUUUUUGGAUUUGGUUAUACAUACAUACUUAUAUAUAUUUUUAUAUUUUAUAACUUAUAUACAUAUAUCUAUAUUUAUAUUCUUUACCUUCACAAAUAUAUGUAUACGUACCUAUAUAUAUAUAUUAUUUUAUAUAUAUACAUCCUUUUACAUUUUUAGGUUUUUAUAUUUUGUUCAUUAUUUAUUUAUUUAUUUACAAUUUUGUUAUUAUUUUAAAAGAAUGCUUUAACUUUAUUUGCUUAUAUAUUCAUUUUGUAUGCUAUUGAUUUGUCUUUUUUUAUUUAUCUUAUCUUUGAUGCUAUUGCUCGUGUUAUUUUACUUGCAUUAUCAUCAUCAUUUCAUUAUACCCAUUUUUAUUUAGAUUUCGAAAAAGAAAUUUUAGAAAUAAGUAAUAUUCGGUAUUUUGGAUCUUCGAGAGAAUCGAGCCCUAACGUAUUGGGUUCCGACUUUCUUCGUUGAACUUAAAUAAUUGAGAUUAUUCUUUUAAAAAUGAUAAAAAGCUCGUUACCGAGAAUUCAAUAUGUUGUGUCCUAACGCAUUGGAUGUGACACGUUAUUUUUUCGAAACGAGAAUUUUUCUAAAUAAAUGUAAUAUUCAAUGUUUAAUAUUUUGAGAAAUUGUGCCCUAACGUAUUGGGUUGCGAUUUCUUCAUUUGAUUUAAACAAUUGAAUAUUCUUUUAAACUUUAUUACACGAAUUUUUUCAAACUCAAGUUAAACGAUAUCGGGAAUUAAAAAAAGGAUCGUGUCCUAACUUACUGGUCGCGAUAUCUUUUUUUAAUCCAAGAUAGUUAAAUAUCUUUUAAAUAAGCAUUUUUCAUUCGCGUAUCGGGAAUUCGAGACAUUGUGUCCUAACUUAUUAGAUAUGAUUCUCUUUCUCGAAUAGCGUGAAAUAUGCCCCUUUUUCAGAAAUUUUUCAACGUUUUAAUACAAGGAUCGUAUUUUUAAAAUUCUUCAAAGUUCUCAAUUUUCGACAUUAAGACAUUAAGUAGUCAAUUAGGUACCAAUUUUGGGCGUAUCGAGGGUGCUAAUCCUUCCUCGUGCGUAACCGACUCCCGAACCCGUUUUUCUGAAUUUCGUGGACCAAACUUGUUGUUUUAAUAAAAUCAAACCGUUUAUUAAAAACAACUAAUUUUAAGGUGAUCCAAUCACACCUCAUAAAAAAGGAUUGGUAGCGACUCCCGUUUCUUUUUUCAAAACCCAAGUCGACCCCGUUUUCCAUCCAAAAAAUGGUGUCAACAUCCAUCUUCUACCAUAGUUGUCUUCUAAAGAACUUUAUAAAGGGAAGCUAUGCCACUCUAUUUAAGGGUUGGUUUUGGAGAUUAAAGUGUAAUUUUAUCAUCAUAUUAACUUAAGUUUUUUUUUUAAAUUUAAAAACGUGUAAAUGGUAAAUUUACUAUUUUUGGAAGGUCAAGGCUAUUGCUUCCCCUUAUCUUUGCCCUGCUAGUAGUUGACUAACACGGUCUCAUACAGUAAUACUCUUAUCGAAUAUAAAGCCUUGUUUAAAUGGAGAUAUUUAUAAGAGGAAAAAUACUAAAUAAUGCAAGCUCGCCCAUGCCUGGUCACUGUGAGCCCCUUUGUGAGGAAGCACCUGAUCUUCUCUCGAAGUUACGAGGUUAUUUUGUCAAGUUCUUUAGAGAGAGUUGUCUCACACCCCUAGGUAUUCUCUACCUACCCACUUGUGUCGGUUUUGGGUACACGUACCCUUUUGAUGAAGGUCGUUCAAGCUUUUCCUGGAAGUAUAAUUUUUACUUCCACUUACAAUUUCAUAAAAUAAUAAUUUAUCAAAUCAAAAUUAUUCAAAUACAAAUUCAAAAUAUUUGAAUCAAAAUUAAAUUGGAGCUCCUCACUCAGGCUUCUACUUUUGUGCAUUGAUAAUUCAGUGGCAGCACUUCCCCCUUGCCUUAAUUGUUGAAAAUUGAAUAAAAAUUGUACCUUUCAUUUCCUUCCCUCAGACAAGUUGUUCAUUGUUGCUCCCACUCUUCAGUCUUCUCUAAAAUAAUGUAGGAAUCCCAAGUCACUAUAAUUAGGUGAUGAGGAUGGUACUUACUUUUUUUCCAAUAUCAGGGUAUUUAUCGUUAAUAAUAGUGAUUGAUUUUUUUUGUUGCGAAUUUGUACAAGAGCUUAUGUAAGAGUUUAAUAUAGUUCAAUGAUUAUUUUAUAAUUUUUUAAAGUUAAAUAAUCAAAAUAGAAAUUAAUUAACAAUUUAGCUAGAGAGCUUACACGUAGUUUACCCAAAAACAUAUCGACAUGAUCCCCCAUUGGAGUCCGAAGCCAAAGCUCACAAAUUGGGUUAACAUUUGACAUUUGGGGUUUCAAAUUGAGAAUUAAUUGAAAUAGAUAACAAUUAGCAAUUAAUUGAGAAUAAACAAAUUAUAUUCCAUAUAGUGUAGUAUUGAAUAUAUGUUUACUUCAUUAAAGGUCUCUUUUUUAUUCAAUUAAUUUCUCCAACUCAAAUUUAGCAACUUAUUAUGGUACUAUGAGAUUAUAAGAAUGGUUUUUGGAAGUAAAUCAGUGAGUGAAGUUGUAAAAUUACUGAUUUUCGAUUUAAUUACUUUAAUCAUUGGUCUAGUUUCAAUUAAAAAAUUUAUUCAUGAUUUAGCCUAUAAAUUAUAUAUAUUCUCUCACUUUAGUCUAGUUUAGACUUGCCUAUGGCCCUGCUCGAAUGUCCACCUGAAAAGCGAGAUGAUUUAGGUAAAUAUAUAUGCCCAAAAAGUUGGUCUGGAUAAAAAAAUAAUGCUCGUUUUCUAAACGGAUUGGGUCUCAGGUAAGCUUUUCUUGCUCAACCUGGCCCGAAUUUGCAAAAAAAAAAACUAUUGUUGUUUUUUUUACUAUUUUAUCAUUGUUUUUCUAUCAUUUCGUUAUUAUAUUGCUACUAUUUUAUUAUUAUUGUUUGAAUAAUGCAUAACUCUUGUUUUAUUACUAAUUUUGCUACUAUUUUAGGGAUAUUUACUUUUUAAGUUACACUUAUCUCAGUGUUAUAUAUUUAAGUAUUUUUUUUUAAUUUUCAUUUGUUCGGAAACAUUUAUUUCAAAUUUUUUAGUGUAUUUGAUGAAUUAUUUUUUAAAAUUUAUUUUUAUAUUAAAAAUAUAAAAAAUUAAUAUGGGCAGACUAGGCUUUUAACAUUUUAAUCUAAGUUGGGCUUGGAUAAAAUUUUAAGCCUAUUUUUCGAGCUGAACCGAGCUCAGGCCUAGAAAUUAGGCCUAAAUUUUUUACUUGGCCCUAUCAACCCAUGGACAACCCCAGUCUAGUUUCAGUUGGGAAUGAGAAUUACUACUAUUUUGUUGUUAUUAAAUUGUUAAACCAUUGUUUUUUUUUUUUGGUGCCACUUCAAAAAGCCAUUGGGCCUUAGUCAAGACGAGGUAACAUAGAAUAGUUCAGGGUCCUAACUGGAAAAUAUCCCACAUUGAUUAUUGUGAUGUAGAAAGUGGAAAAUAUGUAACGAGCGUCAUUGGAAAGAUGUAUGUCAAACUAGUGGAGCCAUAAAUUGGUAGUUUUCUAAGGUUGGUUUCAAAAUGAAGGGGGAGCUCCCAAGUCAAAAUAAAAUUGUUUAGUAUUUUUUAGUGUUUCCCUUUUAGACAGGUUAAAUUGUGUAUUUAUAUGUAGGGGUGUUCAUUCGGUUAACCGAUCGGUUAAUCGAAUCGAACUUUUUUAAAAAAAAUUAACCGAACGAAAUUUUUUCGGUUAAUUCGGUCGGUUAAUCGAAAAUUAUAUGUUUUUUUAUUUUUGGUUAAAAAUUAACCGAAUUAACCGAAUUAACCGAAUUCCCGAAUUACCCGAAUUAACCUAAUUGAAUCAUACAUAAUUAAAUUAUUUUUAGACUUUAAUACUUUAGUUUUAGUUUUAGUUUUAGAAUUUGUUUUUAUUUAUUAAAUUAUUUGUAAAUUUUAUGAUUGGGUUGGUUUGGGUAAUUGGGUUGGAUUGAAUACUUGGAUUUGGAUUGGGUUUAGGUGAAUAGUGGACCUAUUUAUAUAUUAAUAAUUUUAUUUAUUAAUUUUUUCGGUUAACCGACCGGUUUCGAACCGAAUUAACCGUUAACUGAAAAUUCAUAAAAAAAUUAACCGACCCCCGACCGAAAAAAUUCGGUUAACCGACCGAUUACCGAAUUUUUUCGGUUUUACCCGAAUUAUGCACACCCCUAUUUAUAUGAUAUGAUUACUGUUCACAGAUAUGAUAUCGUAGGUAGGUUCCCAUGCAAAUCAACGUAUACCCUACUUUAGGUUAACAUGUAUUUAUAUGAGGUGGAUUUACAUAGUGCAAACCCACAUCAUGCUGUCUCGUAGAAGGUUGCAAACACCUUACAUGCGAACUCAAAGUGCGAACUGUAAUGGAUCAGUAAUAGUGAAUAUCAUAACAAAAGUAAAUUAAAAUAUUUAAUUCCUUCCAAAUAUUAAUUUCAAUAAUUAUUCAACUCCUAUUAUUUUAUCCUUUUGUAUAUUGAAUUCCUCUAAGCAAAGAAAAUAUCCAAAUUAAAAUUUUUAAUUUUUUUAGACAUAAUAUCAAAUUUAACCUUCAACGUUUACAUUUUUUUGUCAAUUUGGCAAUUAUUCUUUUUUGAGCUAAAUUUGACCCUUAAUCUUUCAAAAAAGAGUCAAAUAUUUUUUUAUGAAAUCUUUUUUUAAUGAAAACAUUAAUAAAAACAUUAAUUUUUUUAACAAUAAUGGUGUGGCAACCCGCAUGGUAGUCCACGUAUACUUCCAUACUAGUAUGACACUAUUUGUAUUAUAUGUCAUGUCAACAAAUAAUUUUAAAAAAGUAUUUAAAAUUCAAAAAAUUAUAAAAAGCUCAUAAUAUGUAAAAUAAAAAAGCAUGAAGUACAUAUAGAUUGUCAUUCAAACUAUCAUAUUUGAAAAUUUAAUGUUAUAAUCGAAAUUUUUUUUAAAAAAAUAACAAUUUAACUCUUUUAAAAUAUUAAUGGUUAAAUUUAACUUUUUAAAAAAAAUUGAAAGUCAAAUUUAGCUCAAAAAAUAAAGAUUAAACUGACAAAAAAUAUAAAUGUUAAAAGGUUAAAUUUCAAAUUAUAUCAUUAUUUUAUUAAACAAACCUUAUUAAAAAUGUAUUUAAAUUUUAUAAAUCUUAUUAAAAUAAUAUUAAUAAUUAUUCAACUCCUCCACACAAAGAAGCAUCCAAAUUAAAAAUAUAUAUUUAAUUCCUUUCAAAUAUUAAUUUGUUCAACUUCUUAAAUUAAGUAAUUAAUCAAUUUUCGUUUUAAACAAAAAACCGGAUAGGAAAACCAUCAUUUUCUCGGGAAACAAACAGAGAAAGCUGCAAACUUUCCAAAUAUAUACCUUACUCGAAAAUCUGCCACGUCUUAUCCUUGAUAUGAUGGUUUCUAACAUUGCCACUUGGCAAGUUAUUCAGUAACAAUGCCAAUCUGCCACCAUUAUGCUUUUCCUUGCAGUACAAAAUUCCAGGAUGCCUUUACUUCUUUUGCCUCUUGGAUCAGCAUUUACUAUCACCAAAAUCAAAAUCCCAACUUUGAAAAAAAAAAAGUUUAAUUUUUAUCCUUUUUUUAAAAAAAUUUAACAAUUUUUUAUUUUCCAUUGUCAACCUUGUAAAAUUCUUUUAUAUUUUUAUGUUUUUAGUGGGAUUUUUACAUUUGUUCCAAAUUAUCAGUUUGUCAAGUUCUUCAUGCUUUCCAUGUCCCAAAGGAUCACAUUUUAUUUAAGAAAUAGAAAAAGACAUUAUUUUUGUUCUUCAUGCAACUUAUAAGUUAUAGAGAAUGAAUUUCUUUGAUUUUAGCAACUAAUAUUAUGAUUCCAACAUUUAGGGUUUUAUAUGUUUUUUUUUCUGUAUGAAUUUGAACUUGAGUUAGCCAUAAAAACCCCACCUUUAAUCUCAAUAUAUGAACUUGGCUUUGCUUCUUAUGGUUAUUAUUGUUUAAUUUAAUUAAUGUCUUGAAAGGGUAUUCUAGUUUAAUUUAAUUAACUAGUCCAUUUAUUUUGAUUGAUAAUGAUGUUGCAGGUGCUUAAUCUUUCCAUUGAAAUGGAGAAAAUCAACUACCAGGACGAGCUGAAGAAAGAGCGUAGGCUUGUUCGGAGUCUCGUAUACGAGAUCGGUUACAGGAAGGAACAGGUGUCCGAAAUGGAACAUAAAUAUGACAAGACAACCACGGCUUUUCAAGAACUCGUUGAUGGCCUUGUAGCGAAAAUUGACUCCAAGGACAGUAGUUUGCGGGAUUGGGAGCUUCGAUAUAAGGAAAUGGGGAAAUGGUACAUAAAUAUGAUGAGACGACCGCAGCUCUUCAAGGACUCGUCGAUGGCCUUGUAGAGAAAAUUGACUCCAAGGACAGUAGUUUACGGGAUUGGGAGCUUCGAUAUAACGAAACCGUGAGACAAUUGAAGGGCGAGAACGCGGUGUUUCACCUUGUGUUUGCUAAAGGUAUACUUUAGAUUAUAUAUUGCAUACAUAGCGAGCAGAAGACUAUGCAUUAAUCCAAUCGUGUACGAUGAACAACAUGUCGUUUUCGAAGUUCCAAGGUUUGCAUUUAGAGCUUUGAUUGAUCUUUAGGCUAUUUUACACAUCUAGUUGCUUAGUAUUAGAUUCGGUGAAGAAGUUGCAACUUUAGGAUAGUGAAGGAGACAUAAAUGUCAGGAUUCGAACCCCAAACUCUGCUUUUAUAUCUGUUAUCACGGGAACCGGAUGAACUUAUGGAAACGAGGCUUGGAACCUAAAAGGAAGCAUAUAUAUUUGAGAUAUUCCGAUUUUCUUCCUGUUGCUAAUGCUUCUAUCAUACACAUUAGGAUUAUGUGAUCUUAUAUAUAUACACACGCAUAUAUACGAGAUACUGAUGAAUUUCUGCCUCCUGUUAUUGCUUAUAUCAUAUGCUUUAUGGACUGUUGCUUUACAUUUUUUAUGCAGAAAUUCAGAAGGAAAGGGAUGAAAAUCUUAAGCUGAAGUGCCAACCUGGCUUUCGAACCAAGUUGGUCGAAGAUUAUAUAUCUCGUAAUGAUAACGAUAUGGAACGAAGUAGCUUGUUGAAUGAAAUGGAAGGGGUUAGCAUACUCAUCUUAAUUUUGGUUUUCGAUAUAUGAACUAUCUUUUGUCGAGUUUGUACCUUUGUGUAAAUGAAUCCUGUUAUCAUGUUUAGGUUCAACGUUUUUAAUGGUUAUGAUUUGCCGAGUAGACUUUUAACAAUUCGGAUUAUAUCUGAUAUAGCCGAAAGAGAAUGUGGCUUGCCAAAAUCUUAUUGAACUCGAGAAAACUACAAGCGAGCAGAUUACUGCUCUAAAGAAAGAGUUGGAGGAAAAAUCAGAAGCGUUGAAAGAUAUGGAAAACCGAAACAGUUGUCUAACGGUGAAACAAGUCCUAACUAAUCAAGAGCUGCAAGAUGUUCGAAAAGAAUCCAUACGUGUAUUUUUCAUGUUUUCCUUUGCUUCCUCCUAUGUUUCCUCUUCGAAAUCGGGUUUAAACUUGAAAGUGUUAAACCCAAGACUUCUCUGGUUUUUGAUGUGCAGGGUUUGAACGAUUUUCUGAAUAACCAGACUAAUCUUAAGAGUGAAAAGAACGGGAGAGAUUGAUCAAAAAGCAUUCAAAGUUGCUUGCUCGUUGAAGUUCCAGGACGAAGAUUGGCGAGAACCGUGUGCUAAAACAUGUUCAUUAUGUUGUUCCAAUAGGGUCGGAAGCGUGUAAAUUAUUGUACUAAAAAAUCACAAAAAGUUCAAUUCCCAGGGAAGAGAGGUGGAUCACAUGGAUCUCUUAAAUACCAAGUCUUUUCUUAGACAGAAUAUCCCUUCUAUAGUAAUUUAAUAGCACAAUUAAAUACUACUAUUAUACCCUCAAAUAUUGAAAGAAAAAUAGGACAAGAAAGAACACAAGAGAUUUAACGAGGUUCGGUAAAUUAUACCUACGUCCUCGGGCACUAACACCAGAUGAUAACUUUACUAUCCCCAAAGUAUUACAAACAAAUAGAAUUCCUUAAGAAUUCUCAAAUGGGAGAAGAGAGAAAACUAAGAGAGAAAGAUUGGUUGGGAUGAAUUGAAAUGAGAAAUGAGAAGGCCUAUUUAUAGUUGAGGUUCAAGGACCAAACAAUAAAUAGCACAUUAUCUCAAGGACCAAAAAAAAAUUAUCCCUUGCCACUUUUCCAAAGUUGGUGGUUGUCAUUAUUGAUUGUCUCCCAUUAAUGUUAAUGGCAACCAUUAUUAAUUGUCUAUCAUUAAUGUUAACAAUCUCCACCUUGAAGAUUUGAUUAGGAUAAUCACAUCUUCACACACUUCCUUCAACUCCCUAAAUUCGAUAAAGCUAUCUUUUGUAGUGCCUACAAAUGCGCUCUCGAGCGCCAUACACCUGAAGGUGCUCAAAUUCUCAGGAUGUUAAUCAAGUUCAAACAAUGAUUAAACUUGAUUGUUGUUACCACCUUGGUCAUCAUAUCUGCGGGAUUAUCUGCUGUCGGAAUCUUCUAAAGUAGAAUUUUUCCUUUUUCAAAGACUUCUCGCACAAAGUGAUAUCUUACGUCAAUAUGCUUGGUUCUUGAAUGAUAGACUUGAUUUUUCGCUAAAUGAAUAGCGCUCUGACUGUCACAAUAUAAACUUAUGUGACUUUGAACAACUCCUAAGUCUUUCAACAAUCCAUUAAGCCAAAUAGCCUCCUUAACAGCUUCUGUAACUGCCAUAUAUUCUGCCUCUAUAGUAGAUACAGCUACUGUAGACUGUAAGGUAGACUUCCAACUCACUGGGGCUUUCGCAAGAGUAAACAAAUACCCCGUAGUUGAACGACGUUUAUCUAAAUCACCAGCAAAGUCGGAAUCAACAUAUCCAACUACAAACUGACCAAGUGCUUCAUCCUGUUCAAAAAUUAAACCAACAUCUACGAUUUUUCAAAGAUACCGUAGAAUCCAUUUCACAGCUUGCCAAUGUCCUUUUCUAGGAUCAUGCAUAUACCUGCUCACAACUCCAACAGCUUGUGAAAUGUCAGGCCUCGUACACACCAUCACAUACAUCAAACUCCCAACUGCAUUAGUAUAUGGGACUUUCGCCAUAUAUUCUCUUUCUUCUUCAGUUUUCAGAGAUAAUUGAGCACUAAGUUUCAAAUGAGAAGCAAGUGGGGUACUUACAUGUUUUGUGUUUUCAUUUACACCAAAACAUUGUAAUACCUUUUUCAGAUAUUGCUUCUGAUUCAAACAAAGCUUGCCUCUCUGUCUAUCUCUACUUAUCUCCAUGCCGAGAAUCUUCUUGGCCUCACUUAGAUCUUUCAUCUCGAACUCUUGAUUCAACUGAGCCUUCAGCUUAUCUAUCUCUUUUUGGCUCUUCGAAGCGAUUAACAUAUCAUCAACAUACAAGAGUAGAUAAAUGAAAGAUCCGUCAUGCAGCUUCUGCAAAUACACACAAUUGUCAUAUUUGCUUCUUGUGUAUUUCUGCCUUCUCAUAAAGCUAUCAAAUCGCUUGUACCACUGCCUCGGGGAUUGCUUCAAUCCAUAUAGCGAUUUGUUAAGCUUACAAACCCAAUUUCUACCACCAGCAUCUGUGUAUCCUUCUGGCUGAGUCAUAUAGAUCUCCUCUUCUAACUCACCAUGCAAGAAAGUCGUCUUAACAUCAAGUUGAGCUAGCUCUAAAUUCAACUGUGCUACCAAGGCCAACAAAAUUCUAAUGGAGGAAUGCUUCACAACAGGGGAAAAUACAUCAUUGUAGUCAAUUCCCUCCUUCUGAGCGUAGCCUUUAGCUACCAAUCUUACCUUGUAGCGAAUAUCCUUCUUGCUAGGAGAUCCAUCUUUCUUUGCGAAUACCCACUUGCAUCCGAUUUCCCUUUUACCUUUCGGUAAUUGCGCCAACUCCCAAGUAUUGUUCUUCCGGAGAGACUGCAUUUCUUCAUCCAUGGCGCUUUUCCAUUUAUCACUUUCUAAGCUUUGCAUUGCUUCUUGAUAAGUGAUAGGAAUAUCAUCAACAACGGGAAGGGCGUAGGCCACCAUAUCAGUAAAUCGAGCAGGUUUACGAAUUUCUCUCCAUGGCCUUGCAACUGCAACUGGUUCUGGUGUACUUAGUGGUUCUUGGGUCAGAACCUCUUCAACCUCUAAUUCCUCCAUUGUGGCUGGAGAAUUAGACUUAUUAACUGGGCAAAUCCCCAUCUGCUCAAACUCCACCUAUUUUGGAGUACACUCCACCUGCUGUGGAGUAUUGCUCGUCUGAAUAUCUUUAUCUGCUACCUUUUUCAAUGUGGCAGAUUCAUCAAAGGUAACAUCUCUGCUACAGAUCAUUUUCUUUGUGCUUAAGCACCAAAGACGAAAUCCCUUCACUCCAGAAGUGAUUCCCAUAAAGAGAGCUUUUUUUGCCCUCGGAUCUAACUUUGACUCCUUCACAUGGUAAUAUGCAGUGGUUCCAAACACAUGUAAGGAAUCAUAAUCUGUAGCCGGUUUUCCAGACCAUACCUCCAUAGGAGUUUUUCUUUCUAAUGCAGAUGAUGGCAAACGAUUAACAAGAUGGCCAGUGUAUGUCACAGCCUCAACCCAAAAUUGCUUGCCCAACCCAGCAUUGGACAACAUACAUCAAACUUUCUCCAGCAAUGUUCGAUUCAUACGCUCUGCCACUCCAUUCUGUUGUGGUGUAUCCCUAACUGUGAAGUGUUGAACAAUACCAUACUCUUGGCACACAUCGAAGAACGGAUCACUUUUAUAUUCCCCUCCAUUGUCCGUCCUAAGCCGCUUGAUUUUCUUGCCAGUCUGGUUUUCGAUCAUAGUUUUCCAUUUAAGAAAAACUCCAAGCACUUCAUCUUUAGUUUUCAUGGUAUACACCCAAACUCUUCUGGAAAAGUCAUCAACAAAAGUAACAAAGUAGUGUUUUCCUCCCAACGAAGGUGUUUUGGAAGGCCCCCACACAUCUGAGUGAAUAUAUUCCAAAAUACCUUUUGUAUUAUGGAUAGCAGUGCCGAAUUUCACUCUCUUUUGCUUUCCCAGAACACAGUGCUCACAAAAUUUUAAUUUGCAAGCCUUUGCACCUUUCAACAAUCCUUGUUUUGCCAGAAUUUGUAAGGAUUUUUCGCUGGCAUGUCCCAACUUCAUAUGCCACAACUGCAUUGAGUCCAAGUCUUUGUUACCGGAAGCUGCAGCGACUGCUCCAAUAACUGUACUACCUUGGUAGUAAUACAAGUUAUUUUUCCUGAUGCCCUUCAAUAUCACAAGUGCGCCAGAUGUCACUUUCAAAACCCCAUCUCUCAUAGUAACAACUGAACCAUUGGAUUCCAAGGCUCCCAAUGAGAUGAGAUUUUUCUUCAAACUGGGCACGUACUGAACAUCAGUCAGAACUCUGGUUGAUCCAUCUUUAUUCUUUAAUUGGAUUGAACCUAUCCCAACAAUUUUACAGGCAUUGUCAUUGCUCAUAUAAACAACUCCUCCAUUUAGUUCUACUAAAUCAGAGAACCACUCCCGGUUAGGGGACAUAUGAUAGGUACAACCCGAAUCCAAUAUCCACUCAUCUGAAUGGAACGACGAUGAUGAUGCAACCAGUGAUAGUUCAGAGUCACUAGUAUCAUGCUUAGCAACACAAGCAUCUACAGCAGCUUUUCCCUUAUUCUUCAGCUUUGGACAAUUUUUCUUCCAGUGGCCUUUCUCAUGACAAAAAGCACAUUCAUCUUUCCCGAGUCUGGACUUUGACUUUGAUAUCCCCUUUUGAGUUUUCUUCCGAGUGUAUGAACGACCUCGGACUACUAAAGCUUCUGUAUCUCUGAUUGAGUUUUUCUGUUUGUCCUUCUUUCUCUGUUCAUAACUGUAUAAGGCCGCACAGACUUCGCUCAGAGAUAUAUCACUCCUGCCAUGAAGUAGAGUAGUUUCUAGGAACUCAAACUCCUCAGGAAGUGACCCCAACAGCAUCAAAGCCAAAUCUUCAUCUUUGAAUGUCUCAUCCAUAUUCAGCAAAUCAGUGACUAACUGAUUAAAUUUGGUGAUGUGAUCAUUCAUUGUGGUACUUACGUAUGUGAAGCGAAACAGUCUUUUCUUCAAGUGGAGCUUAUUUUGACUGUUUUUCUUCAAAAAAAUUUCUUCAAGUGCCACCCACAACUUAUUUGCAGAAGUCUCCUUUGAAAAAGCAUACAUCUGCUCUCGAGAAAGGCAUGAUCGAAUUGUGCCACAUGCCAACCGAUUGAUCGCCUUCCAAUCUUUCUCCUGUACAUCAUCUGGUUUCUCUUCAUCAAUGGCAAUGUCUAGACCCUGCUGAAAAAGGGCAUCUAGAACCUCACUUUGCCACAUACCAAAAUGGCCCGUGCCAUCAAAGAUUUCCACGGCCAAUCUUGCAUUUGCAAUUGUCGGUCUUGUCCACAUGGACGAUGUUGAAGCUCCUACACCGACCGUUUUCUCCAUAAUCUUUCAAUAUAUCUAAGGAAAUCUUUUCUGAUGUGGAAGAUCAGUUUAAACUGCAACCACAGAGCAUACUACGAUUAACCUUCGGCUCUUGAUACCACUUGUUGUUCCAAUAGGGUCGGAAGCGUGUAAAUUAUUGUACUAAAAAAUCACACAAAGUUCAAUUCCCAGGGAAGAGAGGUGGAUCACAUGGAUCUCUUAAAUACCAAGUCUUUCCUUAGACAGAAUAUCCCUUCUAUAGUAAUUUAAUAGCACAAUUAAAUACUACUAUUAUACCCUCAAAUAUUGAAAGAAAAAUAGGACAAAAAAGAACACAAGAGAUUUAACGAGGUUCGGUAAAUUAUACCUACGUCCUCGGGCACUAACACCAGAUGAUAACUUUACUAUCUCCAAAGUAUUACAAACAAAUAGAAUUUCUUAAGAAUUCUCAAAUGGGAGAAGAGAGAAAACUAAGAGAGAAAGAUUGGUUGGGAUGAAUUGAAAUGAGAAAUGAGAAGGCCUAUUUAUAGUUGAGGUUCAAGGACCAAACAAUAAAUAGCCCAUUAUCUCAAGGACCAAAAAAAAUUAUCCCUUGCCACUUUUCCAAAGUUGGUGGUUGUCAUUAUUGAUUGUCUCCCAUUAAUGUUAAUGGCAACCAUUAUUAAUUGUCUUCCAUUAAUGUUAACACAUUAUGGCAACAUAAUGUGCAGGAUCCGAAUUGGCACCCGUAUAAGAUGAUCAACAUCCGAGGCAACUUGCAUACACCGAUUGCUCAGAAAACCGUACUGUUAUCAAACAUCUGUUGUUCUACGAAAUGCGAGCUGGUUCAUUACUCAAAACUUACAUAUUAAUGGGAUGCCUUCUCGGUAAUGCAGGAAAUAAUAGACAAGGAUGAUGAGAAGCUGAAGGAGUUGAGAAAUGAAUAUAGUGACACAGCGUACGAGGCUGUCAGCACCGCACUGAUGGAAAUGAACGAAUAUAAUGCCAGCGGAAGGUAUGCGAUCCCGGAAGUUUGGAACAGAAAGGAGGGAAGGAGCGCUACCAUGAAAGAAAUCGUUCAGUACGUCGAGCAACUGAAGAUUCACAAGCGUAAGCGAUUUUCUUAAUGCUGAGCUUAGCAGUCCAUUGCUUUCAUGGAAAAUAAGUAGAAUUAUACACAAUCCUUAGGUAGGUAUUAAAUUUUAGAAUUAUAUUUGACAUUAAAAAGAGCUAUUUGUUCAUUCCAGCAUGAGCUCCAAAAUUAGGCUCCAUAUUUACAAACCUAAAUUAAACUUACUCCAUAUUUACAAACAGAAAUUAAACCUACCUACGAUAGUUGCAUAAAAAAAUAUUAUCAAUUUAAAAAAAAAAGUAAUUAAGUUGUUGGUAUUUUUCAUUUAAUUAAAUACUUCACUUUUUAAAAUGUAUCAAAAACUUUCUUUAAAUUUUAAAAAAUAAUAAUUAAAUCUUUGUUUUUCUUUUACAUACUCAAUGGCUACUUCAACUAUCAAAAAAAAAAAAAAAAGAAAAGACUUUUUGACAAUUAAAAGUAACUGCUUUAAUUUUUUUAGUUAAAGUCAUUCAGCGUCACAACCAUACAGGCGUGAUGUGUAAUAAAAAAUUAUAAAAAAUAAAAAUUAAUAAAAUUAUUAAAUUCUAAUAAAAAAUAUAAAAAUAUUUAAAAUUUAUUUAAAAUGUCAUAAAUGUAUAAAUAAAAUAUAUUAAAAAUGUUAUUUAACCACUAACUUUAAUUGUUGACUAGUAAAGUCCAUAAUUUUUUUUUCAAUUAAAGCCAUCAUGUGUCGCAAUGCAAUGUGACCUGUGAUGAAAAAUUAUAAAAAUAAAAAUCAAUAAAAGUUACAGAAAAAUUAAAAAAUAUUUCUUUUGGUACAAUAAUUUUUAUAAUUUUUUUAUAAAUUUUAUAUUUUUAAAUUUUUAUAAUUUUCUUACUAUUUUAUAAAAUUUUAUAACUUUUGCAUUUUUUUAUAAUUUUAAAUAUUUUAUAAUUUUUAAAUUGUUUAUAAAUUUUAACUCUUUUUUAUUAAAAUUUAAUAAUUUUUUAACUUUGAUUUAUUUUUAUUUUUUUUAUAUUUUUUUACAUGUCACACUAUAAUUGUGACCUUUAGUGUUUUACCAAAAUAUUAGGAGUGGUUAAUUUUAACAUUCAACCGCUAAAAUUAACAAUCACAAGACUUUUAACAGUUCAAAUAUUCAAUUGGAUAAAAAAAUUUAUUAUUUAAUAAAAUAUAUUAAAAUAAGGGUUUCGACUCAAAUCAUGAUGAAUUGAGCCAUCGAACUUGAGAAAUUAAAAUGUGAACAGAAAUGGGCUCUUCAAAAACCCUUACCCGAGCCCAAGAAGAUCCCCCAAAAACCUUCAACUUAUAACCCUAAUUUGCCUCUCAACUACACUAUAAAUCCUAUCUUCAACAAGACUCAUUCAGCAUUUAUAUCUUCUAAAAAACCCUUCGUUCGUCUAAGGUUUCUCUUUAGAAAUUUUCUCUUCGCAGAGAGUAAUUUUUGCCUUCAUUUUUUUUUCUCUUUAUUUUCCCAUUUUCAAUCUGGGGUUUUUUCCAAAAUGAGUUAAAAAUCCAAUCUUUACACUAGAUGUGAACCCUAAUCACAUUUAUUUUAUCUGGGUUUUGAAUAAAAUCUACACUUGUUUGUAUACUUAUGAAAUAAAAGAACCAUUUUUAAUGCUUUGUUUCUUAACAAGAGUGCAGAAAUAAAAAGCUUGAUUUUUUGCUUCUUUUAAAACAAAGAAACCAAGGAUUAAGCAGCGGCCAGACAACCGUAGCGAUGAUAUCCACAGAUGAAGGGCUAAUUUCUUCUUUAAUCCCUUUUUUGUCUACUGAUUCCAUCUCACAUUUCGUUUUUUAAGUUUUUAGGGUUCAUCACUUUUGAAUUGAUUGAAAAAGCUCUAAUCAAAGUUGAAACUUGGUUAAAAAAUGGGUUUUUUUAUAUGAUUUUACCAUUUUCAAUGCUUUUUUUUUAUGUUUUUUCAAUUUGUAAAAUCAAAUGAGAAACAAUCUCAAAAAAGAAAAAACGACAUUAAUCUAUCAAUCAAUCAAACUGAUUUUGAUUUGAUCAGAUAAAAAAUCAUUAAAUAUCAUAUUCAUGGGAAUUGCAGAGGUUUACUGUUGUAAUUCUUACGAUAUUUUAUCAGAUAUAUUUUACAUCUUAAUAUAUCAUUAAUAUAAAGUCAAAUUUUUUUAACAGGUUAUAUUUUGAUAUUAGUCCCUAUAUUUUGUUGAAGUUAUGAAUUUAGUCUCUAUAUUUUUUAAAUUUUAAUAUUUUAGUCUUUAUUAAAUGAUAAUUGUUAAAAGUUAAAGUUUUGUUAUUUUUAAAAUCUAUUGCAUCAAACAUAUUAUCACAUGCUCAAUGUCAUGUCAACUUGUUAUUUUCAUGUAUUCUUUACUAAAAAUUUAAGGGUAAAUUAUCAAAAUAGUCACUUUUGUUUGACUCAGGUUACAUUUUAGUUACUUACGUUUGAAAUGUUACGUUUUAGUCACUUAUGUUAUCACGUUGUAACAUUUUAGUCACUGAGCCGUUAGUUUUUGUUAACGGUGCAACAGUAAACUGAUGUGGCACGUUAAAUCAUCAUUUCAAACAAAAAUUCUAGGUUAACUUAUACAAUCGGUCCUCAUAUUUUUUCGUUUUGAGCAAUUUAAUUUUUUUCUUUUAUGUUUUUUUUAACUUUCUUUCUUUUCCAUUCUCUUAUGCUUCUCUCUUUGUUUUCCUCCCUUCUCCAUUUCUUUCAACGUAGUUUUUCUAUGUUUUAUUUUUUUGAACAAUUUAAUUUUUUCGAGUGAGGCGAGCUUGUGGACUAGUUACAAAUGGAAAGCAUAGAAAAACUAUGUUAAAAGAAAUAAAGAAGGGAGGAAAAUAGAGGGAGAAGAAUAAGAGAAUGGGAAAAAAAGUUAGAAGAACAAAAAAGAAAAUUUUUAAAUUGUUGAAAAUGAAAAAAUAUAGGAACCAAUUGUAGAAUUUAACCUAAAAUUUUCGUUUGAAAUGAUGAUUUAAUGUGCCACAUCAACUUAUCGUCCAUUGUCGACAAUUAACGACUCAGUGACUAAAAUGUUACAACACGAUAACGUAAGUGACUAAAAUGUAACAUUUCAAACAUAAGUGACUAAAAUGUAACCUGAGUCAAACAAAAGUGACUAUUUUGGUAGUUUACCUAAAAUUUAAUUAAUAGAUUAACAACUGUUAUUUGAGUCGAAACUAAAAUAUAAAAAAUUACGACUUAAACUGAUCCAAUUAAAACAUAUGGACUAAAUCUACAACUGUGCUUACAAUACAUAAUUAGCAAUUGAAUUUAAACAAUUAGAUUUAACAAUAACUAUUUGUGUUAAAAGACUAAAAUUUAAAAAAGUACAGAGAGUAAAUUUGAAAUUUUGACCAAUUUGAAAAGUACAGAGACUAAAACUAACUAAAUUAAAGUACAAUGACUAAAUCCAUAAUUUUUAUAAAGUACAAGGAUUAAUAGAAAAUUGUAACCUUUUUAAUAAAGUAAUUUUGAUUUUUAUUAAUUUAUUUAUAUCUUUUGCUUUUGUAAAUAUAAUAUUUUUAAAUAUUAUUUUGAUUUUUUAUUAUUUUUCAAAAGUUUUUACUUUUAGAAUGAAUGGUCUAAUUUAACCUUCAGUCCAAUUCUUACAAAAUUGAUAAACACUAACAAUGCAUAAUUUAAUAAAACUUUUCAAGUAAUUUAUAAAAAAACACUCAAAUUAAGUAAAUUAAACACACAUUUCAUUUUAAAUUAAAAUUAUAAAUAUUUAUGUGUUAAAAAAUAAAAAUAAAGUAUCAUCGAAGCUGCGGGCUGCAAUCUUCCCAAGCAACUUCAGCCCCCAUUACUUCCCCACUCUUUUUUUUCUCUUUUUACCAACACUCAGAAAAUCAAAAUUUUACCACACUUUCCCUCAUUUUCCCGGAAAAUAAAAUAAAGAUAUUAAAACCAAACAAAAAUCCAAAAAAGGAACUCGGUGAAGAUUUAGAUUUAGACCCUGAAAUUUUUGCCAGUGAAAGUUUGACCAAAUUGCCAAUGAGAAGGGACAAUGUUCCACGAAGUAGAGGUCCGAUGGUCGCUGCCGGUGACCCUAGACGACAGAGAUUGGCCGACUAAAACGGCGUUGGAUUGCCAGUUUUGGCCUCAGUUUCGGCUCAUGCUCAUCCACUCCGUUUUCGACCCUUUAAUGCUUGCUUUCACGAUAUCGCCGGCGCCGGCCACGUUUGUGAUUAGGACCAAGUUGAAGUAUCGGAAACCGUUGAUUGUGAAUCUGAUUCCUCCUCGUUUCUGGCAUGGCACCCUGAAGAAUCAUACGAAAAAGGAAAUGAAGAUUGGGUCAAAUCUAUUGACACUAAUUGUUGAAGUUCGAAAAUCGGUCUAAUAUUUAAGAAGGUAAAAGCGUUUGAACGGGAUGAGAUCAUCUCAACAUAUUGGUUAGACCGCGAAUCGAUUAAAAUAUCGGAGAAAGUAACUUGAUCAAUUAACUCGAAACUAAUACAAAUCAAGAAAAUUACUAGACAAGUUAACUCGGGAUUUGAUACAUCUAAGUUUGAUUUUUAUUAUAUAUAAUUUUAAUUUCGGUUUUAAAAAUAAAAAGCUAAGGGAAUAUACCUUCUAAAAUAGAGAAUAAAAGGGGCGCAACUGGCUAAUCCUUUGUUCUAUUGGCUAUUGCUAAUGCCUUGGAAGUUGAAAGUGUACCUUACUUUGAUUAGUGAAUGGCCGAAUAUGCUUACAAGAAUAAAUUAAGAAAUUCAACGUGGCUUAACAUACAUUUGUAUUUACUGUCACAUGAAUUUGGAUAACAACGAUUGAGAUGGAGAGAAAAAUCAUAUCCAAUUAUGUUUAACACUAGCAUUACGUACAUAAGCUCACACCGACUGAAGAAAACUUUACAUAUACAAGUAGAAGAAAUUUCCGAAUGAACAAAGUCAGUCUUCGCAUCCUAGUUGUUGUUCCAUUCAAUCUCUGUAUGCCCAAAAGAAAAUGAGAGAAAACAAUUACUACGACUAAUGACAUUGUUGAUAACAGGAAAUAUCAUUGUCAGAGAAUUCAAGACUCAAGAGGGAGCAUAUAUAAUUAAUCUAUACUAUAUUACCAUACAUAUGCCCUCAAAUAUUUUUAAAAUUAAUCGUUCAAAUCUAAAUAUAUAUUUGAAAAGAGUAUACGAUAUUAUAAAGGAUCGUAAAAAUCGAAAUAAUAUUUAAUUCUAUAUCGUCUUCUAGAAAGAACAUGAGCUAUGGUGAUAAAAUAUUCGAAUUAUUCCUCUAAUCUCAUUUAUAUCAUAAUUUAAAUUUGAAGAACUUACGAGUAUCGAUGAGAAAACCCACAGGGUCUUUAAUGAGGGAGUUGUUUUAAUUUCUUGACUUAAAUUCAUUGAUUCUAAGGAAGCCUUUACAAACAGACAUAAUUAUUAAUUGAUCCAAUUUCAACAGCAUAAAGUAGGAUCAUAGGAUAAGGGCUUAGACAGAAACAACUUUAUUCUUUUUCUUUUAUGAGCGAAUCCAAAAAUUUUAUGUUGGGAGUUGUUUUUCCGCAAGUGGUGGGAACGGGCAUCAAUUAUUGCUUAAAAGUUAAGCUUGUAAUUUACAAUCAAGGCAUCCAUCAUUUUCUUCAUCCUGGUUAAUGAUAAUUCGAGAUAAAUGUUCCAUUUCCAGUUAAAAUAAAAAUUUUCUCAAGUUAAUUGUUUGAGGAGUAAAUUUAAAAAUAAUAAUAAGAUUGUUUUCUAAAUUAUAAAAAUAAAGAUACAUCAAAAUUAAAAUUUUAAAAAUAUAAAAAUUUUAAAAAUUAACAUAGAAUACACAUAGAUUGCUAUGUAGGUUGUCGUGUUUAAAAAUUUAACAUUUUAAUUAGUAUUCUAGUUUUUUUUUAAAAAAAACAUCAUUUCAGCUCUUUUUCAAAACUAAUAAAUAAGAUUAGAAAACUAAAAAUCGAAUAAAGAAUCGAAUUUAACUAGAUGUUGAGGCUUGUUUUACACAGUUUCCUUAACACAAAUUUGUCCGCUUCUACGGUACUUGGAGAAACAUUGGUCGACUGUCUCCCAUGAUACAAUAACACGAUGACUGAAAUAGCAUCACCUUUACAUGAAAUUGGCUGAUAUUAUGACGAUACUAGGUAGCAUAGAUAUCAUUAUGGGAGAAGUGGAUCGUUGAAAUGAUAAUUUAUACGACAGAAGUAGAAUAUAUCAAUUCCUUUUACACAUUGGAAUCUUUAAAAGAGGUCUAUGGGAUCAUAUGGAUGUUGGUCCCUAUUUUGACUCUUGUUUUGGGAAUCACAAUAGGUGUACUAGUAAUUGUAUGGUUAGAAAGAGAAAUAUCUGCAGCAAUACAACAACGUAUUGGGCCUGAAUACGCCGGUCCUUUGGGCAUUCUUCAAGCGCUAGCAGAUGGAACAAAACUGCUUUUCAAAGAAAAUAUUUUUCCAUCUAGAGGCAAUACUCGUUUAUUUAGUAUUGGACCGGCUAUAGCAGUCAUAAGAGACCAAUGAACAAACCUUGCAUUUUUCUGUCACCGGAACGUUGGAAAAUAUAGAGAGGAAAAGAGAAGAAUUUUCGAGAGCAAAAUAAACUUGGUUUUAGAGAGUCUUUUAGUGUAAAAAAUUUGAAGAAUUCUUAAGCAUUCAAGAUGGAGGAAUUUUGGAAAUAUCCAUAAUUAAAUAUAUAAAAUUUGUAUUAAAUGAGCAAUUAAAUCAUAAUAUAUGUCUUUUUUAAAUUAGAUUUUAUAUAUAUUUGCUGAGAAAAAUAAAUUUUGUGUUGGGCUUAAAAUAUCUAUCCCUUUUUGGGCCUGACCAGUUUAGACAUUUCACGUUGCCUACGUCGUGCGAGUGCGCUCCAACCCCGAUGGGUUUGGAUCUACACCCCUGCGCGUGAGACAAAGUUUCAAACUUAGUCAUUCAAUCAUCCUUCAAGUGGGUUCUCAUAUAUAGAGACAUCUCACACUUGGUAUUCAAUCAAUGUGAGAUCUAAGCUUUUCUUUUCCUCAACAAAUAUUCACAAGUAACUUACUUUGAGCAUUAAUUUCUCACUUAUCACUCAACCAUUUUGAGCAUACGAUAUACUGUUGUAAAGAUAUCAUUGAGUAGAAUAUAAAAUCAUAAUUUUAUGAUUCAAUUCUCCACCUUUACCAAUUGAGAAUAUGCUUUAAAGUUUCCAAAAAUUACAAUUUUUUCAACAUUUUAUACAUCUAUUUUAAAGGCAUAAUUGAGCCAAGUAGAGCCCGAAUAAUGACAAGUUGAACUUGACUCGAACAUCACUUUUUAAGGUCAAUCUUGAUUUAGAACAUAAUUGAGUUGAUUAAGCUCGUUUAUCAAUUUUUAUAAUCAAACCCAUUCAUAAUUAAGCUCUUUCUAUAUAUCAAGGAUAAAAAUGUAACUUCAUAAAUAAAAAUAUAUUUAAAUGGAAUGCUUAAUUAGGUUUGUGGCCUACUUGAAUCAAGUAUUACAAUAUUUAAAUUCGACUCAACCAAUAGCUCGAGCUCUACUCAAUAAUUUUCAAUAAAAUUUUGAGAUUUUUUGAAUCCAACUCGAAUUGCUUGCAAAUAUUAAUGUAUCACUUAUGCUUUUAAUUUUAAAUUUACAUUUUUAAUUCUUAAAAUAUUAUUAAAACCCAAUCAAUUGAAGGCUUUGUAGAAAGUGGUGGCAAAGUGCAUCCUUUACUUUAGGUCUCACUAUAUCUAAAAAGAAAUUAAUGCGAACCGUAGAAAGUGGUAGGAAUGUGCAUCAUUAUUGCUUUAAAAGAAUUUAAAUCUUUAAACGGAUAGAAUUAAAUUUUCAUAAUUUGGAGGAGUUAAAGUGUACUUCUUUUUACUAUUUUAAAAUUUUAAAAUUUUAAAAUUUUUUAAAGAGUUAAAAUAACAUUUUUUAUUUUAAGAGGGCCGAGCUCCCUGUCAACCUCUAGAUUUACCUCCGUAAAUUUCAAAAUUCAGUUAAAUUAUGUUAUUUUGAAUAAAACGUUAAUUGAUAAAGAAAUUCUUUUAGUUUCAAAAAUUCAAUUUUUCUGUUUUAAAAAAAUAUAUAUUAAAAUUUAAAAUUUAAAAUAUUAAAGUAAUAAAAUUUAAAUAUAUCAAUGUCUUUUUGAUACAUGCAUGAAUGGGGUGAAACUUAUUAGAUUCCAAUCAUCAAAACUGCCAAUUUUCAGGCUCGGAAAAUCAGCAGACUUGCGGCGACUGGAUCCUGGUAUUUUUGGGUUGAGAUGUCUCAUGGCGUUUAAAGAUCUAUCUCUUAGCUUUGAAACGCAUUUUGAAUAACUCGAUUUUGAGUUCGGGAGCUCAAGUUAUGACCGUUUUAGUGAAGACUACGCGAGAAGAAUUUCUGAACGGGAUUAUGACGGGAAUUACAAAUUUCGGGCUUUUAAUUCGAGUUUAAAUCAUAUUGGAUUCGGGUUUUAGACUUAAUUUUUAUUAUAUAUGAGCCCAAUAUUAUAUUUGUCAGAUCUUAUUAUUUUAUUAUUAUUUUAUUCUAAUUUUUUUUAUAAUUAUUAAGUAUUUUAAGUUAUUAGAGUUCUAGUAUUUUAAGCUAUAAAGGCCAGAAAAAUGUAUUCUUGGGGGUGAUUUUUGAAGGUAAAAAAGCAACAGAAAAUCAAUACAAAAUAAUCAAAAAUUUCAAACAAAAAAAGAGAGAUUUAGAAGGUAGUUUUUUUUUCUCUGUUUUUGUUUGUUUUAUUUAUUAUUUUUUCUUUCUUUUUCUAAACAGAAACACAGAAAAUAAAACGGGACCGAAAACUCACCUUUUUAGAGGGAGGGCUGAGAGAGAGUUGAGCAAGAAGAGAAGGAUUUUUUUUUUAAAAAAAUGAGGUUACCAAUGAUUUUUUAAAGUUUUUUUAAAUUAUAUAAACACCCCAAAACGACGUCGUUUUGAGUUUGGCUUCUGACACUUAAAACGGCGUCGUUUCACCCUUGACCCGCGUGCGACCUGACUCGCUCCAUGGGGAUCCUCGUGUUUUCAAUUUUUAGGCUAUUUACGCCUCUGGUCAUCCCGCGUUUUCCGGUUGUUUUAAUUUAGUCCCUUUUUUACUUUUUUUCUCUUUAUAUAUUUGGCCAUUGAUUUUGUGGCGUGUUUUAAUUUAGUCUCUGGCUCGCUAAAAAGGACGCGUGUCAAGGAGAUCGGGUUAUUUUCCCAUUUGGUUCUCGUUUGUUUUCGGGCCUUUCGAAUUAGUCCUUUGUUCUUUUUUUAUCUUAAUUUAUCCUGCUAAUUUAAUUUGAGUAGCAAUCGGGUCCUUUAUUCAUUUAUUUUUGUGUAUCUUUAUUGUGUAUCUUUAUUUAUUUUGCUUUAUUAUUUUUACUUUAUUACUCCUUUUUAUAUAUUUGUUUAAAAUUGGAUUGUGUAUAUGUUUAUUAGUUUUUUUUUUCUUUUGGUUAUCAUUCUUUUACUUUUUAAAUAUUUAAAUCUAAUAUUAUGAACAUUUACUUUAUCUAUUUACUUAUUUAUUUAUUAUUCUUUUACUUUUCAAACGCUUAAAUUUAAUAUUAUUUACAUUUGUUUUAUCUAUUAUUCACUUAUUUUUUCUUUUACUUCUAAAGAAAUUUUAAAUUCGAUAUUAUUCGUAUUUGUUUUAUUAAUUUAUUUUUUAUAUUUCAAUUUAAUGAUAUUUGUUUUAUCUAUCCAUCAAUUUAUUAUAUAUAUAUAUAAUUAGAUACCACUUAUAUUCAUUAAGCAACUUUCAUUUUCAUUUAUAUUUUGAAUUAUUUUAUUUAUUGUGUUGUGGUGUUAUAAAUUGAUUUUUUUAUUAUUGCUAUAUUCACUGUUAUUGCCAUAGUAUUUGGUCAUUUAGUUGUCAUUUAGUAUCCUAAUAUAAAUCGUACUCAUAGUCAUAUCACAUUAUUUCAUUACCAUUGUAUUAUACACUAGGUUCACACAUAUUUAUCCAUUUUUUUAUAGACGAUGCCCGAAUUAAACAUGUAUGCCUUGUAAGUGUUACAUUAAUAUUUUAUUCGGUGCACAAAAAGAAAAUUAUUUUAAAUAAGUAAUAUUUCGUAUUUUAGAAUUCGUAAAUUCGUUCCUUAACUUACGGAGUUUCGAUCUUCUCGAUAAAUCUAAAUAAAUGAACCUUUUUUAAAAACAUAAGUUUUUAAAUAAUCUCAGGAAUUAAGAAGAGAUCGUGUUCUAACUUAAUGGAUAUGGUUUCAUUCUAAAACUGAGAUAAUCGAAUAUCUUUUAAAAUAAAUAAAUUUUCGGUGUUUAUUCUCGUUUCGAGGAUUUAAGGUAUUGCGUCCUAACUUACGGGAAGUAAUCCUUUUUCUCGAUUAACGUAAAAUAUUUUUUUGUAAAAAUUCAAUUAAGCGAUAUUGUAACAAAGGAUGGUAUUUUAAAUCUCUUUAAAGUUUUUAAUUUUCGACAUUAAAACAUUAAUUCAUCAAUUAGGUACCAAUUUUUGGCGAGACGAGUGUGCUAAUCUUUCUUCGCACAUAACCGACUCCCGAACCCGUUUUUCUUAAAUUUCAUAGACCAAAAUCAUUAUUUAAGUAAAAUCGAAACGUUUUAUUAAAAUGAUUAAAUUACAAGGUGAUCCGAUCACAUCUCGAAAAAAUAUCGGUGGCAACUCCAGUUUUUUCAUUUUCAUUUUUAAAAUAAAAGUAGACCCCUUUUGUUUCAAAAAUGGAGAAAGUGUGUUCCUAUCUUUUGUCAGCUUUACCAAAAGGGAAAAUAAUUGGCGAUAGAAUGUUGCUUUCUUUUGUCAACUUUUUAGCUGUAUCCACUAAAUGAUAAGAACUGCAUUCUCAAGUAUUUGUGUUUCUUUAGGAUUCUAUUGUUUACAUCUCAAUUUUUUUUUUACAUUGAGUUGCACUUUGUCAAAUUACUUCUCGCAUUACUCUGUUAAGAAAAUUAUCUUUUCGCUCGUUCGUAACUACGAGAACUAAUCGCUGAAUCCUUCUCUUAUUCGUUGGAAAGGUACGCCAUCUGCUUUCAUUUUGGUUGAUUUGGUCUUACUUCUUGGUUUACAGAAGCUUUACUUUUUGCUCAUUUGAUUUGUAACUUUUUCUUCUGAUUUUGUUUUAAUCUUUGUUGUCGCUGUGGUUAUUCAGUUUACUUCUUGUUUGACCUCUCAAUGGAGUCUGUUACUACCCUAGUUGGCUCUAUUGUCACUAAAGCUGUAGAGUAUACGAUCUCUCCUAUCAAAAACCAUGUCAAAUACCUUUCCAAUCAUCAGCAAUAUGUUGAGACCCUCAAGGACCGAGCUGAGAGGCUGAAAGAUGCAAGGGACAGAGUGCAGCAUUCUGUUGAUGCAGCUCAACGAAACGGUGAAGAGAUCGAAGGGGAUGUUGGCAAAUGGUUGUCUGCAGUCGACAAAAAGAUUCUUGAACAAGCAGAGAAAGUGAUGCAAGAUGAAGAAAAAGCAAAGAAAAAGUGUUUCAUUGGUUUGUGUCCUAAUUUCAGGACUCGUUACAAGCUUAGCCUGAAAGCCGAAGAGGAGGCAAAGGCUGUUGCCGAGCUACUUGAACAUGGCAAGUUUGAAAGGGUUUCCUAUCGUGCAGCUCCGCAAGGUAUCGUGGUUGCACCAGUUAAAGGUUAUGAGGAAUUCGAGUCAAGAACGUCCAUUUUCAAUGGAAUAAUGGAGGCACUAAAAGAUGAUAGCGUCAGCGUUGUUGGGGUGCAUGGUAUAGGUGGGAUUGGAAAAACAACGCUGGUCAAAGAAAUUGCUAGAAAGGUCAAGGACAAGUUGUUUGAUUCGGUUGUCAUAGCAACCGUAACUCAAGCCAUCGAUAUUGAGAAGAUUCAGAACCAAAUUGCAGACUUCUUGGGCUUGAAAUUUGAGGAACAGAGUAUGGUUGGAAAGGCAUUUCGACUACGAGAAAGAUUGAAGAAAGAGGAGAGGAUUCUGGUUGUCUUGGAUGACAUUUGGGGAAAGGUUGAUAUUGAGGAAGUAGGGAUUCCUUUGGGAGAUGAACACAAGGGCUGCAAAUUACUAUUAACUUCUAGAGAGCUCAAUGUUUUAUCAAAUGGGACGGAUGCUCAGAAAAAUUUUCCCAUUGGGUUUUUAAAUGAAAAGGAAGCCUGGGACCUGUUCAAGAAGAAGGCUGGCGACUGUGAUGAAAGUUGCGAUUUGAAGCCUAUAGCUAUGGGGGUAGCCAAAAAAUGUGCAGGACUGCCGAUAGCUAUUGCGACAGUUGCAGGGGCUUUGAGAAACAAAAGAUUGUUUGAAUGGAAGAAUGCUUUACGAGAACUGGAGAGGCCUUCGUCAAGCAACUUCACGGGGAUAACUGCGGCAUAUUCAGCUAUAGAGUGGAGUUUUAAUUAUUUAGAAAGCGAGGAAGUUAAGCGGACUUUCUUGCUUUGCAGUGUAAUAGGCCAUAAUGGUCUCGUUGAGGACUUGGUAAGAUACACUCUAGGUUUGGGUUUAUUUGAUGGUGUCAACACUAUGGAAGAAGCUAGAAAUAAAGUAUUGACGGUUGCGGCUAAUCUCAAAGCGUCUGCCUUGUUGCUUGAUAGUUAUAAUGAUAAGCGCUUUGAUAUCCAUGAUGUUGUUUGGGAUGCUGCUAUAGCUAUUGCAUUGAAGGACUACCGUAUGCUUGUUUUGAGAGAUCAUGCUCCAAAGGAGUGGUCCGAUAAGGAGAAAAUGAAGACGUGGAGUGUGAUCAGCUUACGUUGUCCUCAGAUUAUAGCUAACCUUCCUAAGGAGAUGGAGUGCUCAGGACUUUCCUUUUUCCACAUGGCCUAUAAUGGCGCGGUUAAAAUUCCUCUCAAUUUCUUCAAACAAACCGUAGGCCUGAAAGCCUUAGAUUUGGUCGGAAUGCAGUUUCCAUCCCUCCCUGAAUCAAUUAUUCACCUUGCAGAGCUUCACAUGUUGUGUCUAAAAGGAUAUGCAGUUGAUGACAUAACCAUCCUUGGAGAGCUCAAGAGUUUAGAAGUACCCAACCUUUCUCGCUUAGGUAUCAAAGAACUACCUAAGGAGAUGGCACAAUCGACUCAAUUAAGGUUGUUAGAUUUGCGUGGGUGUAGAGAACUCAAAAUCAUCCCACCGAAUGUCUUAUCAGGUUUGUCUAAAUUAGAAGAAUUAUAUAUGAGUAGGAGCUUUGUUGAAUGGGAAAAGGGAGGAGUAGUUGAAAAUGAGAGGAAAAAUGCAAGCCUUGAUGAAUUAAACAAUUUGCCUUGUCUAACUACUUUAUAUGUUGAUAUUCUUGAUGUCCAAAUGAUACCAAAACACCGGUUUGUAGAAACAUUGGACAGAUUCAGGAUUUUCGUAGGUAAUUAUGGAGGAUAUAAUUGUUGCCAGAAUUAUGAAUCUCCGAAAGCAUUGAAGCUCAAGUUAUAUACAAACAUUGAUUUGGACAAUGGGAUGAAAAUGUUGUUGAUAAAGACAGAAGAUUUGUGCCUAGAGGGACUUGAAGGCGUCAAGAAUGUACUUGUGGAGUUAAAUAAUGGGAAAGAUCUUUCAAAUUUAAAGAGAUUUCAUGUCAAAAAUGGUAGGCACGUCCAACAUAUCAAAAUGAACAAAAUUGGAUUUUCUGAAUUAUGCUUCGUUAAACUUGAAAAUCUACCGCAACUCGUUAGCUUUUGCUCUCCAGACGAAAGGUGUUCCACUAAGCCCUUAUUACUUUUCAAUAAACAGGUAUUUGUUUGGCUUUACUUAUAUUUUCUUAUACUACUUUUAUUUAUAUGCCCAUUAAUACUUCUAAUAGUAGAAAUAAAUAAUAUUGUGUAAUGGUUUCUCCGGAGCUCAAAAAUAAAUUUCAAAUCCAAAACAAAUUAAAAUUUAAUUUUUAAUCCAAACCGAUUCAAAAUCAAUUCAAUAAUCUAAAUUUAAAUCCAACAAUUUUUUUUAAUUCUGAGAAUAAAAUUUGAGCCCACAAAUCGAACUAAAAUUAUCUUUAAAAUAAAAAAUCAUAUUUUCAAAUUAUGUUACAUACUAUCUUUCCCUAUGGAAAAAGAAUUGUGUAAAUAUGUGCAAUUUAUUUUCCCUCACUUGGAAAGCUUGUAAUUGUGUUCCAUUAACACGAAAAGAAUAUGGCACAACCAGACAUGUCAUUGGGUUACGAAUUUGAGGAGCUUGAUCAUCAAAGGAUGCGGCAAGUUGGAGCAUCUGUUAUCACCCUCUCUCGCUAGAAGUCUGGUGCAGCUCCAAUGCUUUGAGAUAGAGGAUUGCAAUUGCUUAAGGGACAUAAUACUUACAGAGGAAAUUGAAGAAGCAAGGAAAGAUGUGAUUUGUUUCCCUCGAUUAAACUCCCUGCAUAUAGAUCGUCUUCCAAACCUCAUCUUCUUCAACUCAGGAAACCACAAUAUUGAGUUCCCAUUGUUGAAAGUGCUAAAGAUUCAGCGUUGCCCCAAGUUAAUAGAAUUCAUUAGUCAGAAUAGUAAUCAGUCCGGCAUGCACGCUCUCUUCAGUGAGAAGGUGAUUUAUUUCAUUAGUCUUACAUUCUUGCAUAAAUCUGUUGAUUUGUCCUUGUUUUUUUUUCUGCCUUCAUUAUUUGAGCUAACCUUAUCAUGGGCAUGGAUUAUAUAUAUAUAUAUAUAUGAAUAUAUAUGAAUAGGUUGCAGUUCCUAGCUUGGAAGACAUCAAUAUCUGGGACUUGAGUAAUGUGAAGAUGAUAUUUUAUAAUGACCUAGCACCAGGUUCCUUUAAAAAUAUACGAAAAAUAAAUGUUUGGGGAUGUGGGAGUUUGAAAAAUCUAUUUCCAGUAUCAAUAGCCAAAGAUCUUCCACAACUUGAACAUUUAAGCAUCACUGAUUGUGGAGUUGAGGAGAUUGUAUCGAAAGGGGAUGGAGUGGAGGAGCAGCCUGUGAGGUUUGAGUUUCCGCAAGUAUCUUUCCUUGAGGUUACAUGGGUAGAAAAGCUCAAAUGUUUCUAUGAAGGGCAACAUACAAUAGUCUGGCCGAUGUUGAAAAAAUUGAGAACAGAUAGUUCUGCUUUGCUAAAGAUAGUGGCAUCGGAACAUCUUAGAUUAAUCCAAGGAAAUAAGCAGCCAGUUUUGUUGGGUGAAGAGGUAUGUAUAUCAUUACAACUAUAUUUCAUUUUAUGAUUUAAACCACUGCCACAAGCAUCUCAAGUUGAAAUAUGCCACGAUAAUGCAUUUCUAAUUUUUAUAUUUUGUUUUAUUUGGAUUUUUUUUUCGUAUUUUUGAAUUUUCAAUAUAUAUUUUAAAUUUUUUGUUACAUUUAUAAUUAUUUUUUCAUUUUUUUUAAAAACAAGACUGAAUAAACAUAAUAAGUAAAUAUUGAGUGAAUGCAAUUCAAUUUAAUAAAAUGUAUAAAUAUUGAGAGUUAAAUUUAUUAUUAUGUAAAAAAAAAGCUUAAAAAAAUGAAAAUAUUUUAUUUGUUUUUAAGUAUCCAAAAUGAAAAUAUUUUAACACUAAGUGACUGUAUAUGUAAUUUACCCUGCAUUUAAGUAGUGGGUCAAAACUAAAUAGAACGUUUAAUUUGCUAAAAACAAUUGCCACUCAAUAAAAAAUCAAAACUUUAAAAGUUAAUUACACUAGACAUCUCAAACUAUGACCUUCAUUUUAAAUUAGUCUUAAAAUUUAAAAUAUUCUAAUUACAUUCUUAAACUAUUGAGGUUAUAUCAAUUACGUCUUUCUCUUAUUAAAUUCGUUAAUUUAACCAUCAAAUUAAAUCAAUGUAAUAUUUUAAAACCUUGGUGUUUUAUCUCCACUAUUCUGCUUAUAUUUUUUGUCAUAGAAAAAUAUAUAUAUAUAACAAUGGUUGUUUAUCUAUUUUAAUCUAGAUUUGCUACUCUUCUUUCGGCUUUCAUGUUCUGUAAUUUUUAUCAGUUUUUAUUCUCAAGGUAUUGUGUUUUCUUAAAACAAAAAAUUCAUCUACUCUGGAUUCAUUUGAUUUAAUAUUGAUUUUGUUGGGAUUUAAUCAUCAAAAUCAAACACUAAAAUUGUAAAUCUCUUUUUUUUGUUUGUUUGUUUUUUUAAAGCAUAUACAUCAACAUUGAGCCUAACUUGUAUAUGUUUAAUUGGUUUCCAAGGUCAUUCCCAAAUUAGAGGAACUUGAGUUACGAAAUUUUGGUGAUAUGGACCAAUUUCCACCAGACUUGUUUCAACAUAUUAAAGUUUUUGCACUGAGUGGUGGCUCUCCAUUUUCUUUGUUUCCUUUCGUCCGAAGAUUCUACAAUCUGAAAAGACUUGAGGUUUCUAAUUUUGAUUUCAAACAUGUAGUCCCUUGUAAAGGAGACGUCGGGACUCUCCCAUCAAUUAGAAAUCUGAAAUUGGUUUCUGCCAGAAAUCUUAAGCGUAUUUGGAGGAAAGAUUCGGAGCUUGACCAUAUUCUUUCUGAUCUUCAAACACUCACAAUUCACAAUUGUGAUGAUUGGAUAAACAUUAGAGUCUUCUCAUCAUCUUUACAAAAUCUCACAAUUUUGAAUGUGUCACUUUGUAAAAUGAUGACAAACUUAGUUACACCCUCAGUACUUCAGAAUCUUGUGCAAUUAACGACAAUGAUCGUAAGAGGGUGCACUAAAAUGACAGAAAUAGUGGGAAACGAGGGAGACUGUCAUCAGACAAUAGUUGUUAGUAAAUUGAAAUGUUUACAACUAUGCAAUUUGAAGAGCCUCACAAGCUUUUGUCCAUGGUAUUACAACUUCGAGUUUCCUUGUUUGGAAGAAUUAGUUGUGGAACAUUGUCCUUGGUUAAAGAUCUUUUCUGAGGGAGUUUUAAGCACCCCACAAUUACAGAGAAUAAAACAGUCGCAUUACGGUGAGAAAUGGAGUUGCAAGUGAGAGUGGUGAUGCAAGUGAAAGCGUGGUUGGCGAAGGGGGCAUCUAUGAUAACACUGCAACUUUUUUCAGCAAUAAGGUAAGUUUGGUAUUCAAUAUUUAUCUGCACAACUUAUUUCACAUUUUCUUUUGAUUUGAUCAACAUGAGUGUGUCUGGUCUAUAUAUACAUACUAGUGCUACACCUUGUCAAAAUUGAAUAUAAUAAAAUCCAUAAAAAUAUUAAUAAAUAAGACAAUAUUUAAAAGAAAAACUGGAGUUUAAAAGUAUAAAUAAAUAUAUAAAAUAAGAAUUGAAGGAAAAACUUAAAGUGAAAUACUAAAAAACAAUAAGAAUUUAAGAGAAGUUUAAAAUUAAAUAGUAAUAGACAAUAAAUAAUAAAAUAACAAUAGAAAAAAGAAAACUAAUCUUCCUUUAUUUUAAUUUGUGGGUGUAUAAGAAGGAGAUAAUUGUGGAAGACCUUCACAAAGGUCAUUUGAGAUCAAAGGAGAAGAAGCAUGAAAACAAAAGGUGAGGAGUUUGAAGAAGAAAGAACCAAAUAUAUGGGUUUGAUUUAAAGAUUUAAUGUUUUUUUUUUAAUUUCAUAUAUAGAAAAAAUCAUUGAAAGAAAAAAAAAGUUCAAUAUAAUUACUUAAAUUUACCUGUCGGUUUUUAUAAAAGUAACUUAAAUUUUUGAUUAAUUAUGAAAAUGACUCAAUUUAAAAAUUAUGUACAUAAAUUAUUCGAUUUCUAUAGUGUUUGUCGGUGCCCCCAGACACAAUGGCGAUAUCAGACUGAAGUGUGAUUAUAUAAAAUGAUUGUAUUUAUGUACAUAAUUUUUAGUAGUGUUGUUGGAAAAAUUGGCGAUAUCAGACUGAAGUGUGAUUAUAUAAAAUGUUCAUGGACUUAACGAAGUAAUUACCCUUUUUUAAUUAGCGGAAAAAGGGGUCUUCCGGUGAAUAUGGGGCACCAAAUUAAAUGAUUUUCAUCUUUUGGUCUAUUUGCAUGUUUCCCUUUUUGAAAUUAAAUUUAGAUAACCCUUAAGAAAUAUAAGAAUAACAAAAAGAAAUCAUUCUCAUUUAUUUUAUUUUAUUUUUAAAAAAUAAACUUAAAAAAUUAUAUAAAAUGCUUAUUUAAAUUACCCAAAUAUAUCCCUCACACAACUUCCUCAAGUUUAUCUAAAUUCAAGCAUUUUCAAUUCAUUCCCUAGAAUAUUUAAAUUUAGAUAAACUUAAGGAAAUUUUUUGAGGAAUAUAUUUGGGUAAUUUGAAUAAGAAUUUUAUAUAAUUUUUUAAGUAUUUUUUUUCAAAAAAAAUGAAAAUGUUAUAGUUUUGUUAUUAUUAUAUUUUUAAGUGCUAUUUAAAUCUAACUUCAAAAGAGGACAAACGUAACAUGCAAAUAGGUCAAAUGUUGAAAAACAUUUAAUUUGGUUCAGAUACCAACGACACCCCUUUUUCAACCAAUCUAAAACCGUUAACCGCUUCAAAAGAUCCCUGCACGUUUUAUAUAAUCACAUUCAGUCUGGUGCCGUCAAUUUAUUAGGCAAAACCACUACAAUCUUUUUUAAAAAGCAAUCAUUGGCUGAUGAUGGAGGUCAAUGCAAUAAGCACGAUAGAUAUCAAGUCAUUUACGUAUAUGAUUUUUAAGUUGGAUCAUUUUCGUAAUUAACCAAAAAAUUUUGGUUACUUUUAACUGCCUAGUUGAUAUGUGAAUAUUAACCUUUAGAUCAGUUUAUAAAUCUUCAUACUCAUCUACUCAUUUUGAUUGUCUUUCAAAGUACAGAAGGAAGACUGAUACUAUCUUAUAAUAAUAUUUAUGUCAACAGGUUGUCGUUCCUCGUUUGGAGCGUCUGGAUUUGUCCUCGAUCAACAUUCAUAAGAUAUGGCACCACUCAUCCUCCCCAUCUAUCGGAUACCUAAAUUUCUUGCGGGUGAAGAGGUGUCACAAUUUGAAAUACCUGUUCCCGUUUUUCUUAGCAAAAGAUCUUGAGCAACUCCGAUUCCUUGGAAUUUUGGACUGUAAUAUGAUGGAACAAGUAAUAUUCACGGAUGGAUUGGUUGAGGAACAUCAAGGGAGGAAUCAGAUGUUUUUCUUUAAUCUACAUUCGCUGUGGCUAAACGACCUUCCCAAAACUCACAAGUUUGUGCUUUGAAAAUUACUUUGAAUUUCACUGUUUAGCAGAUUUAACACUAAGAAAUUGUCCAUUGCUAAAAACAUUCAUCUCUAAAUGUGUACCCGGAGAUGAACCUCAAAUUGGCCAACAUGUACAGGCAAGUAACUUGGAGGUUCAUAACUCAUCUCUCCUCAAUGAAAAGGUAAUUUCUUCAAGGAUCCUCCUUUUAAUUUAUGUUACUUCGAUUGAUUUUAUUCAUUUGAAGUUCUUUCUUUUUCAUACAUAUUUCAGUUAUUAGCCUAAUGAAAUGAUUUAUUAGAUUGUUUUCUCUAGUUUGAAGUACUUGUCGAUUCAGAAUUGUGAUUCGUUAGAAGAAAUUAUUGAGCUGGAAGGACUCAUUGCUGAUGAGUCACAGUCAACAUCAGCUGCUCAAUCUACUGUGGCUGAAACAGUGACGACCAAGUUUGUAUUUCCCAAACUAAUAAACCUUGGAUUGGAUAAGGUGCCAAGAUUGAAAAGUUUCUACUCUAGGAUGCAUACCACCCAGUGGCCUUCAUUGAAACGAAUGAGCAUUAUUGAAUGCCCCAAAGUACAGAUAUUUACUCGACAAUGUCCUGUGAGUCAGGUUGGAAUCUCAAACCAACAACCCUUGUUUUGCGUCAAUAAGGUAAGCUCACGAACAGUUUCAUAUUCCAUGAUCAUUACUUGAGAUUACCUAUAAAAUGCUUUUUGAAAAAACUAAUAUUCUCUCCUCUUUUAAUUUUAUGAGAGUCUAGUUCUUACUAAUUUAAAACUCUUUCAUCGAUGUCUAAUAUAUUCGUUGCCAUCCAGGACACUUUCCCUGUAUUAGAAGAACUAACACUGAAGACGAAUGAUAUGGGGAAGGGGAUAUGUGAUGGACAACUCUCAUUGCAGUGUUUCCAAAACCUUAAGCAUCUUAACCUCCAAUUCUUUCCUGAGACAUCCACUACUCUUCCGUAUUCCUUCAUUCGGUCACUACCAAUGCUUCAUAAGCUUGUUAUAGACAAUGCUUCCAUUUGUCAAAUAGUACAAUCUGAAGGACUCAGCGACCAGGAAUGGCAUACAGCAGCAUUCUAUCAGCUAAAGGAAUUAAGUUUGUCUCAACUUCCAGAGUUGACGUUAAAGACUUUUGAACCAUCAUUGCUGUCUUUCAAAAAUCUAACAACACUGAAAGUUUCAAGAUGCCAUGGGUUCAUCAAUUUAAUCGCAUGCUCAACAGCUAAGUGCCUGAGGCUACUGGAAAGUUUGAGCAUAGAUGAUUGUGAGAUGAUAGAGGAAAUCUUAGCGUGUGAGGCUGAAGAAAUACAAGGCGGCAUUGUAUUUCCCAAACUGAAGUAUUUGCAACUAAGCUGUCUGCCAUGUCUAGCAAGCUUUUCCUCGGCCCAUCACUCGUUGGAAUUCCCAGUCUUGCUAAUGGUGAAGGUGACAAAGUGCCCCAAAAUGAGGAAUUUCUGCCAAGGAGAUUUAAGCACACCAAGGCUGGAACAAAUGCACUUAACAAGAGAUGAGGAAGGUGAGCUGCAGUGGGAAGGCGACCUUAACACUACCAUAAAACAUAUGUUCGAUGAAAUGGUACAAAUCAUUUAAAGGAUUUAAAUUCAUGGGUUUUUACAUACAUACAUACAUACAUACAUAGUUAAUUGAACAAUUCUUGGUUUGUUAUGAUCAUGCACAGAAUGUGCAAAAUUCUGAGGUGACGGAGGUUACUGAUCAAUUGCCCAAGCUGGAAUAAGGAAAUAUGUAUGGGUGCUUAUGCGAAAAGCUCAAUUUCGUUUGAAUUCAAAACAAAUGGUAAUUGACUCUUCUAUUUUCAUCAUGGCUUAACUAAUGCUUUAUAAAGUGACCAUAGAGACGCCCUUUUCAUUGUAGGUUGAGUUGCUCUACUGAAGUACGAGGCUGCAACUUUUGGUAAAAUGUGAAAGGUUAUUUCAGUUUUGGUAAAACUACUAUUUGAACUGUUCCAUUUCACAUUAUACCCUCAAAAUUGAACUUCAUUGGGCUACAAACAUGUAAACUUUUACUAGUAAGGUUGAGCCCUGUUUUAAGUAUUUGCCAACUUUUGAUGGUUGCCAUAUCAAUGUCAGCUUAAAGCUAUCAAGUAUCUUUACAAAUAUAAGAUAUAUAUAUAUUAUUCCUUAAUGAGGGAUAAAAGUAGGCAGCUAUGUACUAAUGAUACGGUUGAUUCUGAAAAGACGGCCGAAAUUGAAUCAAUGGGUUGUUGGUAUUUGCCUGAUGGAAGAACAGGGCCUAAUGUUGCGUGGAUUCUGGUCAAGUUUUAAAUUUUCAGUUGUGGGCAUUACUGAUUGUUGUCAUUUGGUUGUUGAUCCUCUGAUUUUACGAUUGACUGUCUUGCUUAUUCGUUGCAAGGUUGGCGGGUCUCAAGUAUGAAUUUCCAAACCGGCUUUCAUCCAUAAUUAACUAAGUGUUCCAAUCCAUGGAGUUUAUGGUUUAUUAGCGUAACUGUCCAUUUUAUUUGUUGAGGAAAAAAAAUAUGAGGAUUAAUCUGAUAUUUAAUGUUUGGGUUUUUGAAUAUUUUUGUGCCUUUAAUGAAAGAAAGCAAAUAAAAUAGAGACGUACAAGAUCACAUCCAUAGAUCAACAAAAGGGUUUAAUAUUUCUAUAAAAAAUUGUCCCAAAAAGGCCUUAUGGGAAUUGAUCAUAUAAACUAAUGAAGGCCAUUGAAAAUAAAGCUUGUAAAAGUUUACAGAAGGAAUUGAUGAGAAUCUGAUACACUAUUCAUUUUGUUGCGAUAAGAGUUUAUGGCCUUGUAGGAGCCUCUCCCCAAAUUGCUAGCAAAAGAAACAAAAGGAUUAAUGCACGUCGAUAAUGGCAGAUUUAUAUUUGCUACAAAAGGUGAAGAGCCCAAGACCCUCCAACCUCCUCGGAACAGUUUGAAAUCGUUCCAAAAUAUGCUCUAGCAAAUGUUCCAAGCCAUCUCAUGCGACAGUUUUCCCUUAAAAGCAUUAGUGGCUGAGUCUAGUCUUAAUUUUUAUUUGUAUCUUUUAUAUCCGUUUUAUAAUUCAUAUUUAGGAUUUGUAUUAUUUAAAAAAGGAAAAUCUUUGAAAUAAAAAAAAACAGUAUGUUUUAUAUAAUUAUUUAAAGUUACUCUCACAUUAUUUUUACCCAUUCAAAGCUAGCAAGUCUUUUAUGUACAAAAUCGUAUAGCUCUGCAAUUUGGAAUAACAUUUUGGUCACCUCCAUGUGAAGUGAGAGAAAAUUGAGAAUGUCACACAAUUAUUAUUUUUCCCUCCAUACCCCUAUGCCACCAAAGAAACUUGAAUUAUUAAGGCACAAAAGCACUAAGGAGUAGGAGCUAGAAAAAGAGGGGCAUGAAAAUAAAGAGAGUUACAUUUAUUAUUUGCAUAAUACAAAAUUAGUCUUUAAUAUUUACACAUUUUAUUAUUUUUAUUUUUUAUUAAUUAAAUUUGGCUUUAAACUCUUUAAAAAGAGUUGAAUUUGAACAUCAACCUUUUAAAAAGAGUUAUAUUAUUAUUUAACGGAAAUGUUAAAUUUUGAAAUACAUAUAAGAAUAUAAUUUUAUUAAAUUAUAUAUUUUUAUUAAAUUAUAUUAAAUUAUAUUUAAUAAUAAUUAUUUUAAAUUAUAUUUUAUAGUAUUAUAUAUUAUGAUUUUAGUAAAUUCAUAUAUUUUAUUAAAUUAUAUAUUUUUAUUAAAUUAUAUUUAAUAAUAAUUAUGUUAAAAUAUGAUUAAAUUAUUUAUUAUUUAUAUUAAUAACCUUAUUAAAAUUUAAUAACAAUAACAAUAAUCAUCGACCUAAAAAAAAUUCUACUAAGGGUAUUCUCGUCAUUUUAGCUUUUUUCCUUAUGCUAUUACACCAUCAUUCCCUUCAACCAAACACAAGAAUAUUAUUACGCCUCUAUUCCAUUCCAUUCAACCAAACAAAAGGAUUACCUAUUACGCCUUUAUUCCAUUACGCCUCUAUUCCAUUACGCCUCUAUUCCAUUACAGCGAACCAAACGUGCCCUAAAGGUUCAAAGAUUUCUGCUUAAAUUUGGACUUCACUCCUUAAGCUUCAAGUUCAAGUUUUUUGGUAUAUAAAUUUUGGACCUUAAUUUGGUAUGUAUUUAAGCUUAUUAGUAAUAAUGUGAAUUAUGUACGAAAGAUAAUGUUUUGUGUUAUAAAGUAUCUCGGUUAUAAUGAAAUAAGAAUAAAUUGAAGUGAUGAGUUUAGUGUUAAAUGUAGCAUCUCUUACUCAAAUUUGUUAUCGAAUCGGGUGAGAGGUGUUACUACUAGAAUAUAAAUUACCCUUUCUUUUUUCUUAAGAUAAAUGUAUUUUUUUUAAUUAAAUUCGUACAUAAAAUGAUAUUUUUACUAAAAUAUUAAAUUCGAAAAAGAAAUUUAAGACAAAAACAUUUUAGCCAACAACAUAUUCAUUGUAGGAUCAAAAACAUUAAUGCAAGAAACUUAAAACAAGGAAUCAAAAGUCUAGAACAAGCAAUCAAACUUAUUUUAUAUGAUCCACCAUUAAAAUUUUAGAAUAUGAUAAACAAGCAAUCAAAUAUUAAGUGCACAAUUUUAGAUUCACUAUACAAGAGCUGAGAACGAGAAAGCUAUCACAUCAGAUGGCUUGGUACAAUUAAUUAGACCGUGUUGCAGUACCUCUCUGGCAUCAACUUCGCUUGUAAAUUUCUAUAAGCUGUCACUUCAAUGGCCUUCAUCAACUUGCAGCUCUAAUCUAAAUUGUACAAAACCAAUUGAUAACAAAUUCACAAUCCACAGAUUGUGGGCUCAUAAUGCUAAUGACAAAUCAAUGUCUCGUUAUGAUUCAAGUAAUCCAUACACCGUUGGAUAGGUGCAAGGAUUGUUUGGAUCAUAAGAGAGCAUUGGUUUGUUCUUAGAAUUAUGUGUCCAUAUACCAUGGAUCUUGAACUCAUUAAGGAUUGGUGGUGUACAACUCAGACUAAAGCUAUAGGCUAAUAAAGGCCAUUGAAGAAAAAGCUUACGAAAAUUACAAGCGAAGUUGAUGCCGGUAGGGGUGCUGCAAAUGCUGCUCAAAAUGAAAAGAGAAGAACAAGAGGAGUACUCUCUCUCUCUCUCUAUAUAUAUAAGUAUAUACUCUUCUCCAUGCUGCACAUUAUUGCAAAAAAAGAAAACACACAAGGGACCAAUCUUAGAUCUUCACAAAGGUCAUUUGAGAUCAAAGGAGAAGAACAAGAAAAACAAAGGUGAGGGGUUUGAAGAAAGAGCCAAAUAUAUAAAGGAAAAAUUAAGUGAGAGAGAGGAUGGGUUUAAUUUAAAGAUUAAAUGUUUCUUUUUUGGUAAACACAUUUCUUUGGUCCCUCUCAAUUUUGAUGUUGAGCAAAUUAGCCCAUUUCUAAAAAUUUUGGAGAAAUUUGAUCAUUGUUGAUUUUGAAAGUGAGCAACUAAAUACAAUUAAUCAUAACGUUUAUGUUUUUCAUCAGUUCUACAAUUUUUUUCUUGGUAUAAUAAAAAAUAUAACUUUCAAAGUUUACACAUUUUGUCAAUUUGAUCUUGAUAUAACAAAUAUAACUCAUAACAUUUUCACAAUAUUCCAUCAAUUUGGUCCUAAUUUAACAAAUUUAGCCCGUAAUAUUUACACUUUUUGUCAAUAGUUACGCAGAAUAUAUAAACAUCAAUGGCUAAAUUUAUUAUUAUACCAAUCAAAAUUAUGUAGAAUCGAUGGAAAACAUUAAAGCUAUAAUUAAUUGUCCGUAGUUACUCACAUUUAAAAUUGACAGGAAUUAAAUUGUUCUGAUUUUUUAAAAAGAUCGAUUUACUUAAUAUCAAAAUUGAGAGAAAUCAUAAAGAUAAUUUUACUUUUCUUAAUUUAAUAGGUAAGAAAAUUUAAAAUCAUUGAAAAAAAAAAGUAAGUUGUAUAGAUUUAUUUAAAGUCACACUCACAUUAUUAUUUUUCCCAUUCAAAGUUGAAAAGUCUUUUAUGUAAAAAAUAGUAUAGCUCUUCAAUUUGGGUUAACAUUUUGGUCCCCGCCAUGUGAUGUGAAGGAAAAUUGACAACAUCACAACAAUCAAAUCUAUUUUUUCUGCCAUACCCCUGUGCCUCCGAAGAAAGUUAAAUUAUUAAGGCACAAAAGUACCAAGGAGUAGAAGCUACCAAAAGAGGAGCAUGAAAAUAAAGAGAGAUACAUAUAUUACUGGCAUGGAAUAUUUACAUCUUUUAUUAAUUUAGAUUUUUUUAGUUAAUUUUAAUUUUAAAUCCUUUAAAAAAAAGUUGAAUUUGAUCAUCAACGUUUAAAAAGAGUUGAAUUAUUAUUUUUUAAUAAAAAUAUUAACCAAAAUGUUAAAUUUUGAAACAUGGCAAUCCGUAAAACAAUCCAAGUGUAGUUCAUGCUUGUUUUUAUUUGAUUUUUUAUGAACUCUUUUUGUGGGAAAUUUUUAUUUUUUUAAUAUUUUUAUAAUUUUUAAUUUAUUGGCGUGACAUAUAAGAUAAAUAAUACUAUGUCAACAUAAAUGACAUGUAGACUGCCACAUGGGUUGCCAUGCCAACUUCGUUAAAAAUUAAUAUUUUAGUCAACAUUUAAAAAAACACGAUUUGACUCUUUUUUAAAGGUUAAUUGUCAAAUUUAAAUUAAGAAAUAAUAAUAAUCAAAUUGACAAAAGAUGUAAAUAUUAAGUGUUGAAUUUAUUAUUAUACUUUUAAGUAAAAUUUUUGGAUUUGAAUUUGAAUUAUUUUGGGAAAUUUAAAUAGUUUUGAGCUCAGAACAUUUCAAGAGAAAAUUAGCAAGUCAAAUUACAAUUAUAAAAUAAUAUAUGUCAUUUAUAUGUUUGUCUAUAUAAGUUUAAAUUACAAAUUAAUUACUAAAAGUGAUUAGGGCAUUAGUAUUUGUGUUGUCACAUGGGAGUUUAGGUUCAAUCUCUUGAUUGAAAUAAUAUUUUUAAAAUAUUUAUUUAAUAUUUCUAUAUACAUCAAAAUCCUUGUUAAAUUUUAAUUUUGUUUUUGUUAUUAGAAUACUUGAAUCAAUAAAAUUUUAAGGCACAUAUCAAACCCAACAAUCAAAAUUAAAUCACACCAAAAUAAGGCCAAGAAAUUCUUAAACAGCUCACCAAGCAACAUUCAAAUAUCAUAACUUAACCCCCUUGCAAAUAAUAAGAGCAUAGACGCUUGCUGCAGACAAAAGGUCCCAUGCCCAUUACAAGCUCUGCCCAUCAGUUCCUGCCAGAGGAGCCAUGGCCAAGAAAACUAUUAGUCUUAAUGCAAUCCACAAAACGUGUGGGACUUUUCCUUAAGGUCAGCUCUUUUGAGUUCAAGUCCUUUUCGCUGGCAAAUUUGUUGAUAUAGGAGCAACAUUGGUCAUCACAAUCAACAAAGGUCUUGUGAAAAAAAAUAGAAUGUCGGUAAUGAUAAUAUACCGCAAAGAAAAGAGAAAUAAAAAUAAAGAACAUAGAUUUUACGUGGAAACCCUUUCGGGAAAAAACCACGGGUAGAGGAGAAGUAAAUUCACUAUGUCGAAUUCGAAUGAUUACAAGAGGAGCUUCGACUACAUCUAUUUAUAGGUUGAAAAAAACCUAAUUCUAAUCAAAGUCGAAUAUAUUAUGCUAAUAAAUGCUAAAUAUAUUAUACUCAUAAAUACUAAAUAUUCUAGAAAGAAGAUAUAUUUUGUUCAACUUGACUUGCAAGCAAUCUCUUAGAAUUUGGGUUACACAACUCUAACAAUCUCCACCUUGACACAAAUUCUCAAUGAAUAAGUUCUUCAUCGCGAACUCUCAACGAACAAGUUCUCUAGCUCUUCCAUAAAACCCCUUAAGGGUUUAACUUCAACAAUGAACACCAAUCAAGUCUAAGAAAUGCUUAAACUUGGUUAUAGGAAGUGACUUAGUCAUCAUAUCUGCAGGAUAUUCAUGAGUACUAAUUUUACUCACAACAAUAUCUCCACGGGCAAUAGUAUCACGAACAAAAUAAUACCGAACAUCAAUGUGUUUUGUUUUCUCAUGAAACAUUUGAUAUUUUGUAAGGAAGAUGACACUCUGACUGUCACAAAUACUGUACUGAUUUGAAGGUUUUCAUUGAGUUCACUAAAGAGUCCCUUCAACCAAAUAGCUUCUUUACAAGCCUCAGUAAUUACCAUGUACUCAGCUUCAGUGGUAGACAAAUCGAUUGUAGUUUGCAAAGUGGCUUUCCAACUUAUUGCACAACCUCUGAUUGUAAAGACAUAACCUAUGAGAGAUCUUCUUCUAUCAAGGUCUCCAGCAAAAUCAGCACCAACAUACCCAAUGACUCUAUCUCUAGUUCUUUCAAACUGUAAGCAAACAUCAGUAGUACCUUGUAAGUAUCUUAAAAUCCACUGAAUUGCUUUAUAAUGUUCUUUACCGGGAUUCGCCAUGUAUCUGCUAACUGCACUGACUGUAUAUGAUAAAUUUGAACGAGAACAAACCAUAGCAUACAUAAAAGAUCCCACUGCACUAGAGUAUGAAGCAUGUGACAUGUACUCAAUCUCAUCAUCUGAUUGUGGAGACAAAGCUGAUGAAAGUCUGAAAUAGGCUGCUAAAAGAGUACUAACAGACUUAGCAUUCUGCAUAUUAAAUCUGCAAAGAACUUUCUCAUGUACCCUUUCUGACUUAGGUACAAUUUACUUGCUUUUCUAUCUCUGAGAAUCUUCAUACUUUUUUGCUGGUCCCAAAUAUUUUAUCUCAAAUUUUUCACUUAGUUAGGCUUUGACCUUUCUCAUCUCUCCUUUAUCUUUCGCUGCUAUCAACAUGUCAUCAACAUAAAGGAGUAGAUACAUAAAAGAACCAUCAUUGUUUUUCUUAAAGUAAACACAACUGUCAAAACUACUUCGUUUAAAAUCAUGAGAAGUUAUAAAGGAAUCAAAUCUCUUGUACCACUAUCUUGGUGACUAUUUCAAACCGUAAAUGGACUUUUUCAACAAGCAAACAUAGUCCUCUUUUUCUGAAACUAUAAAAUCCUCUGGUUGUUGCAUGUAAAUAUCCUCCUCAAGUUCUCCAUGUAAAAAAGCAGCUUUUACAUCUAACUGCUCAAGCUCCAAAUCAUGCAUGGCCACAAUACCAAGCAAAGCUCGAAUCGAGGUAUGCUUCACAGCUAGGGAGAAUACAUAUGUGAAGUCUACUCUUGGAAUUUGACUGUAACCCUUUGCAAUAAGCCUUACUUUAUAUCUAGGUUAUUGAACUCCUUGAGUCCCCUCUUUCUUUUUAAACAUCCAUUUACAACGAACAACCUUUUUACCUUUAGAAAGUUUCACAAGAUCCCAUAUUUUAUUUUUGUGGAGUGAUUCCAUCUCCUCUUGCAUAGCAAACAUCCACUUUUCUAAGUCUUCAUGGUUAACUGCAUCAGAAUAAUUAGAUGGCUCUUGGUUUGCAUUUAUAUCUUCAGCCACGUUUAAAGCAUAAGCAACUAGAUCAGCCUUGGCAUACUUCUUUAGAGGUUUAAUUUCUCUUGUAGUUCUGUUUUUGGCGAUAGAGUAUUGUGGUGAAGAAGCAACUCUAUUUUGAAUUUUUGUACUGGCUUGAGGAGUUGACUCCAUUGUAGAUUCUGGAUUAAUCUGAUGCUCUACUUGCUUUUGAUUUUUCUUUAUUAGAAGAGUCUUUAAGAUAUAAGUUAGGUAGCAUAACAAUUUCAUCAAAAACAACAUCUCUUCUAAUCACAACUUUUCUAAUUUCAGGACACCAUAACUUAUACCCUUUUACACCAGCUUUAUAACCAAGAAAAACACAUUUAAUGUAUCUCGGUUCCAAUUUUCAUGAUCAAUAUGAGCAUACGCAGGUCACUCAAAAAUCUUUAAAUCAGAAUAGUCAACAGGAUUACCAGACCAUACCUCUUGUGGAGUCUUUUUCUCAAUGGCAAUGGAUAGAGAUCGGUUGAUUAAAAACAUGCAGUAGAGGCUGUUUCGGCCAAAAUAACUUUGGUAAGUUGGCAUUUGACAACAUACAUCGAACCUUCUCCAUGAUCGUUCUGUUCAUUCGUUCUACAACGCCGUUUUACUGUGGAGUAUGACGAACUGUCAAGUGUCUCACGAUUCCUUCUGACUUGCACAGUUUAUUAAACUCAUCAGAACAGAAAUCUAAGCCAUUGUCUGUACGGAGAUAUUUUAUUUGUUUUCCCGUCUAUUUUUCAAUCAUAGUUUUCCAAGAAGCUGCUUGCCACCAAUGCAGCUCAGUUGAAAUAUUUAGAGUCACGAGCGGAAAAUGUAGAGCAGAAGGCCAAGGAUGCUGAAAAAAAAAUAGUUGAACUCGAAAGGUAGCUUAAGGCUAAGGUAAAGGAAGCUACACAAUGGAGCAAUAAGCUUGAGGAGGUUGGUAACUCAUUGAUGGACUAGAUGAUAAAAAUUCAGAAAACACUAGGAUCCUUUGACUCAACAGGUAUCAACUUUGAUAGAGCAAAGAUAUCUAAGGCUUGUUCUGUGUGCCUUUUUGAUACUAUGAUACUUCUAUAUUGGUUUUAGAUCGUUGAGAAUCGAAAAUAUGGCUGGGCUAUGGAUUACGCAGGAAGAGGAACUUCAAGGUAAGAUAAUGAAGGAUUGAAGGAAUUGAGAAAUGAAUGGGGUGAAAUGAUCUACAGGGCCGUUGUUGUUGCAUUACUGGAAAUGGAAGAGUACAAUCCAAGUGGGAGAUACAUAGUUUUUGAACUUUGGAAUUUCAAAGAUGAUGAAAAGCCAGCUUAAAAGAAGCUAUUGAGAUCUUCAUCUACCAUUUACAGAACAAAUUGAGUCAAUCCCUGUACUCAUUGAACUGAUGGUAAGCUGAGUUGUUCCUGGUACUAGACUAUGUAACAGCCCGAUUCUGGGCCUAGUCGGAAUAGUGGUUUCGGGACCACAAAUCCGACGAGAGAAAAUAUUAUUAUCAUUAUAUUUUUAUGGUCUACAAUUUCACGGAAUGAUUUCGUGAAAAUUUCGUUCGAAAAUUUCAACGUUUGAGCACUCAAUUUAGUCAAAAAGGACUAAAUUGUAAAAAGUGCAAAAGUUGAGUUCUAGAAGCUAGAGGUGUUAAAUUGCUAUGAAAUUUUAAAUUGGAGGUCCUUAAAUGGUAAUUAAACCAUUAGUUAUUUAUGGACAAAAAUAGACAUGGUUAGUAAGUAAGCUAUUUAAGGGCAUUUUGAUAAAAUGCCUUAAUUAAUGAAUAAAGACAAAAUAACAUGAAAUAAGUUAUCAUCUUCUUCAAUUCUUUUCUCCAUGGCCGAAUGUAGCAAGGAAAUACCAUGGCUAGGGUUUUUUCAUCUUCCAAGCUUCAUGGUAAGUCCGUUCUAGCCCCAUUUUUCUUGUUAUUUAUAUUUUUAGAAUCCCGGUAACUUGCUUAAUCUAAUUCUACUAUUAAUUUGAGCUAGAAUUUAUGUUUGAAAAAUUACCCAUAGGUGAAAAGUGUGAACUUUGAUGUUUCAUGAUAGAAUAUGAAGCUUAGAAUUAUGUUAAACGAUUUUUGCUAAUCGAUUUUCAGUAAAAACGAGUAAAACGACAUAAUCAGUAAAAAUAUCUAAUGUUCAUAAGUAAGUGUUGAGUGGGAAUUUGAUGUUUCCAUAGAAGAGAAAAAUGUUCAGAAUGUCAUAAAAAAUAAGAAUAAGAGAUGAAAUUUAAUUUCCGAGCUUUGGGGCAAAAGUGUAAAUAUGCAAAAGUUUAGGGGCAAAAAUGUAAUUUUGUAAAAAUAUGAUUUUUGGACUGAAUUGAAUAAUGUGAGUGUUAAAUAAGUUAAAUGUGUUAUUAUAAGUCAAGAAAGACAAGGAAUUGACUUUGAUUAGUAAAAAAAUGAGAAAAAGUGAGAAAUUUCUCGAUUGAACAUUCAGAAUAAAAAGGGAUACGAAUGAAAUGACAGAAAUGAUCACAUAUGUGGCAUGGACUGUGUGUAGGCCACUAUGUGAAAGUGAAAGUGAUGGUCACAUGUGUAGUACUAUGUGAAGGCUACUACGUGUACCAGAAUGAUAGGUCGCAUGUGUAGUACUAUGUACAGGCUACUAUGCGUAUCGGAUAGCUUCGAUCACGUGUGUAGUACUAUGUGCAGGCUACUACGUGUAUCGGAUAGUGAUGGUCACAUGUGUAGUACUAUGUGCAGGCUACUAUGUGAACCCAUAUCAUUGAUUAUAAGGUGGUUGCUAAGUGCUGAUUCCACCAUAUCUUAAAUGUGAAAGGGGUUGCUAAGUGCUGAUUCCCCGAAUCACUGGUGGUUGCUAAGUGCUGAUUCCACUGUAUCCUUGAUUGUGAAAGGGGUUGCUAUGUGCUGAUUCCCCGUAUCAUUGAUUAUAAGGUGGUUGCUAAGUGAUGAUUCCACCGGGAUCCUUUGAACAUGAGGUGGUUGCUAAGUGCUGAUUCCACCAUGUAACGGUUAAUAUUCCGAAGUGUUCAUCGGGGAAAUUGGAUAAGUGAAAAUAUAUGUGAAUCGAAUAAGGUUACGGGAUGAAUAUUGGAUUCGAUAUUUAAUCGACCCUUGAGUAAGAUGAAAAGAAGUAAUGAAAUUGUGAAAAAGAAAAAUGUGCAACAAAACAGUUUUGGACAGUAACAAUAAUGUGACUUUGAAAAAUCACCAAAAAUGGUGGAAAUUGAAUUAGAGAGUUAAUAAGAUAUUAAAUGAAAGCUUAAGGAGUCUAUUUUUAUGUAAAAGAAACAGAGCAAGUAAAAGAGUUAGACAUUCUGAGAUAUUUGAAUUUUAGUGAGGCAGGGUAGGAUUGAUUUCGGAAUCCCCUGUUCUGAAUUUGGAAAAUAAUUAAAAAUUGUAAAAAAAUAAUUACUAGAUAUAAUUUAUACGAUUAGAAUCCUUAAUGAGUCUAUUUUUAAGGGAAACAAACAGAAAAAUCAUCCAAAUUCUGUACAAUGAGAUAAUUCAUUUUUAGUGAAGAGAGGUCAGAGAUGUUGAGCAGUGAAACAGGGGUGACUUUAAAGAAUAAACUGUACUAAUUGGAAAAGUCAAAAAUUCUGAAAAUUUUAUGGUAAGAAGAUAUGUGAGUCUAGAUUCGGGGAAAAUUAACGGAUCUUAAUUUGGAGCUCUGUAGCUUUGGAUAAAUAUAAUUUAGUGACUCUGACUCGAAUAGACAGCUUUGGAUAUACAUGUGAAUGAAUAGUGAAAUUAUGUAUAAUGCUAUUUAAGCAUGUUUUAUACAUAAAGGAUGUGGAAUGGAGAGGGGGAGGAGGAAAAUUAAUUAUAUAUAUGAAUGAUUUGUGUAUAAAUGGUUAUAUGCUCAAUUAUAAUCGAUAAACGUUAAAAUAGAAAUGAUGCUUACAUUUGCGUAUUAUUGAUCAUGGUUUAAGCUCAUAUGGGAAAAUAAAGUUUCAUAGUAUGUGAGUGUGGUUUAUUUGAUAUAUGGGUUGGUAUGAAGUAAGGCCAUGAAUGGUUUAUGGAUUAAUUCAUGUUGGUAGGUUUGGUACAUGAAUAAAUGUUGAACUUGGCCAUACUUAUAAUGCUUAUGCUAUAUGUUUAUUUGGCUAACAUGUGUAGUGUACAUGCUUAAGCUUUGGCCAAUUGGUGGCUGAAUUAUGCCACGUUAAAUUUAUAAGUUAUGCAUUGAAAUGGUAAGUGCCUAGAUGGGAAUAUGCUUAUGAUCAUGGAAAGGGUGGUAACGUUUAAAUUAUGUAAACUUACUUGGAAUGGUUUAUCAUGUGGUUAAUUCCAAAAAAGAAUUAUGUUUAAUGUACUAGCUUGUGACUAUGGUUGAAUGAUAUGUUAUUGUUUUGUGUGAUAUUUGUAGGAAAUGGGUGUGGAAAGGAAAUGAAAUACUAAGUUCAUACUUGAAGAAUAAAAUGACGAAAAAGGGAAUGAUGAGUUGAUUUGAUGUUGUUAUUUAAGCUUAAGUGAUGUUUUCAUUGUAAUACUAAGAAUUUUAUAAAUGUGUUAAUGAAUGGUAUAAUUGAUAAACGUUGAGUUAAAUGAUGAACACGUAUUAGUAUUGAACUUAACAAUAUUGAAUUGUACAUGAAUUAAAUGGAAGUUUUUAGUGAUAUGAUUUGAAUUAAAAGAAUUGUUGUGGUAUUGAAAUAUAUAUAUUGGAUUGAGAAAUUGAUUUGAAUUGUGAACAUGAAAGAUUUUGAAAUGAAUAAAAUAGAAAUGAAGCAUUGAAUUACAUGAGUAAGUAUCGGGUCUUGUAGGCCCAAUUUGUUAUGAAUAUAAUAUUUCAAGGAUAUGUUAUAAAGAAUUAUAAAAUCAUGUUAAAAAUUUGAAAAGUUUAAAUUUGAAUGAAAUUUUGUAACUCGGUUUAAUACGUUUACAUGUGUAAGUGUUCUAGUAAUGCCUCAUUCCCUAUUCCGGAGUUGAAUACGGGUAAGGGGUGUUACAGACUAUCAACAAGCCAAGUUAAUCCCAGUAUUCUGCGUAACAUUUCCAUGUAGUUAAUCUUAUUUUGCUAAUAUAUAAUCAAAUGACCAGUAUUUUGUUUAACCCUCAAACAUCCUGCGUGGAAGCAAGUUAUUCAUAUGAAUUGCUUGAAUUGCUCAUAUGUCCAAUGAAUUAUAAAGGAAUGCUGUUGAAUUCCCAUCGAUACAUACAUGCAUACAUAUUAGUGAAGUAUAUUCCAAUAUAAUAUCAAUAUUGGGAUUUACGUUUUAUAGAGCAGCAUUAAUGAUUGGUAAUAUACAUUCGUUCCAAGGCAAACCCAAAUAUUGUAACCUACAACUGUGGCAAAUCAAAUUUUACAGUAACCCAAUUAUAAUGUGAAGUCAAAUAUGAAAGUAACAUUGGUUUAUAUUUUUUUUUCUCAAAAUUCUAAUAAUCAAGUUGGGAUAAGUGAUAAACACUGAGCUUGCCACGUGUGUUAAACCACAUUUUUGUUAUGUGCCACUCCAAAGAUAUCGGGCCUCUAUUCAGGCUGGCAUAGUCAGGACGUGGUAGCAUACUUCAGGACCCUGGUUAGAAAAUAUCCCACAUCCGAUAAAAUUGGAACGAUACAGAGAAGAUUAGCAUGGCCCUGCGCAAGGAUGACAUGCACAAAUCGAGAAGUCCAAUUUUUUUCCCUUUUUUUCCCCACAUUUUAACAGCUCUGCUUCUUCUUCUUUUUUUCCCCUGGGUUUGAUGUUCAUAUUCAUGGGUUUUUGUGCACUUAAGAUUGCAAUUAGAGUUUUCUUUCUUUCUUUUACUGGGUUCGGUCUGUUUUACUCUCUUGAACUGUGAAUUUGAUUUUUUUUUCCAUUUUUUCAGCUUUGUUGCUUUUUUCCCCCUGGGUUUAGUUUUCAUGUUCAUGGGUUCCGCCCACUUAAGAUUGCAUUGGAGUUUUUUUUUUCCUUUUUACUGGGUUUUGGCCAGUUUUACUCUGUUGAACCGUGAAUACCUCUGGGAAAAAAAUUGUUGCUUAUAUAUUUGCUAGUCAACAGUGCUAAUUUUCUGAUAUAUUGGCCAGAAUUGAGGGAAGAAGGUCCAAUUUUGCUUUUGAUUCUUCUACUACUAUCUUAAGAUUUAAAAGAAAUUCAAUUAAACAAUUUCUUCCAAUAAAAUUAAACAAGAAGGGACCUGCACACUUAGACAUGUUUCUCUUUGAAAAAAAUUCAAACAGGGUUUUAAAAUUUGCAAUGUGUUUUAUGUAAAUCAAAUGAUACCCUGAAUUUUGCUAAGGGUGUUUCAUAUCCUUGAAUCCUUUUUUUGCUUGGCAAGUGAUUCAUUGAGUUUUUGUGAUAAAUUUCAUGUUUCUUUUUUUAGUAUGGGAAUUUGUGGGAAAAUGCUUGGCAAUAUGGAAAUGAAACCAGUUUCCAUUUCCAAAGGCAACAGCAAAGUGGUGAAGCUUAUUGUUGAAAAAUUCUUCAAUAAUGUCAAUAAUGAAAAAGUAGAAAAUGGAAAAACUGAUAAGUACAUGCCUUUCUUGAAUAAAGGAAUGUGAAUCUGUGUGAACUUCCAUUUCCCUUGAAUUAUGCCUAAGUAAACCUUGACUAAGGAAACAAAUAAGCAGAGACCUUACAAGAAGAAAUUUGUGUUUAAUUCAGUCACACACAAUUUUCAAAGAAUCUUACUUCAUUUUCUUCAUAAAUUGUUGCGUAAGAUACUAACACUUGAAAAACUAAUAACAUUAGACCCAACCAUUUUAAACAGGAUGUAAUAGCACCAUACAAAUACAAAACCAAAAUGAAACAACGACCAACACUAUAUAAAUAUACACCAUUGAUCAAAAUAUACACUAACAACAAUUAUGAUAAGAUAACAUAGAUGAACAUGAUACAAUUUGUUAAAUCUAAGGUACUGACCAAUCAUUUUAUUGGAGCAUUACUUAAUGUAUAAGGCUCAAUCCCCCCCCGAUGCUAGAUACUGAUACACUCAAACGAAUAUGAUUUUCUUCCAUUCAUUUCAAUAUGGUAAUGUUGUUUUUACCCUAAGUUAAAAUCCUUUUUUUUUACUGCACAGAAAUCUGAAUUCACCAACCCUGAUGGAAGGCUUGUGAUUGUGACCAACUUUACAGGCAAAAAUGAAAAAGGAUCUACAACCUUUGUUAACUGUUUUGUAAAAUACAAGAAAAUCCCAUACCCAAGCAUGAUUUUAUAUACACCCUGCUACAAAAACACGUUUUUUCCUGCAAAAACAUCAUUCAUGGCAAGAUGUCAAGAGAUUGGUGAAAAAGAAAAACAUCCAACAUUUGGGGUUUUAAUCUCAAUAUAUGAACUUGGCUUUAUUUCUUAGUGUUAUUGUUGAACUUUUUAGGAUGCCUCUGUCUUAAUCCAUUUAUGUGAUUUGAUAAUGAUAUUUGCAGGCACUUAAAUCUGUUGGAACAAUGGCAGCAGCAAACAUCAAACAAAGUUACAACACAGUGUUUGCAAGACUGAAGCAAGAAGAAUCGAAGCAAAGAAAGAGCAAAGCAAAGCAAAAAUUUGAUCAAAUUGAAUACUCAGCAAAGUUGUAACUGAAUAUUACAUUUUUCAUUCAAGAUUAGAAUAUAUAAAAGUACUACAAUUUUGGUUCAUUUGACAGAUACCUAAUGACAUAACUACUCCCACUUAAACUAAACUAAUACAAGCUUAAGUCAAAUACAAAUAAGCUGACAUAUCAACUUUUACAUCACCAAUCCAAUCACAAACUUAAUCCAACUAACUAUUAAAGCUAGUUACAAUCAAACUGAACUAAGUUACAUCAAAACAAAACAGCAAUAUCAGUUGCUUCAUUUGGUCUGAAAACCAUUCGUGCACACCAAGCAAAAUGAGCUGAGCUCGAUAGCUGCUGGUCUCGAUAGUAGCAUGCUUCCGGCUCCAUGUUGCAUUGCAGUCCAUCUUUCAACACUCCUCCUUGGACUGUAUGCAACACAUUCCAAUUGCACUUCUCAAAGAUUCAAAUCGAACAGCCCCUAAGGGCUUUGUCAUUAUGUCAGCCAAUUGAGCUCUUGAGCUGCAAUGCACAAGGCUGACUUACUUUGCUUGUUCAGCUUUUCUAACAAAAUGCAGUUUGAUUUUAAAAUGCUUAGUCUUACCAUGGAACACAGGGUUCUUGGCUAUUGCAACUGCAGACUGAUUAUCUACCCAAAUUUUAGUUGCUUCAUCUUGAGUUUCAUUAAGGUCAUAAAGCAGCUUCCUUAGCCAAAUGGCCUGAUUAACUGCUCCUGCUGCAGCAAUGUACUCUGCUUCAGCUGUGGAUUGAGCAACAGUUUGUUGCUUCUUUGAACUCCAGCAAAACAUGCCCGAUCCAAGUGUGAAGAAGUAUCCAGAGGUACUCUUCAUGUCAUCGAGAGAUCCUGCCCAGUCACUGUCAGAGUAGCCUUCUAGUUUCAGUUGAUUCCUACUUUCAAACAUUACACCAAAACUAGCAGUGCCCUUGAUGUAUCUAAGGAUCCUCUUUCCUGCCUUCAAAUGUGCCUCACUACAACAAUGCAUAAAUCUCGAUAACAGGCUGACACCAAACAUGAUGCCUGGCCUGGUUGCUGUUAGAUACAACAGACAACCAACUAGGCUUCGAUAGUGCCUCUCAUCAACCCUCUGCUGAUCACCACUGCUAGUCAGCUUUUCUCCUUGGGCCACAGGUGUGCUGACUGCUUUACAGUUAUGCAUGCAGAAUUUGUCUAGGAUCUUCAAAGCAAAUGAGUGUUGGCUGAUGAAGAUACCUCGAUUAGACUGGUGCACUUCCAUGCCAAGGAAGUAAGUCAUGAUCCCCAAAUCUGUCAUCUCAAACACUUGCUGCAUUUGGACCUUGAACUGAUCAAUGAGCUCAAUUUUGCUCCCUGUCACAAGCAAAUCAUCCACAUACAAGGAGACAAUCAGCAAGGUUUCAUGUUCUGACCUUUUAACAUACAGAGUAGGCUCACUAAGGCUCUUUACAAAUCCAAGUUUGGUCAGGUAAGCAUCAACUCUGUCAUACCAGGCCCUUGGUGCUUGUUUCAGGCCAUAGAGGGCCUUUCUCAACUUAUACACUUUGUCUUCAUGUCCAACAACUUCAAAACCUUCAGGUUGCUCGAUAAAGAUCUCCUCCUUGAGAAAACCAUUUAGGAAUGCUGAUUUGACAUCCAAUUGGUGAACUCUCCACUGCUUCUGAGCUGCUAAAGCAAAUAGCAGCUUAAUUGUAUCCAGUCUUGCCACUGGAGCAAAAGUUUCUAGGUAGUCAACACCAUACUGCUGACUGUAGCCCUUCACCACAAGCCUGGCCUUGUGCUUGUUCAGUGAGCCAUCAGCAUUGUACUUGGCUCGGUACACCCAUUUAACUCCUAUGACCCUCUUAUGUUCUGGUCUGCUCACCAACUCCCAAGUCUGAUUUUUGUUGAUCAUUUCCAACUCAGCUUCCAUAGCUUUCAUCCAGCUUCUGUUCUUAGCAGCCUCUUCAAAGUCUGAGGGCUCAAUCACAGCAACAUUGCACCUCUGAUAGACAUCAGCCAAAGUUCUGGUCCCCCUCACUGGUAUAUCAUCGACAGCAUCAUUACUUGGUCCUUCUUCUGCAGGUUCAGCAACCAAGUCUAACUGGUCCAAUUCAGACAAGUCAGCCUCAACACCAUUCCAAUUCCACACAUUUUCCUCAUUAAACUUUACAUCCCUGCUGACUAAAACUUUCUUUGCUGUAGGAUCAUACACUCUAUAGCCCUUCUUGUUGCUGCUGUAGCCAACAAAGAUUCCUGGAGUUGCUCUACUCUCAAGCUUGGUCCUUUUCUCUACUGGAAUAAGUGCAUAACAUACACAGCCAAACACUUUUAAGUGUGUUACCAUAGGUUUGACUCCAUGCCAAGCCUCAAAAGGAGUCUUAUCCUUGACUGCUCUAGUUGGCAGUCUGUUGAGCAGAUACACUGAGGUGUUGACUGCCUCAGCCCAAAACUAACUUGGAAGCUUGCCUUGAAACAAGAGGCACCUGGCCAUGUUCAGUACAGUCCUAUUCUUUCUCUCACAGACUCCAUUCUGUUGAGGAGUAUAGACUGUUGUGAGCUGAUGGUGAAUCCCAGCACUGUCACAAAGCUUCUGAAAUCUCUCAGACACAUAUUCAGAGCCAUUAUCAGUCCUCAAGGCUCUAAUUUUACAGCCUGACUGAUUUUCAGCAUAAGCCUUGAAUUUGCAGAAGGCUUCAAACACUUCUGACUUUUGCUUCAAGAAGUAGACCCAGCACAACCUUGUUAAAUCAUCUAUAAACAGGGCAAAGUACCUGUUCUCACUGAUUGAAGGUGUUCUCAUAGGGCCACAAACAUCAGAGUGCACCAAUUCGAGCUUGUUUUGAGCUCUCCAAGCACUGUCAGCAGGAAAAGGCAGUCUAGCCUGCUUACCAAGCUGACAAACCUCACAAACAUUCCCACUAACUUCAAUUUUUGAAAUGUCAUCAACCAAAUUCAGCCUAUGUAACUGAUCGAUGGAUCUAAAAUUUGCAUGGCCUAGUCUCCUAUGCCACAAGUCAGUGCUUUCAACAAGGCUGGUGUAUGCCUUUCUUUCUAUUUGGCUAACAUCCAGCAUGAAGCACCUAUCAGUCAUAGAGACUGUGACUAACUCCAGACCAUUCAUGUCUUGAACAAUACAGCAACCAUCCUUAAAAACCAAUGUAUAGCCCUUUUCAACUAAUUGGCCUACACUAAGCAAAUUCUGGUCUAAGUCAGGUACAAAAAACACAUCUGAGAUCAGCUUGUUACCUGAACCAGUGCUAAUCAACACACUGCCCUUGCCUUUAGCCUCAAUCAGCCUACCAUCUCCAAUUCUAAUCUUCGAGUGGAAGCUUCUGUCUAGACCUUUGAACAGCUUCUCAUCUGCUGCCAUAUGGUGUGAGCAGCCACUAUCUAGUAGCCAAUCAUUGCUGGCCUUGGUUGUGCCAGCAAAACAAGUUGCUGUGAACACUUGCUCCUUCUGAGCUUGGAUGUCCUCAGCAGGUCUAGCUUGUUGUAGAGCAGCCUCCCUUGGUUUGCCCUUGCACACCUUCUCCACAUGGCCAAACUGCUUGCAUUUUCUACACUGAAUAUCUGGCCUAAACCAGCAAUACUUUUCUGAAUGUGUUAUCUUCUUGCAAUGAACACAUGGUGCGAACACCCUUUUUGCAUCAUCUCUUCCUGACUUGACCCUUCUAUUGUGCCAAGGCUUCUUGCCUUUUGCACUCACACUCGAGCCUUCACUGGCUUUAGCCUGGAAAGUAGCUUCAGGAUUCUCCUCCUGCCUAUUUGCCCUCCUUUGCUCAAGUGCAUACAGGGAGUUUAUCAGCUCAGACAAUGAAAUGGCUGAUAAGUCCCUCGAGUCCUCAAGUGAAGAGAUUUUAGACUCAAAUUUCUCAGGGAGAGUUGUAAUAACCUUUUCAACAACUCUGCUCUCUGUGAAGUCCACUCUCAGAAGCCUAAUGCUGUUGACAAUGGCCAUUAUCCUGUCUGAGUACUGCUUGAUGGUCUCAGACUUCUUCAUCCUCAAAUUUUCAAAGUCUCUCCUGAGGUUGAUCACUUGCUGUUGCCUUGUCUUAUCAGUCCCCAUGAACUCCUCCUUCAGCUUCUCCCAAGCCUGCUUUGGUGAGUCACAGGCCAUGAUGCGAGUAAAUAUCACAUCAGAGACUCCAUUUUGUAAGCAGGCCAUAGCCUUAUGCUUCUUGGCUCGCUCCUCAGUAUGUUGCCUCAUCUGUGCAAUGGUGGGAUUGGCUCUCAAUGGAGGUGGUUCAGCAUCAUUCUCGAUCACACUCCAAAGAUCAUGUGCCUGGAGAUAAGUCUUCAUUUUAACUAUCCAAAUGUGAUAGUUUUCUCCAGUGAACACUGGUGGAGGUGGUGGAGUGAAACUCAUUCUGCUAAACUGAUUUUAAGUGCUUCAAUCUUACCAAAUUUUGAACUUGCUGUUGGUUUUGAUUCGAACACAACAGAUUGCAUACAAAGGCCCCUCAAAGACUCGGGCUCAUGAUACCAUUUGUUGGAACAAUGGCAGCAGCAAACAUCAAACAAAGUUACAACACAGUGUUUGCAAGACUGAAGCAAGAAGAAUCGAAGCAAAGAAAGAGCAAAGCAAAGCAAAAAUUUGAUCAAGUUGAAUACUCAGCAAAGUUGUAACUGAAUAUUACAUUUUUCAUUCAAGAUUAGAAUAUAUAAAAGUACUACAAUUUUGGUUCAUUUGACAGAUACCUAAUGACAUAACUACUCCCACUUAAACUAAACUAAUACAAGCUUAAGUCAAAUACAAAAUAAGCUGACAUAUCAGCUCUUACAUCACCAAUCCAAUCACAAACUUAAUCCAACUAACUAUUAAAGCUAGUUACAAUCAAACUGAACUAAGUUACAUCAAAACAAAACAGCAAUAUCAGUUGCUUCAUUUGGUCUGAAAACCAUUCGUGCACACCAAGCAAAAUGAGCUGAGCUCGAUAGCUGCUGGUCUCGAUAGUAGCAUGCUUCUGGCUCCAUGUUGCAUUACAGUCCAUCUUUCAACAAAAUCUUCCAUUGAAAUGGAGAACACCAACUACGAGGAGGAGCUGAAGAAUGAUCGCAGGCUUGUUUGCAGUCUCAUAUACGAGAUUAAUUGCAAAAAAGAACAGUUGUCCCAAAUGGAACGUGAAUAUAACGAGAUGACCGCAACUCUUCGAGGACUCAUCAAUGGCCUCAUAGCAAAAAUUAACUCCAAGGACAGUAAUCUG
Molecule: long non-coding RNA, 107666 nt
Filed under: Gossypium barbadense (sea-island cotton)
Lineage: Eukaryota; Viridiplantae; Streptophyta; Magnoliopsida; Malvales; Malvaceae
Source: RNAcentral